GGUCGCCCUGCGCGACCUGGUGGGCAAGAAGCGUGCCUUUGUCGUCACCGACAAGCCGCUGUUCGAUUUGGGCUUUGCGGACAAGGUGACUCGAAUUCUGGACACGAUCAACGUUCACCACCAGGUCUUCUACCACGUGACCCCAGAUCCAACGCUGGCCUGCAUCAACGCCGGCUUGAGCGAGAUCCUGGAGUUCAAGCCCGACGUGAUUAUCGCUCUGGGUGGUGGCUCGCCCAUGGACGCGGCAAAGGUACGCAAUGUGGGGAUUGACGGCAAAUGAAAAAGUGCAUUUUGUCUUGGUUAAUGAAUCCCCACACAUUGUGGACUUCCUGCAUUAUGCAAACAGCUGCUAUGACGGAUAAAGAUCCUCAUCCAGUGAGAUUCCUGACAGGUUUUGUGUUUCAGACGGUGUUGUGACGGUGUUGUGACGGUGGGUUGUUAUGACGGUGAUCACCCUUGGAUGCGCACGACUAAUCUGCUUGUAGAUCAUGUGGUUGAUGUACGAGUGCCCGGAGACCCGGUUCGAUGGCCUGGCGAUGCGCUUCAUGGAUAUCCGCAAGCGCGUUUACGAGGUUCCGGAGCUGGGCAAGAAGGCCACCAUGGUGUGCAUCCCCACCACCAGCGGCACCGGCUCCGAGGUGACGCCCUUCUCCGUGGUUACGGAUGAGCGAUUGGGAGCCAAGUACCCUCUGGCCGGUGAGGAAAAGACUUGCGAGGCCGUUUCCUGCGUAGGAGAGUGUUUAUUUGGUUGGAUUUUGCGCUCCCUGCAUUUUUCGACAAGGGGCCCCGUACGCAACAGCAUUAGGUGUAUUAUUGGCUACUUUCGUUGGCGCGUGCAGAAACAAAUCAUUCUGUUCUGCCCGGCCGUAAUCCCUCGCUUUCCAGAUUACGCUCUGACGCCCAACAUGGCGAUCGUGGACCCUCAGCUGGUUCUCAACAUCCCCAAGAAGCUCACCGCCUGGGGCGGCGUUGACGCGCUCACCCACGCCUUGGAGAGCUACGUGUCCAUCUGCGCGACAGGUGGGUGACGGUGGUGGUUGUGAGUUGUGGGUGGUUUUGAUGGUGAUGAUGGUCACCGGCCGGUGUGUGUUCAGGAAUGUGCAGAGCAUGUGCUCCGCCGCGGGGUUUCCGUCUGACGUUGGUGUCCGGUAUUGUUGUGUGAGUUUGGCAUGUGUCAUGUUUCGGAUGAUGGCCCUACAGCUGGCCAACCAACAUUCCUUGGGUUCUUUGCCCCAUACACAUACAGAGUACACUCGCGGCCUGUCCCGCGAGGCCAUCUCGCUGCUGUUCAAGUACCUGCCGCGGGCCUAUGCCAACGGUGCGAACGACUACGAGGCGCGUGAGAAGGUGCACUACGCGGCCACCAUCGCCGGCAUGGCCUUCGCAAACGCGUUCCUGGGCAUUUGCCACUCCAUGGCGCACAAACUGGGUGAGCCUCCGCUGCUAAGGAUUACACUCCUGCUUUUCCUUCGUUGUGUCGUGUCUUAGUCCUCGGGACAUAGAAAUAGCGGUGCUGUCGUUGUGCAUAAGUGUUUUGCCUGGGGGGGGAGGGGCCCGUAGCACAGGAAACCAUGUUGAAUGCCGGCUUCGGUCCACGCGGUCAUUCGCUGCCUAACCCUGCUGUUUCAUCAUCUUGCUGCUGCAGGCGCCGCCUUCCACGUGCCUCACGGUCUUGCCAACGCGGCCCUCAUCAGCCACGUGAUUCGCUACAACGCCACCGACAUGCCCGCCAAGCAGGCGGCCUUCCCGCAGUACCAGUACCCCAACGCAAAGCACCAUUACGCGGAGCUGGCGACCAUGCUCAACCUAGGUGGCGAGACGGACGACGAGAAAGUACGUUGCAUCAACGUUGCAUACUCUAUUCCGUAGGCUUUCUCUAGGAAUCCCAGGAGAGCUGUUGCCACCGUUCUGAUGUGUCUGUUGCAUGCUCCUGGCGGCGUGCACCGUAUGUACGUGUGAUUGUCGAACAUGGCAUGUCCACAUAAAUAGUGUAUAUGAAUACAUUUUAUCCAGACCGCCUUUUGUUUCCAUUACACCAGGUAAUUAAGUUGAUUGAGGCUGUUGAGGAUCUCAAGAGGAAAGUUGACAUUCCGGCUACCAUCAAGGAGAUUUUCAACGACCCGGCCAAGGACGAUGAGUUCCUGCAGCGGGUGGACAUGUAAGUGAACUGUACAUCCGUCCGGUGCCCUUUGGUGCCCCGGGGAUAUCGCUCUUUCCUAGUGACCGAUGGCUGGGAAAAUAUGUAUUAUACCCGGAAGCGUUGGUUGCUCGUGGCUUCUCUUGAUGGAGAAGGGUUUUUUGGCUACGUAUGGAAACAUGUGCUGCUUUGCGCAUCUGUCUGCAGGCUUGCGGAGGACGCUUUCGAUGAUCAGUGCACGGGCGCGAACCCGCGCUACCCGCUCAUUGCCGAUCUAAGGCAGAUGCUCCUGGACGCUCAUCAUGCGCCAAUUCUGCCCCUGAAGUCUCUGGAGUUCUUCAGCAAGGUUUAAUAUCAUUGAGACACGUGUGAAGCAGCUGUGUGUUCCCGAGUGAUGAGGAGAGGAGCGAGAACAUGCUCUCGCAGGUUUUACUUGCGGACCUGCAUCGGUGUUCUUUGAAUGUUAGGAAGAAUUUUGUGUGAAUUGUAAUUGUACCUGUGACUUGGGUUUAUGCGUUGUACUGUCGCGUGUCUAUCGUUCGGAGUAAAGGUGUCCUAUGUCUUAAGCUGCUACUGCAGCAACCGUAUCAUUACGUGCUGUUCUGUACGUCAGCACGUUAAGCGUUACGAGGUUUGCACUGAAUUCUUUAGCGAGCACUUUCGCGUGAGGGAAAAUUGGUACAUUGCCUCGCCUUCACGCACGUGCGUGUGCUGAUAGGGCUCUGCAGUUCACAGGCGAUGAGCUAUAGCAUGUUCAAGGUGACUCAAUAACGUGAUUGCGGUGUUCACGCACGCUUUGGCUUCCCUAGGCUCCUUGCAUUUGCAAUUGUAACAAAAUCAACAAGCUCACUAAUAAUAGAUGGUCCAUAUAUUCCCUUCAACACCGUCUGCAAUUGUAACGAAGCAUAUGAAGAUGUGCAGUCCCUACGGAUUGUAAUCCCUACGGAUGACCAUAGGAGGAAUGUACCAACACGGUAUCACGUGACGCCUUGCCAACAGUUUAACCCCUGGUUGGCUCACAUGCGCUGUCGUACAUCGGGUGAUAGGAUGGCAGAAUAAACGCUACGGCCACGGCAACGAACACGGUGAGCACGUCGUCACCAGUGAAGAAGAAAUUGUGCCGACAGCAACCUUUCUCCUGUACAACACCUUGUACGGUCCUUCUAUGUAGAACGACUGCUAUCCUUCAACAUAUAGUAGCUGACCGCUGAAAAGGCCUCCAGAGGUGUUUGGUGAAGCGCGCGCGCUUCUCGACGCGCGUCGCGCGUAUUUGUAGAUGAUAUGUGUGCGGUACUGUGUAUCAGAGAGUACAGCUCAACAUACCGAGGCACGCCGCAGGGUUCCAGCGUGUGCGUUACGGUGAGGUACGGUGCUGCUCAUAAUCUCCCGCGAUUGGUCUUCUAUCAACCAGCUAAAGGGCGCCCCGGGAGCCUUACAAUAUAUACUAGACACGCAGAGCAAUAUACCUCUAUAUUGCUACUAUAUAUAUGCUGCACUUGUACGGCACAUGCACGGCAACCGUGCGGCGGCAGCUUGCUACCAAAAUACAACAUAUAUCAAACAUACUAUCACAUUACGAUGCACAUAGCCCUGCUCUGCCCCGGUGCCUCCUAAAAAUUCAACGACAACGCCGUUUAGUACCGGAUCUUCCGCCGCCCAUUAUAGCGACGGCAGUGAUUGCAGCACGAACACGUCCUGGUCUAGCGACACCUACUGUGGGCGGAGCAGGAGGAUAAAGUGAUGGAGCUAUAGGGAAAACAUUCAAGGCUCCUGAAGAGCCUCCCCCCCCGAACCAGCGAACCAGCGAACAAGUCGACAGGAGCACAGGAGCAACUGCAACGUCAACCACCAUAGCCACCGCAGCAAUCACAACAAACAUAACACAGUCCCUAAGGCACUGAUUGGGUCAGUAACCCAUGGGUUACCCAUCUUCAACCCCCGGUAGCCCUUUGGUAACCCCCUUGUAAGUUCCUACCCAGCAGGAGGGGUAACACGGCCCCAGGGUAAACCCCUCCGUUGCCCUGGACUAUGGACAUAUGUAUGGGCCUAUAGGCUACUCGUCUUAUAUGCUUCCCACAUCGUAAAUUCCGCUUAAGGAUACUUCUAAAAAUGUAAACGUUAGCAACCUACAGUAUCGUGGUAUCUCGGGAAGCAUUUCAACCUUAAGGUCUCUAAUGCUAGCAUCACACACGCAAGAAAUAAGCAAUAAGUACCUAUGUCUUGGCCUGUUUGGCUUGUAGAUGAGUACAGGAGAGGGGCGAAUGCUGGCAACACACACGCAAGUCGACGACAGGUCUUCAUUAAAUGGAUGCCUUUGGUUGUCAUCCAAUGUUAUAUAAUAGUUGUCAUUGUGAAACAUCAGGCAGUCAGUCCUGAGGUCGGCCGACAUAUUACCGGCCGGGGGUGGUCGUACGCAUAUGUGCAUGCUGCUUUACCUCCAUUGAUACUCCUGACAAGCACUUUCAAGCUGAAUCACAGCUAAUUAGCUUGUAAGCUCAUAUAGUUUGGUCUUUUAAUUAGACGGACAUGCUACAAUAAGCGAUGACCACUAUCACGAAUUCAGUCAAUCAUAUUCACUGCUGGCAUUGUUCCUAUUGACCAUAGAUACAAUGCACACAUAUAAUCCACGUUGCAAUACUGGUGCGUAUGGCGGCAAAAAUGGUGGCGUUCUAGCGUUCGCGCGCGCGGACCACCACAACAAGACCGUUGACUGUCUUUCUGCAGCACAGGCCCACACUUAUGGUGCACCUCAUUUAGCAAGACAUCCAGUGACAUCCGAGGAUUUUUACCUGAGGGUGCCUUACACUUCGCCGGGUGUGACCGUGUUCGGGGUGUCGGAUCUCCCGCCCAAGACCUUUGACGCUCUUAGGAGAGCCUGCUCUGAAAAUGAGCAGACUCUGGAUAGUGUUGCAUAGGUCGUGCGUAGAGCUGGAAGUAGCAGGUCGGGACGGGGCACUUAAGCUACUGGCCGACCUUAAGGUAAUGUAAGCUUACAUUGCCGCCCGUUGGCUGGUCCGCGAGUUUUAGGUCUUGGGUCCGGAGCGGCGGUAAGUGCCUGGACCUUUUGAUAGGAAUAUUUAUUGGCUUCACUGGCGGCUUCUCGCUGGCGGCGGUCCCCAAUUUGCUCUGCCUACGUACGCCUCUUCGUCCUCCUCCUUGCAUCUAGGCUGCAGCUGUGUGCCUUACCCUUAGGUCUAGGUUUCUACACAAGGCAUGUUUUGGUGCGUCAAUGUUGAUAAUUGGGCAUUCACAAGUGAUUGGUGAAGACAUGUAUGUUUGCGUGUGUAGACAGGCGAGACAGGUGCAGGUGAAUGUAAACAUGGGUUACCCUGUCUGUUACCCAUCAGUAGUGUAUUACCCCGACCCCUUUGUUACCCCUCAGUAAGGGGUUACCCCUACCCCGGGGUUAGGUUACCCACCUCCCUUCGUACAUAGCCACAUGGGUAACCCCUAACCCUACACCCUGGGUUACGCUUAAGGGGGGGUUACCCCCCGUUUUAUGCCAUAGGGAGUUUGAGACCGCAGAUGCAACAGCAGCAAAUGCAGCAUCAACUGUCGUCGAAGCCAUCGCAACAACAGACCACGCAAUUGCAGGUAACGAAGCUGCAACAGGGACAGUUGGAGCCAGUGCAGCAAUAUCCUGCCUCAUUACCAGCUGGCCUGCUGGCUCUACUCUUCGUGAGUCUAGAGCCCACUGCAACAACCAUACACACAUUUUCAUCAAAAGCAUCGUGGUGCAGAGCAGCGCGUGCGUGCGUGCGUGCGCUGCUAUGUAAGCGUCAUUAAUUGCUGCCAUGAUGCAUGGAGCACACCGGCCUAGUGGCCGCCAGGCCGGUAACGAGCGACCCAUAAGGUUCUUUAUCGUGCCCGUCUCAAACAUUCAACGAACAGAAGAACAGAAAAAAACACAUUACCCAAACUUUGCACCUAAAUUUCUACCACUUGGUUGGUGCUGCUGGACGCUGUGCCUGGUCGUUCGGCGGCCCCAGGCUGGAUCCGCCGCCUUGGACUUACAGUUCGUAUGGCGAAGUACAGUGUGGUAGUGGUGGAUGGUGCUAUAAAUCGUAGAACUGACAAUGUGAUAAAGCGGCCCAGAAGCCUCCCACUCUGUAACAUUACAAAUACAAAUUACAUACCUACUAAGCGCGGAAAAGAGCUUAUACUUAUAACGGCACUUAGCGAUAAACGCUACCCCUGCUAUCUGUUCCAGACACUUGCAGUUGCCGUACAUGCUUUGCGUCGGGUCACCAGCGAUACGACCUUCCCUGGCGUAUUAGGACAAUUCCUUGCUAUGGCAAGAACUAUAACCCCGCCGCCCGCAAAGUCCAUUCAAGAGAUGUGUGUCCACGUUCGCAGGACGAGAUCUCGGUUUAUGAUUUCGGUUAUAGUUGCGCUUAUUCCGCUUACGAGCCUGAGCAGAGCUGACGACCGGCAAACCGAGUCCGACACCAAAUAACGAAAAAUCGCUCUCCGUCAGGGCUAAUUUGCAACCGGAAGACGUUGGGAAGCAAAGCGGCCGUGGAUGUUAUUAGAACAGUCAUAAGGGACGCAUCAGCCAAUUAUAAAUCUGUCAAAGUGUAGCACUAUAGUCUGAAGUCUAGUCGAACCGUAAAACCGUAAAACUGUAAAACAUAAAAACACCUCUGGCUCCACGCGCGCACACACACACAUAUUUGGCACACGCGCACACCAUCUUUUUACCUCAUGACAAUUUCAAUAAUAAGCCCGUAAGCCCGUAAAAACCACGAUCCUUUAUCUUCUUGGGCAGUUGCCGCAUCGCGCUGUUUUGGCAUGCGUUAAUAUAAGCAUGAUGCUCAGGGUCAGAUAUGUAGGAAAUGCUACUGCUGGUACUGCAGCUAAUAAUACAGUUUUCUGCUGCUGCUGCUGCUGCUGCGGCGGCGGCGGCGGCGGCUGCUGAGUUUUAUUGCCGCCUUUUUAUUGCUUUUUAUUGCAGCGUGCGACUUUAUGAUGGCAGCAACGCUACCGCUGUCUGGUUCGCGUCACGGGAAAAGGAGGCUUGCGAAAUGUAUCUGGGCACUUGGGGCAAAAAAUAAUUUUUUUUGGCCCCCGAUUAUUCCGCUACCGACGUCUGAAACUGCCGUCUUGAGAUGCAUCAUGCAGUCACAGUCGACAGUCACAUCCUUUUCUCUCCCUUACGUAAUCGGCGCAUGCGCCACCUUAUUGUCGCUAAAGAUUGAGUUGGCGAGCGGCGCCCAUUGCUGCUGCCACCGCUCACGUAAGGAGGCUGAGGACUGCAGUCUCGGCCGGUCCGCACCUCCGUUGCGUGCGCUGCCGCCGCCGCCGCCGCCGCCGCCUUCUUUUCCCCCACCCUCCGACGGCGCCUCAGUCCCCAGCGGCCCCUGCGUCCCUUCCUUCAAAUUAGGUUCGCUGCCAGUUGGCCGGUUCUUCAACUGCAUCGACCGCCGGAACGACCGUAAUGCGGCCGUCAGGCCGCCGGUAGCGGAGCCUAUCCUGAUCGAGUUGCUUCUCCUGCUCUUAAGGCUGCUACUGCUGGUGCUGCUCCGGGCGACGGCGGCGGAAGCGGCGGCGGCGGAAGCGUCCUCCUGCAGCCCCGCCCGCGUCGGCGACCAAAUGUACGGCCACCGCUCCACCUGCCCGUCCGUCGACUUGACCUUCUUCAGCCUCGGGGCGCCGUACGGCACCAGAACCCGCUGGCUGCCGGUUCUCCAGUAUUGCUCCAUGGCGCUCCGAAGCCGGGCACGCCAGCCCCUUCGUGCGGCGUCAAGCACGAACAUGUUACUGCGCCUGCUCCUGUCGCCGUCGGCGGCGGCGGGCGGCGGCGGCUUGGGUGACGGCGGCGCCGGCGCCGGCUUCGGAGGUGGCGGCGGCUUCAGGCCGUCGUUGCUGCUUGCCGACGCAUAGUGCAUGGCGGCGGCGAUGAGGUUUGUCGAGGUACUUGCAGCAGCUCCCGGACUGGGCCGAAACUGUGGAUCAUCUUCACCGCCGCCGACGCCGCCGACGCCGACGCCGCCCCCGCUGCCGACACUCCUCCUGCGCUGCUCCUCGCCACCUGCCGCCGCUAGCUGGAAUGCCUGGAUCGGAUCCAACGAAACGUCCUUUGAGGUUUGUGAUGCCGGUACGUUGCAGGCCGUCGUGCCCCGAAAUCCGGCGGUGGCUUCCGCUCCAGCGGCGUCGGCGGCAACACAAGUAACGGUAGCAGCAGCGCCGGCGGCAGCAGUCGAGCGGCCGAGCCGAGGGCCCUUGGACCGGGAAGCCGCCUUCGGCGGCGGCGGCAUUAUGCCCCUCCCGCUGCUGCCGAUAUCAUCCCCGCUGUACGGCAGGACAGCAUUUAUGCUGAACCGCGAAGCGGCAUUUCGGUUGGCAGGGCCCGGUGUUAUUGACGGCGAUGGCGGCGACAUCGAGCAUGCUACUGCGGUGGUGGCGCCGUCACCGGCAUCGUUGUGCUGUGGAGUACCCCCGCUGCCGCUGCCGCAACAGUUACCUUCACCUCCUCCUCCUCCUCCUCCUCCUCCUCCGCCGCCGCCGCCGCCGCUGCCGCUGCCACGGCCGCUGUAGCUGCAUCUUCCCGCUGCUGACGAUACAUGGUCCUCAAGGAGUCCGGUUUCGAAUCCUUUCCGGUUCACAUGAUAAUUAUCUUUUUCCUCAGCUGUGGCUGAUGGCCAUGGGUGCGGCGGGGGGGCUUCCUGCGCCGGCAACGUCAUCGACAGGCUGCACUGGCCUUUGCUGCAACUGCCAACCAAGUGUGGACACCGGUAGUCGGACACCGACCAGCUGCUCAGGUCGUCUGGUCGGAGGUUGUUAGAGGCUAUUGGAUGUUGGGGUGCCGAUGACGAUGAUCCCGUCCUGCACACUGCUCGAUCAGGCACAGCGAAGAGUGAGGAAAAGCCAAGUGAAGGGAUCCGAAGGGGUCCGAAGGAGAACGCGGGGUUCCGUCGGGGAGCGAAGAGGAUGGCGAAGAGAGCGGUGGGAGAUGCGAGGGGGGACGGUGUGUUUUUGACACCAACAGCUAUUGUCUACGGAUCGCUCGCACGCGUAAGAUGUUACAGUACGGCGCCGGACGGCGAUGGCAACGCCUUAGCAGGCAGCAACCUCAUGACGAGUCCAACCAGCGACACGAUAUCCCGCCCGUACCCUCCACCCAGCCCAGCCCAGCCCAGCCCAGCCCAGCCCAGCCCAGCCCAGCCCAGCCCAGCCCAGCCCAGCCCAGCCCAGCCCAGCCCAGCCCUAUCUUACCAGGGCGCAUCUUGUUACUCCGGUGAUGUCGCAGCACUGACAGCAACUUGGGCAGUCCCGACGUCGCUGACGUCGCCGCCGCUGCGCCCAUGAUGGUGGCGGCGGCGGCGUCAGCGGUGCCGGCGGCGUUGCGCCGCGACACCGACGACGACGAUGACAACCUCCUUGACUUCGAAGCAGUCAACGAGCGCGCGCGCACGGCAGAUUUACGGUUCCUGGGCAUGUCGGUAUUGCUGCCAGCCGCGUGGCCCUCCGCCGCCAGCGCACUUGGGCCUUUCGGGGGGCCUGGCGGGCGGUGUGCAACUCCGCGAGGCGGGGGCCGGUAGGAGAGGCCAUGUAUGGUCUGGUACCGCAGACACUACAAAAGCAAAAUUAAACGGGUGGGUUGGGCGGGCGUACAUACAUACCGACAUUACUAGGGUUUGGCACCACUGGUAAGGCGCGACCAUUGCCCCCGGGAGAUCCCGGGAUCGAUACCCCUUAGGGUCAAAAGUCCUUCCGAUGGUGGAAGGCAUUGCGCCCCUAGUUGAUGGACGGUGGUGACCUGGGAUAAAGUUAACCUGCGAGCCGACCAGGAAUGGAGUUGCGCCGCUGUCGACCCGGCAGAUUCCGUUGGAUGCUGGUGGUGGGUGCGGAACCUGAGCGAUCCACUGAGAAGUUGACUAGGGUGACUGGAUGAGGGUGCCCCGAAAUACCGGGGAAGGCAGGGUUUCGCAGGGUAGCUGCCACGGGCGAAGAUACACCCCCCUGUUUCACACAUCAUACCGACCAAUUGACUUGGCAAUACGGCAGUACGACAGUACAAUAGUACGACAAUACGGCAGUACGACAGUAUGGCAGUACGGGAGCGCAUUCAUUGAACCCGUAAAAAACGCCGAGCCAGGCGUUUACCUCACCUGUAGGGUUUCCUCCCAGCUUAUCGUGCUUUCCUGGCCCCCAUUGGGCCGCCGCCGUCUCGGGACGGAAUCCGAGGCGGAGGCGGCGACGGCGGCGGCGACGCCAACGCUUCCGUGUUCGCUGUAUAAGCUGGUGCUGCUGGCGCUGCUGUGGUUUCCAUUGGAGACCGUUACAUCACGAUGUCGUACGAAUGUCGUACGGUACGGCGCGACCAUGCCCGUCGCGCCCGGCGCGAUACUGUCGGUGCUGGGCCGGUGACCAAUGGGACCGUGGAAGGAGCUCUGCACCUUGGGCGGUUCGCGCAGGCGUUUGCGAUCCGCGCCGGAGACCGGAACAGAUGGCGGCGAAAUCCCAAGAACGGCAUCGCUACGCCGGUAUUCGCGGUCAGCGGCGGCGGCAGCGGCGCCGCCGCCGCCGCCGCCAUGAGUAACCACCGUGAUGCGGCCUCGGAUGCUCAUGUCUGGCGUCGGGGCCACAAGCCCGACCCCGGAAUGGACGUUUGCCGCCGCCGCCGCCGCCGCCGCAACUGUGGAUCGGGGAAGAGGACCUUUAAGGGCAGCGAUGGUAUCGGAGGUGUUUAAAGGCGACGGCGGUGGCGGCGGCAGCGUGUAUGGCACGCCGGCGGGAGCGUAGCCUUGGAGCAUCCCCCCGUAUUCCCUCAGGUGCGAUGCAGCGCCGCCGCCGCCGCCGCUACUGCUCCGCACACCUCGCGACGGCGUCACAGAAGCGCUUGUGCCACCGCCUCGUCGUACACUGCGGUUGGAAUCCACCGUCAUCGCCUCCGCCGGCCCGCUGGGCCUACCCCUGAGGUGGGUUGAUUCACCUUGGCUGUCGUCGGUGACGUCGGCUGCAUCAGCCGUGUACGGCGAGCAGGACGAGGAGACAGCCGAAGGGACGGGGUUUCCAGCGGUGACGGCGGCGGCGGCCGCAAUGCUAGCGGGCGGGGCUGGCCUCGCCGCCACAAGCGACAUCGACAUUGGUAAGGGCGCGGCGCCCUUGCGCCGGCGCACCGACGGCGUCGAUGCCGCAUCUGACUCAGCGCCCGCGCAGGAUGCCGUCAUGUGGCCGUUACGGCGGUGCAGCGGUGACGCGAGGCGCGCCAGCAACAUGGCGUCAUGCUUGUCGUACAUAGCAGUGUACUUCCAACUGGGGCUGUGCGCCGUCAGCGCGGCGUAACGAUCUACGGCUAUACUCCCGGAUAAGGUAUUGCUGGACGUCUUUCCUUCGCCACGAUCGCCGCUGCUGUCGCCGACGUCGCUCCCGCCGCCGCCGCUGCCGCCGCUCUGAACCCCUCUGCCCUCUUCAUUUCCAUCAGUUCCGCUUUCUUCUCGCGCGCCUUCGUCAUCGCUUUUCCCCAGCGGACCGGGGCCCUCACCAAAGGGACAUUGACGGACGCCAACGCUAAUCUCAGCGCUGUCGCCGGACGCCUCCGCCUCCGCCUCCGCCGCCGCCACCGCCGCGAUCUCUUCAGUGCCAUGGCUUAUAACCACAUCCAGGCGCGACGGUCGCAGUCGCCAGUACGACGUCCCGAAUUCCCCGCCGUCGGAGCCCGCGCUGCGGUGGCUGAAGACGAAGGAGCCGCUGACGCUGCCGCAUAUGCGGCGGCCGAGGCCCUUGCGGUCCUGGCUGCCAGCCAGGGCGGGAGUCACGGACGGUGUCUCCGGUGCACUGAAACGGGUGCGAGGGGGCGCGAUGCCGAAGGAAGGCUCCUCCGCCACCGCGUCGUCCUCCUCCUGGCUUCCACUGGGGUCCCUGGCGCAGAAGGGCGUAUGGAGUCCCGUCGUACCGUCGAUGCAGCGGCGCCUGGACGCCCACCGCUCCGAAGUUGCCGCCGCCGCUGCUGCCGCUGUGAGUUGUGACGGCGGCGGCGCGGCCGCCGCCGCCGCUGCUGCCGCGGCAAUAUGCUGUGUCGUGGAAAUUCGUGGAGUAUUGCUACAGCCGCCGCUGCUGCCGCUGCCGCUGCCGCUGCCGCUGCUGCCGCCGCCAACCGCACCUCCCUGGUUCUUGAAACCUGCAUCUGCCUCAACCGCGUCCGAGGUCGCCGCCGCCGCCACCGCCGCCGCCGCUGGGCCCCCGAAGCCAGCAUCCUCCUUCUUCGGCGGCGAGCGCAGGCUGCGGUAGGGCGAUGAUGAGGAGCUGCCGUCUGCUGAGAUUGCCUUGGUUUCGGAGCGCAGGCGGUAGUGGCAACUGCUAGUGCCGCUACCGCAGUUAAGGAGGGAAACGCUGCCGCCGCUUGUAAUGCCGCCACUGCCGCCACUGCCGCCACUGCCGCCACUGCCGCCACUGCCGCCACUGCCAUUACUACUGAUACUGCGGCCACUGCCGUAGCCGCGCCCUCGCAACCCCGUCCCCACAGCUCCUUCGUGGACAUCCACAGCGCUGCCAGCCGGUGUGGGGGAGGCGGGUACAGCAUCGGUAAUACAAGCGCUGAUGGUACGGGACGGCACGAGGUCGACGGCAACGUCGACGCCGCCGCAGCCUAGCGGUGGCUCAUCCCCCCCCAAUGCGCCAUCGUUUGGUCGCGAGACUCGCGGCUCGCGCCUUGACGGCAAGUCCUCAGGGCGCCAAAUAUCCACCUGACCCGGCAGGACGGGGUCGCCGUACGCAUCGUCGCUGUGGGCGGCAGCGCCUGCUGCUGCUGCUGCUGCGGCGGCGGCGGCGGCGGCGGACUGCCGCGGGCCUCUGCCGCCUCCGCCGCCAGUGUCACUAGCGCGGAGCUGACCCCCAGAGGCUCCGCUGCCUUCGUUACAUGUCGUACCUGUCGUAGCGCUGCAACCACCACCUUCCGCGGAAUCGUCGCUGUAUACCGCGUUGAACCCACCAUCAUCUGCAACGUUUCGCAAUGAGUCAAAGUGCAUGCUGCUCUCCUCCCAGAUGGUGGAGUGGUGGCUGAACCGGUGCUGGUCACGUGCACAGCCGCCGCCACCGCCGCCAUAGGAAUCAGCACCACCGCCUCCGCCGCCUCCGCUGGCGGCGACGGUGGCAGCGGCCGCGGGGGACCGUACACGUCCGCAGUGCUGUUCCGGGUCGGCGGCUGAUGCCACCGCCUCGCCCGCCAGCCGCCACAACAUCUUGGCCGUAAUCUGGUCCAUGAUGCCGCCGGAGAACUCCGCGUCAGGUUCCGCCGUUGCCUCCGCCGUGGCAGCGGUAGCGGGGACGGAGACGGCGGCGGCGGCGCCGCCGCCGCCGCAGCCACCAUCGCCGUUAGGCGCGGCGACCCGGCGACAUAAGCGAGGAGGCGACGUGUGAGGUGCCGGAAUUUCCUUCAGGUCCUCAUCAAGCCGCCCUUCGCCCAGCCCAACCGCCGCCAGGCCAAAAACCGUCCCAAAGCGUCCCCCUCCCAAGAAGUCGGUUUGAAAGCCAGUGCCAGCCUGCGGCUCCCCCUCCUCCUCCCCCUCCUCCUCCCCCUCCUUCGCAGCCCCCAACAGGAUUAGCUCCUGCUGCUGUAACGCCUGCGCAUGGGCCUGCGCUACCGCCAAUGCACGUAUCAGUGCGUCCUGGCUGCGGUGUCGUUGACGGAACAGAACCGCUUCUUCGACGGCACGCUCCGCCGCUGCGACGGUGUACGGCCCCGGCGGCGUCGCCGCCAGCUGCAGCAGCAGCCGUACAAGUCUACGAACGGCCCCUUCAUCCACUGCCUGAUCGCCUCCAUCAGUGGUAGAAGCGGCGAACAUGCAAACGCCGCCAGCGGCACUGCUUCUGCCGCCAUAGCUACUGCCGCCAAGGCAAAUGCUGCAAUCUCCGCCGCCUGCGGCAUGGUCGUUGCCAUCUUCAACACCCUCGGCGCCGACUGCGACAUCAUUGCCGCGGGUUUGCUGUACCGGGCACGGAGAUGGAGGGGAAGCUGGGAAGGAAGGGGGAGAUUGAAGGGGGAAGGGGGAUUUGGGGGUUUUGUCUGCGGCUCUGAAUGUAACUCUUUCAGUGCUGCGGAGGGCGCCGACUUCCUCGACGGGCCCGGUGCUGGCCACAGCCUCCCUCUGCCCCGCCUGCCCAACCGGGGGUCGGAUUACUUCCCCCUCUGAUGUGUCCUUAUCAUCCUCUGCUACAAUUACUACUACUGCUGCUGAUGCUGCUGAUGCAGAUGGUGAUGAUGAUCUUGUUGCUACUGCUGCUUCUGGCUCUGUUGCUGCGUCAGCGUACGGUGGUGGCGUUUCAUCAUCGGCACGUCUUUGGAACGUCAAGCUUGCUGCCACGACGUCUUGCUCCCAUGCCAGGAAAGAUUGCGGAUCACCGGCGGCUGAUGAUAACAAUGAUAACUGUAGGACAUCGGCAUGCAGGUGCCCGGCACCCGUAGCAGCAGUAAUCGCAGCGGUGGUAUCCACAUCCACAGCGGCACCGGCCGUCGCCCCAACAGCAUCACCACCAGCAUCACUUCUCACCCUCUGCUCGGCGGCACUGCUUUUGUGUGUAUCAUCGCAGCAGUUGUCGUCAGCGGUAACAACAGUAGCGGUAACAGUAGCAGUAGCCUCUGCUGGUUGUGCAGGAGGAGGUGACGUAAACAUCAGCCACUCCGCACCUCCUGGAUCUGGAGGGUCCCUUGGGUCACCUUCACCGCUCAGAGCCAACUGGAUGGCCACCUCAGCGGGAGGAGCUCCAACGCCGCCGCUGCCCCGUGUCGGCGAGGGAGCCCACGGCGGCGGCGGCUGAGGCGGUGGCGGCACUCCUGCCGGCGGCGACGGUGACGACUGCACCGGCCGCGUCGGCCUCUGAUGCUGCGACGCGAGUCCGGCCGCGGCAGCAGCAUGCGUCACGACGCUCAGGGGGCCGUUGGCGGCGGCGCUGGGCGCCGCUUGGGCGGCCGCUGCCGCAGGAGCCGCCGCUGCCGCUGCCGCGGUCGGUGGCGAGGCGGGGAAAAAAGCCGGCGGCAGCCCCGCCCUGCAGGAGCUAUCACCCUUACACUCCGCUGCGUGCAGCAGGCUGGCCUCCACUCCCACCUCAGCUUCCACUUCCUCGCGCGUCAAGGCAGGGGAAGAAGUUUCCUUGAGUGGCAAGGACGCGGAGCCUGGUGUGCUACGGCCAGAGACGGGGGCCCUCCUGUCCUGGCGCUGGCUCGUCCCCGUUGCCGCCGGCGGCCCCGUCGACCUGGCGGCGCCGGGAGCGGACUGCCUGGGGAAGCAGGCCCUGGAUCCAGAUCCAAUCCAUGAUGAUGAUGAUGAUGAUGGCGACGGUUUAUCGGCUCCCGGAAGAACCUGGGGCUGAUGUGUUGUGGUGUGUGUGUAUGUGUAUGUGUGUAUGUGUGUAUGUGUGUAUGUGUGUAUGUGUGUAUGUGUGUAUGUGUGUAUGUGUGUAUGUGUGUACAUGGGGACAUGGGGACAUGGGGACAUGGGGACAUGGGGACAUGGGGACAUGGGGACAUGGGGACAUGGGGACAUGGGGACAUGGGGACAUGGGGACAUGGGGACAUGGGGACAUGGGGACAUGGGGACAUAUGUGCGGAGGGGGCGGUUGUGAGCGGUCCCUUUUCCAACUUCGCACCCAACAACCCCCUUCGCCCCCUCUCAACCGUUUCCCCAGAACAAGCUUUUACGUACGUCCGGUGGUGCUGGCUGGCAGGCCUAGCUUCCUAUAAUGGCGAUUGGCAGUGAGGUUAGGAAUCCUAGGGAUGCAAAGCCGAUUUUUAUUUGGAAUUCUUAAAUAGGUUUACCUUCAGAAAACGUUUUUGGCCCUCUUCCUUGUCACCACUGCCCCCGCCGCCGCCGCCCCCGCCGCCGCCGUCAGCAUCGCUGGCUGCUGAUGUUGCCGCUACCGUCGCCUGCAGCAGAGCUCGCCGUACAUCCAGUUGCAACUUCUCCAACCGCCGCGCUCCAUAACCACCCCAAGGCUCCAAAACCUGGAUGGGUUCACCGCCGCCGCCGUACUGCAGCAGCAGCUGCUGCUGCUGCUGCUGUCGCUGUGGCGGCGCCGCCACCGUAGAUGUCACUGCUGCGCGGUGGGGUUGCAGCUGCACUACCGGCGGCCUCGCCAUCGACCCAACAAUGUCCUCCUCCUGCUGCUGCUGCUGCUGCCGCUGCUCCACAACGAUAAGCUGCCCCUUGCUGCGGAAACCUCCUCCCCGGCUACUUGCCGCUCUUCCUGCUGGUUGUUGUUGUUGUCCCGUAAAGCAGCCCCUCAGCAGCAUCCGCACCCUGAUGCCCAACGGAGGUAAUUCCGCGAGGGAGGAGGACCGCGCGCCGAGAGUUGUAUAUACAUAUCUUUAAGGACCGAUGUCUCUCUCCUCGAACUAACUGCUUACAAUUGCAAUGGCCUGGCGGCGGCCCUCCCAGGAGGAUGCGCACUAACGCUUGAUAUUGCGUGGGGAGGUUGAGGGCGAGCGAUGCUGCACCGAUGUAAUAUACCAGAUAGACCCCCAGCCGUAAUGCAGGUGGAUGCCGCGAUGUGGGAUGUUGGGAUGGCAGGCUCGUUUAGGCCGGUUGGCAAGUUGUCAUCCAGGCUUGCAGCAGGACGGUGAUGAACCGGCUGAAUCUUGUUUUUAUAUGUGUGUACAUAUGAUUUAAACGCUUAUACUAAUGCAUGCACGCCAGGGCUCAAGCCCCUGAGUAUUUCCUUACGACUUGUAUACCUUGGCAAUGUACGUAAAUAACCCCGGAUAUAACCUGAUGUACGUCCGUAAUAGGUAUCGAUAUUUAACCGAUAUUUAACCGAUAUUUAACCGAUAUUUAACCGAUAUUUAACCGACAAGUAACCCGGCAUCUGCAAGCCGGCAUAUUUCAUAAAAUAAUUGUACACGCGUAAAAAAUAUAUAUAUGCAGAUACAUAGGCUAACAGAAGGCCAAACAUACAGACAGACAAGGCGAGGCAGCGCUUUGUAACGCCAGCGAGCUGAACAGCUCAAAAGAUGUUGAACAGGUCGCGGAUCCAAGAAGCCAUUACGCAUUACUGCUGCUCCUGCUAAUUUCGACCCUCUUAAUAACAGUUGUUUCCUUAUCACCCAUCCAACUAACCUGUCACUCAGAGAGACGCGGACAGCAUCAUCACGAGCAGCAGCAGUGUUAAUAGUAGCUGCCGUUGCUGCGGCCGUACUGCCUGUACUGCCUGUACCGCAGCCAGCACCAUUAGUACUGCCAGCAUCAUUAGCAUGAUGACUAGUACCAGUAACACCAGCACCAAGGAAAGGCGGCUCCAGCAACAACCCCGCCAAUCCGUCUUCGAUGGCCCCAUUGGGUUUCAUUCGUCCAGGCGCCCCGGACGAAGGGCUCCAAGCUCCAACAGCUCCACUGCCCGCAGCCAGGACCUUCGCGCCGGCAGCAGCCGCGGCCGUAGGGGCCGCAGCAGCGGCACCAAGCGCGGCAGCCGCUGCAGAAGCAGGAUGCAGCACGGGAGGUAGAAGCAGGCGACCUGACAUCAGCAGCCCCAGCCACUCACCCUGAACUUCCAGAAGCUUUUUCAAUUUAGCUUCUCCUCCAUCUCCGUCUUCCUCCUGCUGCUUCUGCCCCUUUUCGUCCUCUUGCUCAUCAUCAUCAUCAUCAUCAUCAUCAUUACCAUCAUCAUUCUCACCAUCGUCUUCAUCGCCAUCGCCACUAUCCCCACAAUCAUGGCCGCCACAGCCGCCACUGCGACCGCUAGCCCGACAGCCACCGCCUUGGCGCGCAGCUGCACACCCGUCACCACCGCCGCCGUCUUCGCCAACAGUAUCCGCAGCGUUAGCGACCUCAGCAGUGCUGGCGGUGGCGACAGCGGCGGCGACGGCGCCGCCCCCCCCAUUGCCACUUCGCACCGCAAGCGGGGAGCUGGGGGUGCUCUGUCGGCCGCCGCCGCCGCCGCUGGUGUAGGGUCUCCUGGCGGAAUUUCCAGCGCUGCACCUGCCAUCGCGCCCGCUGACACAACUGCCAAAACCACCGCCGGAAUGAAAUCCGUUGCGCUGGCGCUGCUGGUGCUGGUACUGAUAGCGACCUAGUGUCGUGCAACGUUGAAGGCGCAGGCCGCCCAAGCCACCAGGGCCCUGCGGUGGUGGGGCACCGCCGAUGUGUUUUGGUUUCGGAGAUGCCACCGGAACAGCCUUUUUGCAGCCCGCGAUGGCGACACAGCGCAGGAAGGGCGGCAAGAUGCCUCGAUGCAGAAGUGGCUGUAGUUCCCGCGAGCAACAACCGCCGUAACGGCUGCCACAACUGCCGCCGAUGACGACGUCACAGCUUACGCAGCCGCCGCCGCUGCCGCAACCAUUGUCUGACGCAGCUACUGUUCUUGCCGCCGCCGCCGCCGCCGCCGCCGCCUCGUUGCCGCAAGAAUCCGGCUGAGGGUGCAUUCCAGAGCCGGUACUUUGACGUAGUACGGCCGCCAACGCCGCAGCAGCAGAGGCCCGUCGCCUCGCCUCGCCGCGGAGUGGUGCCACCUGCUCCGCUGCGCAGGGCAUCGCAGCCGACGUCGCCGCCGCCGAGGCUUCAGCAGGCGGCAGCGGCAGCGGCUGCGCCGCCGCCGCCAGCCUGAUGAGGAGAAGCUGAUCCAGGAAGGGAAAGGCAGCGCAACGGUACAACCGGCCCGCGGAGGACGCGAGGGCCGAUGAUAGCAGCGGCGGCGGCGGCGGCACCGCUGCCGCCGCCGCCGCAAGGGACUGCCCCUUAGCUAGCAGGAGCCCCAGCGGCGACUGUCGUACGGCUCCGUAACCUGAGCCGUCUAUGGAGUCGCCUUUAAUGGAACGGAAGCUGUUCACGAGCGGGGUGACGGGAAGUCGGAGCAGCAGUGGCGACGACGGUGACGGCGGCGGCAGCGGCGAGGACGGUGACGGCGGCGAUUUCGUAAAGCCCGGCGCCACAGCAGCGUGAGCAGACUCUUCAUGGGGUUGUGCCGGUGCGCUCUGAAGAGGGGGAGGAGGAGGGGGAGGAGGAGGAGAGGGGGGAGCAAAAUUGAUGGUAGAACCAUGAUGGAUCAAAACGAAGGAGCUUUUCCAACAUGCGGUGGUACGGAUGCAGCCGCUUCGUGGACGACCUUCAUGCAGGCAUCCUUCUUCCCACCCACCCCACGCAACCCCCACCCUACGCAUUGGCAUGGGACGCGCCACCGUCGCCAGCGGUCAGCCGCUGCCACUGCCACUAUCCAUCCGUCCGUCCGUCCGUUCGUACGUAUGUACGUAUGUACGUCCGUUUGUAAGUAUGUUCGUAUGUACGUACAUCCUGCCGCCGCCACCUACCCCACAAAGGCCUGUGCCGCUGUCCGGCAGCAGCCGGCUUUUCUUCGAAGCGCCGCGUGCUGGCGGCUCGCUGUCGUACAUGGCCUGCGUUGUCUGCUGCCGCCAGAACCUGACUCUUCCGGGCCUGCUCCCACCGGGCCGCUCUGUCCCAGUCUGGGCCUCCAAUCCAGGACCCGACCUAGAUGGCGGCGUGCUGCGGCUCAUAGGCGGCAACGACAAAAGCACAGCACGGCAAAGCAUAGCACGGUCAUAUCAUAUCUCAGCACGGCAAGCGCAGCGUAUCUCAGAACGGCAAAGCACAGCACGACCAAGCCACAUCUCAGCACGGCAAGCACAGCAAGUUACAGCAUGGUCACAGCACGGCAAUUCACAGCACGGUCACAUCAUAUCUCAGCACGGCAAGGCACAGCACAUGAACGUCCUUGUAUGCGCGCAUACACCCCGAACUGCUCACAUCACGGGAACCUCGAGUAUGUCGGGGAAUGGUGGCAACUGUGAUGGCAGCUCCGCUGCUCCAGUGGCCGUCCGCGGAAGGGCCCUAUGGACACCUCGUAGACCGCGUUCACCGACCAGCAACUUGAAGGCGCUGGGAUCAAGGGAGCAAGAGCGCUGCAGUCGCAGGGGUCUCGCGCCGCCUUUAUGCACCUGCGGGUGCACAGACAGUUGUAAUGGUGACGCCGCAGCAUGCGGCGGCGGUGGCGACUGAGGAGGCGACUGAGGUGGCUGCUGGCCCCAUCCGGCGGUGGCGAAAGACCAGCCGCCCCGGGCCGCUGCGCCACCACGCAUGACGUUGCUGCUACACUGGGCAGCUGUAGUGGCCUGGCGGCCAAAGAGGCUUGACCUGACGAUUUCGGGAGGUCUUUUGAGGUGAAAGUUGAACGGGGAGCCCUGAGCCGAUCUUGAAGCCAGUAUGCCGGCAGGUGCGGGUUGUAGCUCCUGUGGAUGUGAUUGACAAAUAAGGAAGACGACUUUCCGGAGAAACUACGUACUGGCAGUGCUGAAUCAUAUUGUUUAGUUUAAUUUAAUAGUUAAUGCCAUGUUUGUGGCUUAAAUCUAUGAGUACAUGUGGAGAUGGGCACCAAGUCCGCGAGUCGGCUUUUCGGCAAGUUGGACACCGCACGCGGUGGGCAAUGACCAGCUUUGUAACAACCGUAGUUGCAAUCUCACAGCAAAAAUAUAUAUUACAGGGAUGAAAUUUCCAAAUAAAACGAUGAUUAUGGUCAUCCAUUCUCCAACGCUCAUCAAGAAAGAGGAAGAGAAGUGGGCGAGACCUGUUUAGUUAGCCCCGAGGUCGGCAGCAUAAAGGGCUCCCAGGCCAAUUUCAUGAGAGCCAGCUGUAGAGCUGCAGAUCUGCGAUAGAUCGGUUUCAGUGGACAUGCCCCUCUGGAUACCCCCAGAUACAAGCUGGGGGUCCCAUUUGCCCUAGCAGAAAUGUAUGGCGAACCCCCGGUGACCCAGCCGCUUAUCUUCUUGCACUUCUUCCCACACGCGGCUCUGCACAAUACGGUCCUACUCUCACCUGCAGCGUGAAUGGCUCGGGGCCGAUGUGCAGCAGCACUGCCAGGUCGGCGUGCAGCUGCUGCAGGCCGAAACACUCCCCUUGGAGUGCUUCCAGUCCCAGUGCGCCAGGGCCGGGACGCACCCCCACCGCGAUGGUGUUGAAGUGCAGCUGGUCGGCAGCGGCAGGAAGGUACUGGACCUGUCGGGAUCGAUGCGAAUGUUGGAGGGAUGUGUGCGUGUGUGAGAGGGUGUGGUGAGAGUUUGAGCGAAGAAGCGAAGAUGGGCGUUUUUAGGGAUCGACACCGAUGUUCCAAAAUUUUGAACAGAACAGACCACAAAAGUGGUGUGGCAUGUUUGACACUCCGGUCUUCUAUAACCAAUCUUUUUAGCUGUUUGGACUGUUUGAGGCUUGCGCACAAGUGGCAAAAAAGUGGAAUGCAUACGCAUUGAGGUAUCGAUAUCGCUUUUGCAUGUUAAGGGUCGUAUAACUGGCUCUGGGAAAGCCAUUUCUGAUAUCUGCCAACGUAUCAUUCCCCGACGUUUCAGAGCCUGGGCGUUGAGAACCAACCUGGACACCUGCGCGAGGUGCCGCAUCUGAUAUGCGAACCACACGCCCGGCUAGCAGUGUUAUACCCGCGAGCAGUUGGCCAGAUGAAGCUCCAGUAUCGGUUCCUGCGGAGUCUGCUCAGAGUGUCGAUGGAAGGCCUCGUCGUUGCAGCGCGUCGUUCGACUUGCCCAUGGACAUGUGCGAACGAGUGCGCGGUCGAUUCUCGUACCUGAAAUGACUACACAUCGCAGCCCAGGUGCAUGUCGCAGAAUUGAUUGGCCUAAUGUGGCGCCGUGCUGUGGGUUCCGGGCAAUCACGCAAACCGUCGCUGCCAUAGGACGGCCCGUGGACCGGUACUGUAGUACGCUUUACUAGACCGCCAAACAAAGGCUGUGAGGCGUGCUAUUUGAGUUUUUCAAGCUCAUUCGGAAAGCUUUUCGCGAAAACGUAAGCACGUGUGCGACCUGUCAGUUGAUCCUGGCGUACAAACUCUAGCGAAAUUCAGCAUCCGAGAAUGUAAAGGUAGGAAAGCUUACACUUAAAUAAAUUCAUCCGUUGCAAUAUUAUAUGUCCUUUGCAUAUAUGGCAAAUCUUCGCCCUCUAGGCGAGGAAGACGAGCAGACCCGGAUAAAGUACAGCAGUCUGCCUAAAGCGAAGGGCUACACCAAAAAUCGGGUUAACGCAAUCCUAAUAUUUCCGAGUUAGCAAUAUGAAAUGUGAGGGCACAAUAGGUAAGGCUUCCGUGUUGGCUCACUUGCAUCAUGUCAACGCGGUAGCGAGCAUCUUACCUGACACACCUCGGGUGUCCCAUUGCCAUCAGUUUAAUUGUUCAUUCGUUCAUUCCACCCUUCUGCCCAUGGCAUGCCCAUAUAUGCAUAACCCGGCCCAAUUCACAGUGCCAUCCCACGACAUCUCUCCAGUCGCCGCAAUGGUAAAAUCUACCCGAUGGAAACCUCGUCCAUGGAAAAGAGAUCCAAAGUUCCCCAAACCAGGAUACUGAAGUGCACAGGCUUGUCCAAGUAUGGUGUUCAACACGGGAUAUGGGACAGCCGCAUCCAUUCCUGUUGCAGGCCGUCCCCGGCAGUCAUAAGAGCCCUAUACGUCAUCACACAUCAUACAUCAUGACAAAAGCCACCGCGGCAUUGCAUCGGCAACGCACUCACUGCGGCCCUGUGUGUCGCCCACAAGUCAAAUGGAUAGAUAAGGCAUGGAGGAGAGGCGCGCGACGAAACGCAGCGCGUACAGAACCUCCUCCUCCACACCUGACCUGUUCUGGCUGUUCUGCAGCCACACCUCAACACACCAGGCCACAAUGCCACGGCAGCUCACUGCUCACAGCCAUCAGAAGACACCGCCGCGGGGUUUCGAAACUUCACAGACCACACCAUCUCCACCCCCCACCCCCCAAGCAAUCCGAGCUGUGCAUUAUACAAACAACAAACUCAAUAGCGCAGAAUACGAGACACUAGAAGGUCGCCCGCGGCCGCGACACAACAGCUUCGCACCGCCAAUUCCACUUCAAAAACGAGGCAAAAUGUCAAAAGAAGGGUCUUUCCCUCCUCCUCCAUACAAACACCGAGGCUUUCCAAACAAAAGGAUUUUUUUCUCUAGGUCAAAAAAACAUUCCACUUUUUCCAAAGCGACAGGCCGCCUGGCCGGUCAGGCAAAGCCCUCGUUCCGCCACGAUAUUAUGCAUAUUCGACGACUCAAAAGACACGUGUUAGUUACCAAACGCCUGGCCCCGGCUGCAGCGUGCGCAUCCACCGCAGGCGGAGAGUUGCCUGCUAUCGGGACUGUAGACUUCACCCCUUCACAUCCCUUCUCCACCCAAAAUGCAAGCCUCCUCCCUCCUUCCCCCCGCCCCCGGUCCGAAGUCUGGUCCCGGCCGCACGCUUUUAAGUCGACCAAAAAAGGGCCUUGGUUGGCGGUCGUAAACGAUGAUAUGCUGAUGUUGAUGCUGAUGCUGCCGCCGCCGCCGCCGCAAGAAAAAGGCGACUCAGCCCAAAUAGCUUCCGUAACCCUCUUACCUAUCCACCUCCACCACGACCUAUAUGCCCUAAUGGCCACUUCCUUCAACACGAAAAUGGAAGCGGCUGCCGCGUGCUAGAGCACGGAUGCCAGGUGCGCCACCACCGCCACCACCGCAAUCAUUCGCCACGUUCCCAACUCACCCACAACAGCAAGCAGAAGCACCACACGCACACACACACACACACACACACAACCCCAACACUGUACACAUCACAGCACAACUUGCACUGCCGUAUUCGUCUUCCUCCGCAAGGGCUCCUCUGCAUCACCAUUAUCAUCAUGUGCGUGUAUUCAUCUAUUCGUUCGAGCCGUGGCGUGUAGAUGCCGUAUUGCCACAUCGCAUGUCAUAUCCACGUCCCACGCGCCGGCGCACCCACGACACCCCCCUAAACCAACCAAGAGCCCAGCCACCCCGCCCAGCCACCCCGCCCAGCCACCCCGGGAUAAACGCCAAAAAGAGUGAAACAGCCCUCACUCACUUCAAUGCUCUAUGCCGCGGAAGUGUAUCUGAAUGCAUCCGGCACACCUUGGAGCUCCACCCCCCCACACACGCACACACACCACCGGUCGGAUUCCGUCAGGUCCGAUCCGACCCGGUAGCAAAAUGGCGACUAGGGCUGACAGCCCAAUGAACCCCCCUACCCCCCCCCAACCCCAAGCACAUCAAGAACCGCCAAGAGCGGUGCAGCACAGUCCGCAACCUUUGCCGUGCAUUUACCCCCUUCGCUCUCUCUCUCUCUCUCUCUCUCUCUCUCUCUCUCUCUCUCUCUCUCUCUCUCUCUCACUCACACACACACACACACACACACACACUUCUCGCACCCUUAACAUAUGGAGGAGCAGGAGGGGGAGGGGGAGGAGGAGGAGGAGCAGGAGGAGGAGCAGGGUCGUAUCCCCCCCCGGACCCCAUUCGCAAUUCGGCACCGUCGUUCAACAAGAGUGGGCUUUUCACUUAAUUAAUCAAUCCUCAAAUUGCAUACAGAUGUACAUGCAGAUGUACAUGCAGAGGUCCCAGAGACCCCAGGUCACUCGCUCAAGCGCGCCUUUCGUGAAUUGCAAACAGCCGCCACGACAGGAACACGACAUGAAACGUUAUGUGGUCCUGUACUGAGACACACACGCGUACAUACAUAAUACAGAUGUACACUGACAUUCACGCACCGCCUCCGCCACUAGCCCGCUCAGCAUCGUUCGUCUAGCAGCCCGGCUCCAUAAAAAGAAAGGCACACACCGCCGGCGCGCUCGUCCUCGUUCCCAUGGAUGUAUGGAUGUAUGGAUGCAUGUAUGUAUGUAUGUCCGAAGCCGUCGCAUGCCCGCGUCCGUCUCCGUCGGAGUCAACCUAAGACCCCCUCAUUUUCCCCCCUCAAACUCACCACAACGGCAACCCCCUCUCAACACCCUGCCCCCCAACACACCCCACACACCCAACACACGAGAUAUGUUCACCCUACACCGUCCCCGCUGAGGGCUGAAGCAGCACUUGCCCAUGCGGCCCCGAAACCGCUGGCACACUGCCGUACUCCUGCAUGCCGCCAGCCAGCUGCGGCUGUAGCGGCUGCAGCACCGGAUGCCCCUGCUGUUGCUGUUGUUGUUGCUGCUGCUGCAGUGUUGCUGCUGCUGGACUCGGAACCGCGGACAACGUGCCCUGAGGAGCGGUGGCCGGCGUGACCUGACCCGCGUGAGCUUGGGGCGCCUGCACGUGGGCUUGAGGCGGUGAAGAUUUGCUAGGGGCGGAGGCGGGCAAGACCGCUUGCAGCUGAAUCUGCAACGGCGGCCGCAUCAGUGCCUGUUGUUGCUGUUGGUGCAUGAUCAUCUGGAGCUGCAUCAUCUGCAACUGCUGCUGCUGCUUAGCGUAAAAUUGCUGCUGCAGCAACACCUGUUGUUGCUGUUGGUGCAUCGCAGCUGCGGCAGCAGCAGCCGCUGCGGCUUGCUGAUAUUGCUGGAAGACUUGCUGCUGUUGUGGCUGUUGCUGUUGUUGUUGAUGCUGCUGUUGCUGCUGUUGCUGCUGCUGUUGGGGCACCUGCAGAAGCGUAUUCAUGUGGGUUGGUUGCUGUUGCAUUUGCUGCAUGUGUUGUAGGAUAUGUUGUUGCUGCAACGCGUGUUGCUGAUGCAGGAGGGCCUGCUGUUGCUGCAACGCUUGCUGCUGCUGCAGUGCUUGCUGCUGCUGCUGUUGUAACGCCUGCUGCUGCUGUUGCUGCUGUUGAUGCUGCGGCGGCUGUUGUGAGGGUGAUGUCUGUUGUUGUUGUUGUUGUUGCUGCUGUUGUUGUUGCAGCAUUUGUUGUUGUUGUUGCUGCUGCUGCUGCAAUAUUUGCUGUUGGUGAUGCAGCGCGUGCUGUUGAAGUUGUUGCUGCUGCAUAACAUGCUGUUGCAACAUCAGCUGCUGCUGCUGUUGUUGCUGCUGUUGAGGUUGCUGUUGAGGUUGCUGUUGAAGCUGCUGCUGCUGCUGCAGCUGCGCCUGAAACGCCAGUUGCUGCUGCUGAUGCUGCUGAUGUAAUUGAUGCGCUUGCACAUGAGCCUGAUGUUGCUGCUGUUGCUGCUGUUGCUGCUGUUGCUGAGGUUGGUGCUGGUAUCCAAUUAGCGACCUCGCAAGCGCACUCGCCUCCACUUGAGCUGGUGCAGGUCCCGUCCCCGGUCCGGAUUGCUGUGGCUGGCCCGCACUGUUCCCCGCCUGGCCCGCAAACCGAGACCCCCCCUCAGCUCCACCCUGCGCGGACAGCCCAGGCUGCCCCUGAGCAUCCCCAAUGUGUGAACCCGAGGCAGCAUUUACCGGGUGCUGCGCCUGUAGCCCCUGCUGCUGCUGCUGUUGGUGAUGGUUGUGGUGAUGGUGCUGCUGCUGCUGUUGCUGCUGGCCCAGUACAAAACCAUGCGUGGUGGUGGCAGCAGCAGCAGCAGCAGCAGCGGUGCUGCCGCCAGCCAACCCCACGCCGCUGGAAGACACCGUCGCUGAGCUGGCCUCCGUGACCGCCUGCUGCAGUGACUCAGGCCUCUGUGAAAGCAUCAGCUGCAUCGUCGCGGAGGAUUGCCUGUCUAGGAUCUUCACAGCGUGCUGGGAUGGGAGUGGUGGCAGCGGUUGCGGCAGAGAUGAAGCGCGACGUGUGCCCGCAUCUGCCCCCGUUAACCCCCCUGCGCCGCUACUGUUGCCAGCACCGCCGUAGCUAGCGCUCGCAUGACGAGGCGCGACGGCUCCCAGCGGCCCAUUCUGAACGGCACUGCCGCUGCCGCCGCCGCCGGCGCCCGUCGCUGUGCCGUGACCCUGCACCCCCUGACCCACCGCCGUUGUUGGUCCAUCCACCCCACCCGGUCCUGGCCCUAGCCCGCCGCUGAUGCCUAAUCCGCUGCUGGCGGCGAUGCUAUUCCCGGCGCUUUGCAUCGUCGUCGUCGUCGCCGCCGCUGCAGCCGCUGCUGGCCCUGACUCCGUACCCGUACCGCCAUCUUCUAAUACAAGGAAAUCGCUGGCGUCGCAACCUGCCGGCGAACUGCCCUUCAUGGUGCUGGCCGCCGCCGCCGCAGCUGCCGUCAAGCGGCUGCCCGAGGACGAAGGGCCCUUCCCCGCCGCCGCCGCUGCCGCCGCUGCCUCAGCGCCGACGGUACCGUUAACAGCCCCUAGCCCUACCGCCGACGUCGCCGGCGCAGCGGCGGCGCCGCCUUGCGAUGAGCGGUGGUCGCCGUUGGCCAUGACUAACCCUCCCCCCCCGCCGCCGCCGCCGCCGCUGCCGUCGCUACCGCCCUUUAAUGCAGCCAGCUGCGCACGAGCGCGCUCCAGCUUCUGCCGUAAUUCGUUGGCCCGGGUGGCCAUAGCCCGGGCGUGUUCAACGUUGCUCUGCCGGGCUCGGAGCGCAGCGCUGAGUCGCUCCGAGUCCUUGACCUUAGUUGACUAUUAUUAGUGCAUAUCGUGAAGAGGGGGAAGGGAAAGGAAAGGAAACCACAGGGCCGACGAAGGAUUAGAGUAAUCCACUAGGCAGGGAACGGUUGCUUUGACGGUGGUAACUGCCGCAACAAGCGGUAACGAGUUGCAGGAUUUGGGUUCCCCCUUCCGUCACCCACCCCCUGCACAUUUCCUCAAACACCGCCACACACAGAGGCAAUCACCCUCGCCCCCACGGCCCUCAAGGGACCUCCACUCGAGAAACAUACACACACGCGCAGAUGCAUGCGCCAUAGACAUACAUACAGACACACACUCUUACCCGCGCCUCCGCUAGCUUCUGCUUGCGCUCCGCGUUCUGCUGCUCCGAAACCACCCAAUUUCGAUCCAUUUCCGCUAACCGUGCUUGCGCAGUCGACAGCGCCGCUUGGGCGGCAUGAAGAGCCGCCUGAGCCUGAGCUACCGUCUGAGGCUUUGCUGUCCCCGCCGCCAGCUUGCUGCCGCCGCCGCCGCUGGCAGUUGCCCCGUCACCGUCACUACUACUGCGUCGCUUCGUAUGGCCCUGCUGCUGCUGUUGAAGCGGCUGCUGGCCCUGCUGCUGCUGCUGCUGCUGCUGUUGCGGCCCCUGCUGCUGUUGAACUUGCGGGGAAGGCUGCGACGGCUGCAGUGCCGGCGGCUGCAACGACUGGGGCUGUGGCGGCUGUAGCGCCGACGAGAACUCCAUGACGUUUGCCCCAAGCAAGGGCCCGUCCAGGAUAGCACCCAGGCCUCCAAGGAGGGCGUCGUCAAUCAUUAAACUACCGGAGCUGCGCCGCCCGCCGCCACCGACAGUACCUGCGGCCGUGGCGGCGGCGGCUGCGCUGUCCCGCGGCGGCGAGUCAAAGAUAGCUGCCGCUGCCAGCGCUAGCUCCUCGUCCGGGUCAAGGAAAAGAUCCGCCCCCGAAUCCAUUGGAUCCAGAACCAGCGGCUGCUGAUGGUGUGCAAGCACGCGAUCAGAAGCCGCACCGCCGCCGCCGCUACCGGCUGCAGCAGCGGCGGCGGCAGCGGCGGCUCGCUGCCGGGCCUUGGCUGUGCCGCCGCCGCUGCCGCUGGCACGGCCAACUCCGGCAGCGCCCGCGCCCGCGCCGCUGCCAGCUCUAGGUGUACGGCUACCGCCAUGCGAGCCUGCCCGAUGCAAUGGCGCGCCGCCGUUGGCGGCGGCUGCCGCCUCCCGUGCCGCCGCCGCUCGCGCCCCCGGCUUGGUCCCCGGCCUGCCGCUGUUUGUCCGUACAGGCUUCACGGCGCCGCCGCCGCCAAGCAUGGAGCCCAGUACCGUCCCGCCGUCACCGUCUCCCAAGGAUGGUGACGAAGACGCCGCCGCCGCCGCCGCCGCGGCGGCCGCGUGUGCAGCAGCCCCGCCGCGGGUGAAGUGCCCGCCGCCUGGGACGCCCGCUGCAGCGCCGCCGGCGGAAUGACCCCCGCGGUGGGCCCCGGCCCCGCCGCCGCCGCCACCCGGCCCCGGGUGCGGGUGCGCCGCUGCCGCCGCUUCAUCGUCCUCUUCCGAAGAAGCCAAGUAGCCGGGCGGAAUGACCCGCUCGCCUGGUGCCAUGUUGGAGUGAUUGCGCGGGUGUGUAUGUAUGUAUGUAUGUAUGUAUGUAUGUAUGUAUGUAUGUAUGUAUGUAUGUAUGUAUGUAUGUAUGUAUGUAUGUAUGUAUGUAUGUAUGUAUGUAUGUAUGUAUGUAUGUAUGUAUGUGUUGGGGAUGGGAGGUGUGGAGCGGGGAGAGUGGCCCCGGGGUUGAGAGGGACCAAGAUAACACUGCAUACGUACACGCAGUCGGAGAGUAACGCAACUCAAGGUGCAACAACACACACGGCGCCGUGCAUUAAGGUUGGUGCAGCAGCAAAGCACGCCGUGCCAAGACACACGCACUCAAGGGACAGGACAGACUUGAAGAAUACCAAAGGAUGGGGUAGGGUAGGUUAGGAUUGGUUUUCCCGCGGCAAUUGUCGUAUACCGCCCUACCCUUCAUGCCUCUGGGGGCCCCUCCCUGCCCAGAGCUUCCGAGCCCCGCUGGCCGCGGCCGCGGUGCGGUCGGCACGUGGUUGGUUGUACGAUGGUAAGUGUACGACUCACCCGUGAUGGGAUCGGCGUACGGCAGGUUGUUAAGGCGGCGGUAUUCGCACUUAAGUGAGGAGGUGCUUGUUCCACAGCGUCCCUUCUUCAGCCGCCGACACACGUCACAGCGGCCGCCAGGCAUGUGUGUGACGCCGCCACCGCCGCCGCCGCCGGCGCCACCGCCGGCGCCACCCGUGGGUGUGGGCGCCGGCAGGGGCGCCGCCGCUGCGUUGGGCACUGACGAGCAGGAGGAGUGACCCACUGCCGCCACUGGACCCGUAGUGGACUGCAGCAACGUCAACACCCCCGCAAGAAACACAAGCGAGCAACCUCAACGACGCAGCCGCAGAGUACAAGUACAAGGAGGACAGCACUAUAAAAGGACAGCAGCAGGGAGGUGGCGGCGGCAGGGAGCAGAGCCAUAUCCGGGGCUCCCAUUCCCACAACCUCAUGAGAUUGCUAUAGCUGCAGAACAAGAAGCUCAAGCUCACGCCUGUGGGGCUGUGGGGCUGGAAAACACGGCGCUUGUGUCGAUGGUGAUAUGUCGAUGACGCAGCCGUGAGGCAACAUGACUGCCAAGGCCCUUCCGAGCACAGGCUCUUCCGCCCGCCACGAUAACUGCCACUCCAACUGCCACUCCAACUGCCACUCCAACUGCCACUCCAACUGCCACUCCAACUGCCACUCCCCCACAUGAUAUCGCCUGCUUAGCUACGAUGAUCUUUUACUCUUCCCACGGGCCACCGAGCCUCCUCCUUUCCCCCCCUCCUCCAAGCCGCACAGGGGUGGGUGGGGUUUGGGGUCAGUACUUCCCAAAGGUGAGUAAAACACACCCAUCUCACACGACACGGCGACAAGGGACACAGACAUAGAUGCGCGGGUCCACCUCACCGGUCGCAGCAGGCCCCUACAACCUGGAGCAGCCCAGCCCCAGCCGGGCUCUCCAAGCUCCCUUCUUUUCCCAAAUGGGAGACAUACACACGCUUGCUGCUACCGGCUCCACGUCGUACGUCCGUCGUACGCCGCAAUAUUAUACCCGCGGCCUCCGAAACCGCGGGAACCCCGCCGGCACAGGCCCAAACCAGGCUGCGUGGGGACCGCCGUGACCUUCGCCCCCCCAUGACGCGUCAAGCAACCCCCUUGCACUGCUGUCCUGCACUACCCGCAGUCGCCCCCCCCAUCUCUCUCUCUCUCCCCCCUGCCUGCCCCUUUACCCCUUAUCCCAAACCUUCCCCAGCGCCCUCUCCCCUCUCUACCCUGGCAUUGCCCCUGCCCACCCGACCCACUUUGCUGAGGACUCCCCACCCGACAAACCCUCCCCUCGUAACCCCUCGAAACCCCUCAUAACCCCUCGUAACCCUCUCACCCGAAAUCGCAGUUUCAUAACACGCCAGGUCGUUCCUUUGAAUGCUUUGCACAUGACACAAAGUCCCACCCUCCCCUCUCUUUCCUUCCCCUCUCCCCGCUUUUCACACAAACCGCAGACGGCCACACACAUACCCACCGAUUGGGUCGUUUCCUCCUUCUUCACAACCCCAAAGGCGCCUCCGGACAUGCCACGAGCUCUCUUAGAUGGUGAGGGGCCAUGCGCGCUGCCCGUCGCGACGUGGGAAGCCGCGUCCCCCCCCCCAGCGGCCCCUCCUCCGCCUCCUGCUGGUCCCACCGCGGCCCGUUUGCGCGUGGGGGUAUCAGAAAGGGCGCCAGGUGGCCCUGUACGGAAAGGCAUUUGAAAUGGCAAUUGCAGGAGGCGGGCGGCCACGCAGCACAGCAAAAUUCACCAAAGCAGGUGGCCGGUUUGCGGGAGAUACAGCGCGUGGGGGAAGGACGAACAGCGCGUGGGGGGACUUAAGACGAGCCACGGACGCGUGAGGGGGGUUGGGUUUCCUAAUAAAAGGUGGCAUGGGUGAAGGGUGGAUUAUGCUGCCUUGCGCCCAUCUAUGCACGUUAAUGCGAGCGCCUCCCGUUUCCCCCCUCCCCCCCGUGUCACAUAGCUGCCCUCCUGCCCGCCGUGCCUCCCACGACACCACCACCUAUUCAUGACUCCUACCUGACUCCUAACAGAUUUCCAACCAACUCGGUAUAGCUCCCUCCUCUUUCACCCCGUUCCCCCCUACCUACCCCAUCACCCCUUACCUCCUGGCGGCCCUGCCCCUGCCGCUGCCCCUGCGCCGCAAUCGCUUCCACCAUUGACAGUCGCUGCAGCCACCGCUGCAGCGCUCCCCUCCGCGCCAUCACCACCACCACCAUCACCACCUGCUGCUGCUGCUACUGCUUGCUGUCCCCCUCCGCCAGGGGCCUCACUACCUCCUCCACAUCCCGGCUGAGAGGAGUGCGGCGGACCGGCUCCCUGCGCUGACCCCGGGCCCGCGCCUGCUCCCGCAACCCCCUGUUGCUGCUGCUGCUGUUGCUGCGGCAGCGAGAUCUUCAGCUUGGGACCCCCGGCAGGAUGUAAGAUGCGCGCUACUGAAGGCUCGCUGGCGGCCUGCAGCGGCCCCGCGUUGCCUGGCACUGCUGCUUGUCCGACCGUUGCCGCUGUUGCUCCUGAAUGCCCGGGUGGCCCAGGCGCCGCCGUUGCCGCCGCCGACGGUGUGCUUGCUAGGAGAGGUGUCGGACAGGCCGUGGGCAGUGAGUGCCCGGAAGUGCCUAGCUGCGUCGGCGGUCCGUUGUCCACCGGCACAAACAUGAACGUCUGUGGCGGCUGGGGGCAGUGCUGGAAGGGCUGGAGGGGGGAAUGGUGGUGGUGGUGGACGACCAAACCUGAAUGGUGCUGUUGGUGUUGCUGUUGAUGCGGGUGGGCCAACACGUGCUGUUGUUGUUGGUGCUGCUGGUGCUGGAACGCUGGUAGCUGCUGCUGCGGUUGUUGUUGUUGUUGUUGCUGCUGCUGCGGCGGCUGAAAAGUCUGCAGCUGUUGCUGUGGUUGCUGUGGUUGCUGUGGUUGCUGUGGUUGCUGUGGUUGCUGCUCAUGCUGGGUUGGGUUUUUUUUGUGGCCAAUGGCGGACUGGUACAUUUGGGUCCAGGCUCUGGAAAGCGCCUCUGCGGCGAUGCGCGCCUCGUGACCUGCAGGGUGGUAGGCCGCGCAGCUAUCCCAGACCUGCAACGUGACCCGGGGGACGGAGAGCAGCCGAGCAGCCGAGCAGCAUUUAAAAGGAAAAAAUCACACCAAUUACCACCAAAGCCAUAAAAACACCACGACAAGCAGCAUUGCCGUCAAUCGCAGAAGCGCCAUCAACGGUGCCAGUCGACACCGCGGCAUUAGCGGCACAGCCGCCGCCACGGCGGGGCUUAUAAUAAAAAUCAAGGAGUGCAAGGCCCCCACAGGCGCCCAGGGAAGACGUCGUGCACACGGCAAGAAUUUUUUCGGGAUUCAACAAACGCAGCUAAGAAACCGAAUACCGAUGGACACCCGCGAUAUGUAUCAUGAAGGGAUAUAGACAGGAUUGGGCUAAGGGGGGGCCCUCCUGGCUUCCCGCACGCCAUCAUGGAGCCGAUGGCCCACCCACCAGCUGUACAUCCUGUAGUACGGCAGCUGCCGAAGUGUACGGCGAUUCCCCUGGCGGCAGCUGCAGGUUAUGUCGUAUAGUCCUCAGGUCCAUUGGCCGCUGGCAACACAUGACGGACAACAUGACGGACAACAUGACGGACAACAAGGAGGGCAACGAGACGGAGGGAGAGAAAGGAAGGUGAGGUGAGGGGAAAGACGAUGAACCACAGAUGAAGGGGGUUGCGGGCAAAAGAAGAGGGGCUGGGUGUUAGGAGGAGGACAUCCACAACCCAACUGGUGAGAUACAUAAUCACAGUCUGUGUCAUUCCGGUACUACCGGUUCUAUGUGCAAGGUGUAUGGAAAAGCGUGGGGGGUAUCAUCUGCAAGCAACCCUAACCAUGUAAAGCGGUCGUGGCCAUGCGUUACGCGUUAUGAGUUAAGGGUUUCGGUUGUCGACUGGAAGGUGUGGGCGGUACGGCUGCGCAUUGCAGUUGCAGGUUGUCGCCGUAAUUAUGGUUACAAGCAGGGAUUCGACUACCGGGAUGCGUAAGAGAGGGUUAAGAGAGCUGAUGGGUCAGCAGCAGCUACGAUGGUGGGCCCGUCGGCUGACGGUAGUUCGUUCACAGCAUGCGGGAAUAGUACCAUGUAGCAACAAAAGUAUCAUAUGCAUGAAAUGUGGACCAGUGCGCUAGCCUGGGUCCAAUUGGGCACUUUGCAUGUAACGGUGGGGGAGUUCGUGACUGCGGCUGCACCGCGGUUAAGGACAAGGACCCUUGAUUGUUUGCACAAGUGAGACAGCGCGGAGCGAGAUGCAGCGGAGGAUACGGAAAAGGAUGGCAGAGGUGCUGAGGGCACCGACAGGCGCAGACCCAAGCCUGGGCCCCUCCUGUCAACAAGAGUCGUCCCUGGCCUGUUGAUGCUGGCGGUUGGUGGAGACAGCGCGAUCGUACAAAUCGUUGAAGGAGCGUUAAAACGUUAUGAUUGCUUAUAAUGGCAGUGCCGAUCGCUCUGCGCAGCGGAACAAAACGAGGCUAGGCAGAAGGCGUAGGGAAAGCGGCUGCGCAGACAGGAAAUCAGCACGCCGUGGAAGAUAAGUUUCUCCGGGACGCAGACUCGCCGGAGGACGGGCAACGCGUCGAGCGCUGAGCGAGUCCAACCGCUUGAAGCUUCUAGACUAGAGGCCUAAGCACACGUCAUAGCUUGCCCUCAACGGGCAUAAACGUGCGGUGGCCGGCUCCUAGCUGUUCUGCAAGCCCCCAAAACCCGCCCAGGGCUCCUUACUAACCUGCACGCAUAUCGCAUAGCCAGGAUGUUCUGAUGGGUCAACUGGCUUGCAAAAGUAUUUCUGUGCUUCCUCCCUCUGCAUCAGCGCCGUGAUAACCUGAAAUUGCAAGGAACGUGUGGCAUUGCCCAACAUUCCAUGGGCAUCGCUGCUGGCUAUGCCUGAGAAUUAAGGUAACUAAAACCAGUCGAAUUCUGUACAAGACUUGCCCGUAACAGGGUAGAGCGUGUAUCCUCGUCCAUUUCCGAGUCCGGUUGGCUAAUCGUUCGCAACGCCCAGUCUCAUGACCAGUUAAAGCCCUAUCAAUUUGCUCUAAGGUGGGCGAUUUUCCCAAGGGUGCGGCCACAUUGAGGGCACAUAACUGGCACGAAUUCCCAAUCUAGAGCUAAAGAAUACGCUUGAUGGCGUUACCAGAUAGAACCAGCUAGUGUUCCCUCGCAAUUUCGAGCCCCUUAGUGGGUGGAGCACCAGGACCUUACUGUACGACAGUUGAAAUUGGGAUGGUUUGAUGAACUUCAUUCCGGGUGUUCUUUUUGUGAAGAGUACAUCAUGCAGUUUCACUGUUGUCACAUGCAUUUUGGUCAAAAUGAACUUGAGCUUGUAAUUUUUGCCUCGGGACUACCUUUCACAUUUACACUUUAUUCUAUUUAUAGUGCUUAAAGAUGGCGUCACGGAUCAACUGUGGAGGCCCUGCGGGUUAUGCCCCAUCACGAGGUGGGAAGCGCGUUCAGGAGCAGGUCAAGGUUGAGGUAGCGAUGGUCAGCUUUACCGUAUAUGUCUCACACUUUCUUCAACACAUGGUUCUCUUUUAACUCAGGACCAGUGCUUCUUUCUUCGACCAGACGAAGACUUGUCUUGAGGCAGGGGGGCACGCCGGGAGCUCGACGUGUCGAGGCGGCGGCCAUCGGUGAUGAAGGUGGUCUAUUAUUCCUCGAUAACGGGUACGGAGCAGUCAUUUAAACCGUUUGCGCAUGCCUUACUGUCUCUGACUUCUCGACUUCUCUUCAGCGAAUGCCUGACUUUUCCCAAGAAACGAGCACAGCUGGGACCCUGCUUUGAGUUCUCGUGGGAGGAGGCCUUGCGUGUGCAGCUCGAGGUUAGUUGGAGCGUUGUGGUAACCUGUGUGGUCCACGUCCCAGGGCCGUUUUGAGGCAUCAAACAUAGGACAAGCCAUUCUCCGGCUUAACAGCGUUAUAAUCCCCAUCAGCUAUGGUUGCGCAGCACCCUUGUGUCGUCGAAAUAACCCGAAACACGCUAGGAGCGGAGUGCAUCCUAUCAGAAUGCCACUUGUUCUGCCGCUCCUCGGCUUGCAUCUCUCGGCUGGCCCUUCGGGCCCGAACACUGCCCUUGAGCCCCAGUAACAUGCUGCGGGGUCACAGCGGCCGUCGCCGUCAUCACGACCGCCCCAUUUCUGAACCCUGUCAUGCUGUUCAUCAUCGCAGGCCCUCCGACAAAACAAUGUCCCCUACCCGGAUCACGGCGUCGAAGUAUUGUACCGGUUCGCGAACUUUGACCCCUUCGUUCGGGCCAAGUACUUUGGGUACGUACUAUAGUACUAUAGCCCUAGGCUUAAUCGCUGACUUGCAUGAGUAGAAAGGAAAGGUCGAAUUUGAUCCUUUUUGUCUUGUGUGGCCUGCGCUGCAUGUUCCUAACGCUGGAAUUCGAACUACCAAUCUUAAGUGCGUGCGCAUAAUUGCAUCUUUAUCCAUCCCCCCCAAUCGUGGAAACGUGCGACACCCAAAAUCCUAACGACAUCAAAGGUUGACCAAAAUUGGCUCUCAGAAGUAGCUGUGUCCUUGUACUCACUCUCCAUUGCCCACUGCUUCGCGCUACUGCUCCUGCUGCCACCGCGUCUCUCGUUCGCAGGCGCAGCCUGGACCUCGGGUGAGUCACCGAGCAGCCAUUAGCCACUUAGGAAAGAGCCACUCGGCUUGCUAGCUGCAGAUAGGACAGGGAACCGCAGGUGGUGGAGACCCGCAGGUGGUGGAGACAAACACACGCACGGGGGCAUCCACCUUGAUGGAUUGGAGUAGUUGGCUUUGUCUGAGGACCCCUCCUCGCUUCCUUUGCAACCAUCGAGCGUACACACGCAUGCAUGCCACCUGCGGCAUUGCCCAUGAAACCGCUCGACAGAGGAUGUAUAUUCUCUUGGUGGCUCGGUGCAGAGGUUGUUGUGCCAAACAAAUGUCGUGUUGCGCUUAUUUGAUUGGGUAUGUGUGCGUGUGUGCACUCACGCCCGGUCCUUGACAUUUGCUGCUUGUAGGCAGUUUGAGCGUUUUCGCCGCGUAAUGCACUCGCCGUAUUAUGCGACCUUGCUGGACAACUCGGGAUGGGAGGUGUUGAGCACACUGCAGGUGCGCACAUUGGAGUCGUCCGUGCCAUCCGUGCGCGCGGUUCCAUGCCUCCAUACCGCAAGACCUGUGUGCCGUGUUUCAUAUCUGCUGAUGGGCCGAUCCCCUCCGCUUUUCUGUAAUGUUGCACUAGCACUUCUUCCUCUGCCUGGAGUGUUGUUUUGGCCAUAUGGCGCCUGUCACGUUUUGGUUGUCUGACCCCCCCCGUCUGUCUGUUUGAGCUGUUCCCGAGGAUAUUCUGUCCGAAGGUUUGCUGUCUGUUCUGCUCCCUUAACUGUCUCUGGGCCCGGUGAACAGGUGGAGGAGGGCAUGUGGUGCGUCCGGCUGCUGGUCCACGACACGCACCGAUUGGAGCAGCGAACUUACUCUAUCACCAUGCUGCAGGUCCGGGCGGGGGGGGGGUUUAGGGGGGAGCAGCGCCGACUCAUAAGACAAGAAGGCAUAUAGGAUUCUGCAGCUGAGGGAUGGGAGGAAAGGGACCGGAGCCAAGGCAAACACGAGCCGGGCACAAACUGUUUUGGGGUCCUGUGUGGGCAAACGCUGUACCGUCAUCACCCUAAGUUGCCCGGGAGGGUGCCAUACAUGAUUACCGUAAUCUGGUCGACAGAAAGGUGACGGGCAUAUUUGGUUGCCAAUUUGAGGAAUUCGGUAAACGUUUGAAGGGGCUUUUUGCAGGAGUCGUGAUAGGGGAAGACGAACGAAAAAAGGCGUUUUUUCCCUUUUCUCUGAGUGGCAAGCCGACUAGGGAGAGUGUGGGGAUCAGUCGUGUCAUUUUCGACAACCUAUUACAAUCGAGGGACAAUUACAAUAUAGCUGUAGCUAUGGAUGGCUUGCGUUGUCAACAGUCGCAGCAACAGCCACUUGAUAUCAGAAAGUAAUACAUGGUGGUAUUAACCGUCCCCACCGCGCAGAGGCUUGGCGGCUGCUACGACGGCUACUGGUACACGGAUCGUUGGGUGUGCGAGAAUCAAGACGUACGGAAGCUGUGGGCUGACUAAGCAGCGCAAGAUGUGAGAAUUAGGAGUGAUGAAGUAACAAGUAAAGCUGUGGUCCAUCUAAACAGCUGGAGUUAAGGAACCGCGAUGCAUAUCGACAACAAAAAAACCUGAAGAAGACUUAUGCAGCUGGCACGUGAAGCACACUUGAAGCCUAUGUAUCAUUAUUUCCUAUGCUACCAUCCUACGAGAUGAUGAUGUAUUUGUUCCCAUCCGUAAAGGAAUGUAUACUAAGUGGCUGUUUGCAUGCGUUGAACGUUGUAGUUGAAUUCGUAUUUUGUGCGCGCAUCUGAUAUAGAGCUAAGUUUUAUUUUUUGGCCGGGCGCAACUGUUGUAUAUUAAUUCCUAACCCUUUGGCACCUUUACGCACCGGUUCCGGUAUGAAUGGUUUAUUCACCUCUUGAGCCCGUUCGAAUCGUGCAGCGCCCUUUGAACUUUAGCAGCGGCAAUGUGGCUGCCUCAAAAUAGCUAAGACCGCGUUUGUUGCGCUGUCGCACCUAUUGAUCAAUUGCUAUCGAUUAGGUAGCUAACAAUCGGGUGCUGUCGUAAUGGUUUUGGCGGUUAAGCCGUAGAUACAUUAAAUCAGGCGCAGUUUACCUGUUGAUGAUGCAAUGGAUUGUGCUCUUCUGUCGUUAGAGUGCUUGAGGGCUGUCUACCGAGCCUCCAUAAAUCGGAUUAGUUGAGUUGGGAUUGCGUACGUGUAUCCGCGGCUCUGGGUGGCUCGUAUGCCAGCGAAACGGUUCCAUGCAGGGCCGCACAUCGUUUCUGAGACGCCUCAUAGAACCUGAAAAACUCAAGAUGUAUACAGUCCAUGGCCUCCCGCCUCCGAGCUUUGACGGACACCCCCGCAUUCAUAUCAUGCGGAACGCGUAACUUGUAAGAUGCUGAUAUCCCGAAAUGCCCGCAAGUCUGCAUGUGCUGAUCGGACCUCGAGUCUUGGACAAAGCAUUAAAAUGAAAAUUCUGUAAUUGUGGAACUCGAAUGCGGAUCUUGCGGAUGGAUUCUCUGCAGCUGGCGGCCCGUUCGCAAAAGAGAGCUGUUUUUUCGUGGACGGGAUGCACACGUUCGUGACCAUCCAUCCGAUCAAUCUACCGAUCAGGCCCACAACUGGAUCCGAACAGUUAAGUUACAAGUAAUAGCUCGCUCUGAGCAGCUGACAGUCCCAUAACAAUAAUCCAUGUUGCUGCUAUGCUACGUACGACACGUACCGACAGCAUUUGGAGAAACGAAUGGACUGGGCUGACUAAAGCCCUAGCUAGGACUUCGGCUGCAAUUUAGGCAUACAGAUACCGGGUGAGCUUACUAAUUAUCUUACACACACAGACAGGAAAGAAAGGAUGUGCAUGCUAUAGUCCAUACCGCCAAAGAACGCGGCCCAGAAGCCUCCCACUCUGUAACAUUACAAAUACCGCCAAACAAUCCGUUUCCUUUGAGGAUGUCACAAACUAGUUUGCCAAGGACCCGACAAUCAGCAACUACAAGUUCGACAUUCUUUUCUUGCUUCAACUGUGUGCUGCUGGGUAGUUGAGGCUAUGUCCCCGGGGAAGCUCUUGGCCGAUUAAGGCCUACAAUGUUGUGCGGUGGGCGCCUGCUUGCACCCGCUGGGCUCGUCAGGGUGUUGCCCACGAGAGCAACUCUGGCUCCUCCAAGUGCAAGCGAGUAGCCCAUUGAACUGCUGCCCCCUGCAGCACGUCCCAUAGCACCGAGGCGCAGGGCACACGACAUGACACACGAUACACACUUCGGUGCAGCACGAGUUUCCACGCAAAGCAGCUGUACUUGUAUCCGUUAGCGAGAGGGGGUGGGGAGGGGCCGGAGGAAAUGAGAACAUGAAUGAAUGGAAUGUGCUGAACGGCCACACAACAUCGGUCUUCAGUCUCUCCCACAGUGUUUCCUGUUCCUCUUGAUAAUUACGAUGUGCGCACCUGCAGUCAAUCGGUCGUCAUCGGCAUCCUCGCCAUCAGUGCCGUACAAGUCUGCUUGGUUGAUGUAUGUCACCAGUUGCACCACCGGUGAUGCUGCUGCUGGUAAGGAUGGUGUCGGGGCAUUGCACUCUCGUAUUGUGCUAUUGCGGACGGGCACUGAACCUUUUGCCCAAAAGGUGCAUGCAGUCCGCACCCCUAUGGCACCUUUCCUACAGCAUGGGUGAUGAUGAUGAUGGCCCACACGUUUCCCGGGCGAGGCGAGGCGCAGUGGAACGCAGGUUUUAAGUGAGCAGGGCCUACACCUGCAGUUCAAAGAUAUGCACAUGCAUCAUCUGGUUACCUUGUGCAUCUUAUGCACUAUCAGCACAUCCACAGCGGUGACCCACCUGUGCACUGCCCUUGUCGAUUGUCGCAAAAAUGCUGGCGUCGCACGGGAAGUGUGUGUUGGUGGCAGCUGUGGCAGUGUCGUCACGCGCCUGUGAUGGAUGGAGAAUAAACACGGUUCAACAGACCUGUGCGCUUUUGUGGGCCACGGAUCUAACAUUAGGCAUGAAUGCGCGGGCUGCCUGACCACACGCUGCUGCUUUGCUGCUGGAAAGAAAAAGCUCCGACCACCGGAUCUCGACCGGAUUAGCUGGGUGAAGGCAGUGCGCAGAAACUCCUGCACCAGCAACAUCCCAAAGACGCGCACGAGUAAGAACUCGUCUGCACGUCGCCACAGCUGGAUAACGUACUCAGAGAACCGGCUCGACAGCCGGCGCUCAUAUCGCAGUUGACCAGAACCAGCAAGCAUCAAGUCAGACUGGAUGGGUGACUGACUACAGAAAAUGCGUGUGGAGGCAUGUCCUUUCUAAUAAGCAUCAUAACGAUUCACCUUCUCCCGGAGGCAAGUACUGUCAUGCAUGAACUUCACGGCAAGAAUGGCCGCGUUGCACGAGAUGAUGACAUCCUGGCGGGUUUCGUUCGACAGGAAGUGUCCCUUGACGCCUAACUUCUGAUAGGCAGUUGCCCAAUAAGGCGAUGAACACCAGCACGAGAUGGAGAGAUGAUGCAGCGUGUGUGUGUGUGUGUGUGUCUCUGGGGAGCGGGAAUUCGGACUUGCUGUGUGUGUGCGGUGUUUUAUGUUGGGGGGUACAGGAAGGGAUGUACCUGGGGGUUAAGGGCAGGAAUGUAGUUAUUAUACCACAUGGGGGAGGAGGCGGGGGGGAGGGUGUGCCGGGCUGCGGGGAGGAGGGGUUACAGAAGGGGGGACAGAUGUCCACGUACGGAAAGACAGAUAUACAUAAAGACAGACAAACAGACAGUGAUGGACCCGGUAUUACAAUGACACCUGCCUCCAGGAGAGGAGUUGACGCCGCCGUUGAUCCGACAGACUCCACCGGAUGCCGGUGGUGGUGGGUACUGAACACGACGAAGUCAUUCACUUGGCAGAAGUCGGCGCAGAUGGGGGAAGAGAAUGAUGACGGUGCCCGCCCGCGAACUUUGGGGAACCGUAGUAGGGACUACCAGGAUAGGGGGAACGGGUGGAGUUAUACAACCCUUCUUCGCAAAGUCAUACAGCUAUUCCCCCUUUUUCCUCCCCUCCCCCCAAACCCCCCCAAGCUGCCUCCGCCAAUUUGCUGCUUCCGGAAGGAGCUCCCCCCCUCUCCACGCGGCCCCGGAUGGUGGCGGACCGAGUGAUAGUGGUAUGUGGGGAUAGGUGUUGGGGGUUGUGGAUGUGCGGGGUUACGUAUAUUAAUCAAAAGCAGUAGCAGCAGCAGUAGCCCAUAUUAUGGUGAGGAGAAGAGAAUGAGCUGGACAUUGUAUCUAUGUAUGUACUACGUUGAUUACACUGUGGGCUGAAACCGCAAACAAGGUGUCACGCCAAAACAUCUGGAGCGCACAAAUUACGUGCCACGACCGAGUUAGUCGCUAUCCGCAGGUGGCUAAGCCAACCGAAGGUAGUAAGGCGAACCGCGUAUUGAUUUAUUUGAGACUUUGGGUAGCGUAUAAGGCGCUUUCUGUUGUGAUUUGAGGAUGUUAGGUUGUCGUUCAUCUGUCGUUAGCUGGAUGAGCGUUAAGUAUCCAGGAUAGGGCCUCGUGUGAUAAGGCCCGGCGUGGAUCGGUCGAUACUUCGCCAUAAAUGCGAGUGCGAAAAGGUCACACAUUUGUCGUUUGGCUCUCGAAGCAACUCUUCGUGAGCGUAUAGACCAUUAUAUUAUUGAAGAUAAUAUAAUCAUAGGAGGGUUGAUAGGCCUGUUUUGGUGUAACAAGACUGUGAUCCUACCCUACCUCGAGACGCGCAUCAGAGCAGGAUAGACAGAGAGUGUACACACAGCAUUCCAUAAGGUCCGCCCUUAGUGCUCAUACCUCUAGGCUCGACAGGGAUCCGUUCCCAGCCCGUCCUCGCUUACUGCGAUCGCGCUAAUCAAGUUAACGAAGCUGGAGUGAGCCAGCCAAGUCAAGCCGGAGCUUUAAGGAGAGCUCCUAUCGUAUUGUAUAAUAAUCAUCAUUUACCCACAGCCAAACAACUGAGAAGGUCGGCGAGUCGUCCUGAAGUAGGCGGCCGUGAGAAGUAAAGGAUCGGGCGCCAGUACCCCGAGUUUAUUGUGCAGCUAUUGUUGAAAGCGAUCCGUCGCUGUAUAUUCUCCAAGUGGUGUCACCCAUCUAUUGAGCUAGGCUUUUCGCGUCCGCGCACUAAGCCAACACAGAUCGUCAGCCUUCCGAGGCACAUCGAAUACGCAGUGUUAAUCGGCCUCAGGUUACUUCUUCGCCUGGUUCCGACCAGCGCGAGGAGCGCAGGCGCGUCAACCCUCCGGCGGCAGCCAUCCGUGGCAUCAGUGCUUACUUGUCGCGUUCUUAUUUUCUUUUGAUUUGCCGCAAGACUGCUGUUAUUAUCCAGCUUGUGAGCUUUUGGCGUGGUUGAUCUGGCUAGCAGUGAGUCAGGAUUCGUAGCCGUAGCACCCCUUUCAGUGUGGAGCUUCCGAGCUCCUGGGGGUUGUCUGGCACUCCACGCGCCCAUCGGGCACAUUUGUGUGAUUAUAUUAAGUGUAGAACCAGCUAGUGGUGGCUCUAUUGGUGCAUCCGUGUGCCGAGCCCUAGCUGUUGGAGAACUAUUAAUCUUUGCCGUACUCAGCCACCAAGCGCUCCGAGCGUUGGUGUGUGUCCCAGGACUAUCGUACGUGCACACAGGCUCCGGUCAUACAGACUCAUCAGUGAGAUAGUGUCCCCGGACAUCACUGAACACUGCGCUCUCACUAGAGCCUUGUAAGAGUCUCAUUAUCUUUAGAGCGCUGGCGGACUCUCUACGUCGCGUCAAUCCCCACCGCUCAGCUCGGCCCCCAGGGUCCAUCGAGCAUUCAACUGCACCAGCGCGCCCUAGGAAAGGUCACGCAAAGCAACAAAAGGGAGUGAAGAAGGGUCCGCCCCUCCCUGCUCAGCAGCAGCAGCAGCCUCACCCAGGACUGGAACCCGUCAGUGAGCAGCACGAGCAGGAGCAGGAGGUGCUGUGGCUUGAGAACCCUGAGUACUCCGGUACUGCAUCAGGGUUGAGCAACAGCCUCGUGUCAGAAGCACGCGUCGAGCACACAGGCAGCAGUGGUGAUUUGGAGCAAGCGGACGCAGCCGAAGUAGCAGAGUGUGAACACAGCCACUCGCCUGAUUCAGAGCUAGGACCAACCUUUCGGCUACACAGCCGAGCCUCCUCAGCAGUAACUUCGGUACCUCAGCAGUUUCCGCUUCCCAGCAAACCCUCAGGAGGAUCUGUACAGUCUUCACCUUCUAUCAGCCCUUGGUACAGCGAUACCGAAAUGGAGAAUACAGACUCUUCGUGGUCGGGGCCCACCAUGCUCCGUUUUCGACACGAGGAGUUCCCUGCCUUCAAGUGCAGGGUGUUGCGUGCAAUGCAAACUCUGCGCGCACGCUUCCGACUCAACAAAGGACAGGUGCCCGUUGAUGAAGCUCUCGACUUGAUCAACACCUUUCCUACACCAGGUACUAUGUACGACAUCUGGCAUAAGCAGCAACUACAUACGUUAGUUAAGGAUGCUCGUGCAUGGUUCAGCCGCCGCUGCACGGCAGCUGCCCAGGCAGCUAGUGCGGAGGGAGAGAACGUGUCAGCAGCAGUGCACAAUGCUAUUGAGCCAGCAUUGGAUGGUGAGAGCCUUCUCGAGUAUUAUCUCAAAAAAUUAGACGAAUCUUUUGCUCAUCAGUGUAAGACAGCCAAGGUUCUGGAGUAUUUGCAGACUAGGCAGGACAACGGCUCGCCACAGCUGUACCUGCAGCAAAUACGGGAGCUCGAGCCGUACAUUUGAGACUCAUGCUCCAGUGCAGUUAUCGUGGAGCGCUACAUUGAAGGCCUAGAUCCAGCAGUAAGGGAGCGCAUCAGAACCAAGUACGAGCUCACCCCACGUGAGGGAUGGUAUGCUCAACUCAACAGCAUUGCAACGGAUGCUGAAACAAUCUGGAUCAACCUGCAGCAAUCCCAGGCCGAGCGGGAACGACAUGCCAGCAGCGACCACGCCUCCGGGUCCAAGCAAGCUAUUACGAGUGAGAGGGAGAAACGGCUGCGCAAGCAGCCAAGCAAAAGCAAAGACAGCGGCUCCGGCCAGUCUAAGUUCUAUUGCAAGCACCACGACACCAACAGCUCCCACGACAGCAAGGAUUGCCGGAUUCUAAACGGUCGCACAACAGGAAGUGGCAAGAGCGCCGCAGCUACGGGUUCCCAUCAACCUGAUGAAUUGGCGGCGAUGAUCACCGCAGCAGUACAGACUGCAUUAGGUGCGGGUCGUACUGCUAUGGUUUCUACAUCUGAGCAGCAUGCCCCAGCCACGAAGUAUGCUGCCGAUCAGCAAUGAUGGCAGAACCGAGGUGGCGGUGGCAAUAACAACAAUGGAGGUGCUUCCAAUAGGCGUCCCCGCAUGUAUGAUGGUCCGCCCUGCGAGUAUUGUGGGCGGUAUGGUCAUGAUGAGCCAAACUGCCGGGUGCUCCACCCACAAUUGGCGCCACCCGGCUGGGAGCCGCCUCUUAAGGUGCUUCAGGUACUGUUCCAAGCUAACAAAGAGCAGGCACAGCAGAAUCGUGAGCGUGGCGCCGCACCACGCCAGCACCGAGCAGUGGCUGUCGGUGCCGUGCAGCAUGAUGAGGAGGACACCGAGGAUGAUGAAGAGGUGUACGUGCCGCACCGGUGCAACGCCAACGCGUCCUUCAACCACUGCACCCAGCCUCCUGGUGCAGCCUCUGAGACAAUCAAUGAGGUGGCGGCAUCCAUGCACGCCACUCUCACUCAUCAAGCUACUCCGGUGUCCUUCCAACCCAUGGAAAUCAGCAAUAAUGUCUACCCACCACCUAAGGUGUCUUCAAAGCCGUGUCCUGCCGCUGCGACACUCCAAGGGUCAACGGCAACAGCAGCAUACCAACCCAGUGAGUUGGUGCUCCGUUUGAACGUGGAUGGGCCUGUGCUAAAAAGGGUUAUUGCGGCAAUUAGUGAGGUCGAUGAAGCGACCUGUGAGAAUACGUCUCCCUCCAAGGAGGGCUUGCCUGGGGUGCCUCAGCCAGCUCCAGUCCCUCAGCAGCAGCAUCCAGCAGCUGCCCAGGUUCCAGCCCUGUCGCAGCCUAUUGUUCAAACCGCAGCACUCAGCAUGCAGGCCCCCGGGCCGCUGAGUGUUGCUGGCUGCACCUCUCAGCCAGUGCUGCGUGAGAUGCCUUCUGGAGUGCCAUACUGUGUUUCAGGGGUAACUGGAGCACCACCCAGAAGUAUACAGGAGAUAACUAGCGUCGAGCUGAAGCAACUGCUUCUCAGCAACUGCCCUGCAGCCGACUACUUCACACGUAAGCAGCUCAUAUUUUAUUUUCCACAAGGUGCACUACAGCUCAAUGGUCAUGAACAUCCCGAGUUCCAGAGCCUCCGUGACCACUGCGUGGACGUAAAUCUCAUAACGCAGCACGCCAUGCAGCGGCUGGGUUUGGUACUCAUGCCCACACGCACACAUCUAGACACGUCCGCCAGUGUUGAUGCCAAGCUUCUGGGGGAAAUUGACACGAGGGGAGUUCAAGUGACAAUGCUUCCAGGCACGAUACACGAGUUCAAGCUCAACCUCACUCAGACACUGGUGGUUGACAACAUGCCUCUGUUCGAUUUCUUGGUAGGAAAUGAGCAAAUGCUACCUGUCAUGGACGCCAUCACCCAAUACCCGACAGCGCAGCUCCACCUGUUUCCCAAUGUCAUUGAGAGUCCGGACUACGCAAUUAGCAUCCCCAUGACACCUGCUCUGCGGUCCGCCGCACGAGGGGUCACAGCUAGCCUGCGUUCAACAGCUUUCUGUACCAGGGCCAGCUCUCUUCCCAGCGAUAUGUCAACAGAGCUGGGGGGGGGGAUGUGUUAGCAACGACAGUCAGCAACGUGUUCAAUCAUCCAGCACAACUGUGCAGCGCUCAUGUGUUAGCACCCCCACGGCUGCCUCUACCCAAGCGUCAGAGCACCGGUUGGGAAUGGAUGCAGGUCAGCACAACACAACACAUGUAGCACCUCAGUCUGCCAGCACACCCAGGUCAGCCCUGGUGCAGGCAGCGUCAGUGAUCAUCACUACGGUCACUGGCUUUACAUCAGCAGCUACCAGUACCUUAGCAGCUACGAUUGGAGCCGUAGCAACUGCGGCCACUCCCGUGGUCGUAACACACCAGGAGCCCUUGCCACCACCCCGGCGAAGCGGCAAGAGGAAACGGGCUAAGGCCCUACGCACAAAAAACAUCAGUGUCACCAACCGCACAUGGACAAGCCUUGCAGCGCUCAGCAUGCUGGCAACGCUCCUGCUCUCUCUCGCUGCAGGCACAGGCGCCAUGCAGGGCAAGUCGCUCGGCACCUCAGGGGUAAAAAUCGCCACACAUGCCCUUUCCACAGGGGGGCUGCUCCUGAGCGCAGCCAGCUGGGUGCCUGAAUCCGUUGGUACGCCUACAACGCGCUCAGGCGCACGAGACCACGGCGGGUUUGACUACAACGGCUUGGGAAGGGCAAGCUACAGCCCAGCCGCUUCACUUGACAGUGUAUCCUCCUUUACGCCUGAAGGCAACAUGGCAGCAACAGCCUAUGAGCGCUACCAAAAGGAUCCUGAUGGAGGAUGGAUCUGGGACAAUAGCAUCAGCAUGAACAAUGAAACCAAUGAUGCUCUCAGGGCCGUCGUGCGUGCCCGCAAGCGCACGGCAUUCGCCUACAGCUGUAGCAUGGAGGACCUGCCUGGCUAUCACGGUGAUUUGGGGCCCUUUCAGCUGGAUCUGGACACCGACAAGCCGAUUGUCCAGCCUCCCCGACGCUACAGCCCCAAGGAGCGUGAGGUCAUCGCCGAAAAGACAGCCGAGCUUGUUAAAGCGGGCAUUGUCAAGGAAUACCAGGGACCGACAGCCUGCGCCAUCAACCCAGUCGUCGCCACCAAGAAGGAUCCUGACACUGGCCUGUGGACCGACUACCGCAUGGCACAGGACUAUCACCCUGUCAACACUCACACACUACAGGACAAGUAUGGGCUGCAUCAUCCCGAGGAGAUUUUCCAGCGCGUCGGCAAAGCUACUGUUUUCUCCAAGUGGGACCUGCGGCAGGGGUUUUUGCAGAUCCCCAUAGCGCCUGAGCAUCAGGCUCGUACCUCGUACUGGGUCUCCAACAAGCUCAUGGCCUACACAUGAAUGCCGUAUGGACUCAAAAAUGCCAGCGCCUACUUUCAGUGCGUCAUGGAUUAUGAGCUGGGCAAGGCAGGCCUGGCCGAUGUCAGUGUAGCAUUCAUUGACGACGUACUUAUUUGGUCACAGACGCCUGAGGAGCACGUCAAGCAUGUGGCCGCCGUACUCGACGUGUUGGCAGCCUGUGGGCUCCGUGCCCAUCCUGACAAGUCAAUUUUCGGCGCUGACGUCAUUGAGUACCUGGGUCACAACUUCAGUGCCUUUGGGAUCAGUCCUCACCAGGCCAAGGUCGCCGCAAUCAUGGCUCUUCAGCCUCCCCGCAACGUGUCUGAGCUCCGUACACAGCUGGGUUUCAUCAACUACUACCGCUGCUACAUCCCGCAAAUGAGCCAGCUCGCAGCGGAUUUGAACAAGCUCCUCAAGAAAGGUGAACCGUGGGUCUGGGGUCCCAAGCAGCAAGAGGCGUUUGAAGCCAUCAAGACUGCAUUCACCAAGGAGGGACUCAUCCUGCAUCGCAUCGACUACUCCCGCCCGCUAAUAUUGCACACGGAUUUCUCCAAUAAGGGCAUAGGAGCCAUCCUCGGGCAAGUCGAUGAUGAUGGAAAUGAAUAUAUGUGUGCUUGUAUCAGCCGUUCACUUAACAAGCACGAGACAAACUACAGCAGCUACAAGGGAGAGAUGCUCGCCGCCGUGUGGGCUGUGAAGAUGUUCCGUCACCACCUGAUUGGCGGCCCUCCGUUUAGGCUGAUUACAGACCAUCAACCACUGCUGUACCUUAUGAGCUCGGAAGGGCUUACAGGACAAUAUGCACGCUUUGCACUAGCGUUGCAAGAAUAUAAUUUUGUCAUCGAGCAUCGGCUGGGAAUUAAACAUCAGAACGCGGACACCCUGUCCCGCAACCCCGCGCCAAGCAAGGCUGACAACACUGGCGCCCGGCUUGAUGAGGAUGAGGAAGUCGGGGAGUCCGCACUUCUCACCCCGGCCUUCACUGCUGCAUCCGUGCGGGCAGUGUGGGCUGACCAUCAGCUGGCAUGCACCACUAUCCAUACAGCGGCAUCCGUUGCCCCAUUCAGUGACACCUUCUGCCCCAGCCCGGAGGAGAAUCUCUGCGGAUGGAACGAUUGGUGUUUUGAGUCGCUUGAGCCGCCUCCCGAGGCCAAAGAUGCUCAGCGAGCUGCAGCCCGGACCCAGCUGCAAAGCCUCACAACUGAGUGGCUGUCCGCUGCAAAACGUUCCGGUGGGAUCAGUCCCUUGGUGCCUACAGACCGUGACACCCUGAAGGUUUCAGUGGGAGCCCAGUUCUUCCCACUGGCCACACAGAAAGGAGUCACACUUUAUGAGCCGCUAGGCGGCAUGUGCACGGGCCUUGAGGCCUGUCUGCACAAUGGAAUUAGGGUCAACAAGUAUCUGUACUCGGACAUAGACCAGCAUGCAAGGAUGGUGGCCACCGCACGAUUGCCAGCACUCAGCGCUGCCUAUCCCCAGUUAUUUCCGCUCUCAGCAUGGAGCGAUACAUUUAUAGCACUGUCUCAGGACGUCCGGCAAGUUACAGGUCCGGAGCUUAGGCUGGCAGGAGCUCAGGAGGGUAGCCUGUGGUUGGUCAUCGCAUUCUGGAAUGCUCAGUCAGCUGACACAGUGCCAAAGGUUCUCAGCGUGAUAAACGAGCUUCAGGUGCUCGUUCCUUCACCUCGACCGGCCUGCAUACUGGGUUGCACAUCCCUACCGCUUUCUGACCAAACACCCGAGUCCGAAACAGCCGAGAAGAAUGCUGACAAGAUGUUUGGGAAAGCCACCCUUACCGAUGCUGCACACUUUGGCUCGUAUUCACACUGUCUUUACCAGUGUUGGAGUAACCUCGCGUUGCCCGAGGAGUUCACCUGUGUCGUGCAAUCUGCAAUCCGGCCCGCCGGCAGACAACUCCAAGACGUGCUUAGCAGUGAGCAUUCAGCACCCAUCUCUGCGCGUCAGAUGCACAAUCCGUACUACCCCUGUGACCAUGCUGGGAAGCCCGUCCGCACGCUUUAUCCAGGCUCAGUGGGGCAGCGUGGCUCGGAUGUUGUGGGGAGUAUCGCCACUCCGUUGUACAACAGUGUUACCACUCAGUACGAUUCCCUGUAUCCCGGGGAGUGUGACAUCGUGUUGGGUUAUGAGGCAGGGGUGUCAGCCGCUCCUGGCCUAACAGAUCAUGCUCGUCUCUCGGUGCUGGUCAACGCAACUGACCAGGCACUCAUAUCCAGUGUUGUUGCAAUCCUGCGCACCCUGGCGCAAGAUGCCAAGGUGCAAGCCUUUUCCGCAGCAUCAUGCCGAUCCGUCAUGCACAAGCUUGCUUACCUCUCACAAGGGCUUGCCGUGAGCGUGGCCUCUCACCCUCUUAGUGACAUGGGUGGGGCCUCUAUGGCGCUGGCCGCGCAUGCUCAAGAUCAGACUCUCAGUCCCGAUGCCCGACGCCAGGAUAUUUGGGACGACGAAAUCACGAUUUGUCUUCUUCACUUAGGCGAAUGUCCACCUGGCACCGACCUGGCGGAGCAAAAGCGUUGUGCUCAGCGCGCACGCAAGUACCGUUUCCAAGGAGAGAAUGACUUCACCAGGAGAGCAGCGCGAACGAAGUCGCCACUGCGAACCAGUUGUACGACAGUACCACAGAACCAGCCUUAGAAGCUCCGGUCGCUUCACUCCGUCGCGUCUAAGCCAACAAUUAGUGCGCGGACGCGAAAAGCCUAGCUCAAUAGAUGGGUGACACCACUUUGAGAAUAUACAGCGACGGAUCGCUUUCAACAAUAGCUGCACAAUAAACUCGGGGUACUGGCGCCCGAUCCUUUACUUCUCACGGCCGCCUACUUCAGGACGACUCGCCGACCUUCUCAGUCGUUUGGCUGUGGGUAAUGAAUAUACAAUAGGAGCUUUCCUCAAAGCUCCGGCUUGACUUGGCUGACUUACUCCAGCUUACUUAACUUGAUGAGCGCGAUCGCGGUAGGCGAGGACGGGCUGGGAACGGAUCCCUGUCGAGCCUAGAGGUAUAAGUCCUGCUCUGAUACGCGUCUCGAGGUAGGGUAGGAUCACAGUCUUCUUACAUAAAACAGGCCUAUCAACCCUCCUGUGAAUAUAUUAUCCGUAAUAAUUGAUGGUCUGUACGCUCACGAAGAGUUGCUUCGAGAGCCAAACGACAAAUGUUUGGCCUCUUCGCACUCGCAUUUAUGGCGAAGUAUCGACUGAUCCACGCCGGGCCUUAUCACACGAGGCCCUAUCCUGGAUACGUAACGCUCAUCCGACUAACGACAGAUGAAACGACAACUGAACAUCCUCAAACCACAACGGAAAGCGCCUUAUACGCUAGUCAGGCAACACCCAAAGUCUCAACUAAAUCAAUACGCGGUUCGCCUAACUACCUUCGGUUGGCUUAACCACCUGCGGAUAGCGACUAACUCGGUCGUGGCACGUAAUUUGUGCGCUCCAGAUGUUUUGGCGUGACAUGGUGGUGGUGGUGGUGACGGUGUCAAGCCCCACACCGUCUGCCUAGUCCAGUCUUCUAACCUUCAGCUUGACGAGAGGCCCCCCCCCCGUGUGUACACCACCCCCCACCCGCGUUAUGAAUUACCCGCUCGCCUGUGGGGGAGAGAAAACGAGGGAGGGCAUUACUCUGUGCAUUACUUACGUUUACCUGGCUCACCUGACGUAUCAGGCUUACCUCUUACUUCAGCUACACACCACACCCACGCUCGAGCUCUCUGCUGCAGUGGCUGUGCGGCGGCGGUGGCAGCAACCUCGGCCGACCCCCAACCUGCGCAGUAAUCCCCGAAACCCCCACAUGCAACCCCUCACAAGGGCGGGCGGGCGGGGGGUUGUUCCAGGCCCUCAUCAGCAGCGAACGGUUGUGAGCCCACACGCGCCGGCUUUGCACAUCGGCCCCCCCCCCCCCCCACACACACACACACACCACACACACACACACACACACCUUCCGCCGCCUUGGCAUCUGCGCAUGCGGUGGAUGUCCGCAAGGCUGCCUCGCGGAGCCACAUGCAGGACACGCAGCCGGGGAGGAACCAUAUUGCUGUACAGAAUUAGGGAACAUAUCCAACGUAUCCGACAUAUCCAGAUCAAGAUCAAGAUCCAGAAUGGCAAAUUUGAAAAGUUUCCGAUCGGAUGGAUGGCAGCGAAGCGUUAUAUGGCGCUGGAGCCGGUGAGAGCUAGGAUGGCCGCGGCAGCGGCACUGACGCCGUCGUCGUCGUCGCCGCCGCCGCCGCCGCGUCUAGGCCGGGCCGCCAGGUGCUUUCACCGCCGAUGAGGCGCUAAGAGGUUUCCAGUUGAGGCAGAGGCCGGCGGGUAUAUGAGGCGCUGCGGUCUGCAGGUAGGGGGAGAGGUAUGGCCGAGGAGCCGCCGCCACCGUCGCCACCACCGCCAAGCGGUGUGGAACUUUGGACACCCCCGUUUGCUUUAUCCACGGUCGGCGGCGGCGGCGGAUGAGGAGGGCCGGUUCGGCAUCGGCAUCGGCAUCGACACAACGGCGGCGGCGGCGGCGACGCCACCACGUCCAGUAUCAUAUGUCGUACAGCCUGCCGCCGCUGCGUGACGUCAUGUGUGCGAGUAGUCGCCGGGGUGAAAAGAGGCAGGCGCAGAACCCGCAGCUGCCAGGCUCCGCUCCAGGGGGGCCGCUCUGGCCGCUGCGACAUCUCGGGGCUGCUCCUGGCGCUCUGGCCGCUGAACAAUAUCCAACGCCUCCAGGAUGUCAGCAGCAUCCAACCAACCAAAUUCGCAAUUCGUGUCCUAAAGGCUCGGCAACGUGAUGUCAAAUUAUGCCGCCAAUUAUUUAUUGCCUCAUAUCCCUUUGCCGUUUCUAUUAGAUCAAAAAGCCCUGUCACGAGUACUUGUGGCAAGCUGAACCAACUUCAACUCUUUUGCACUGAGCGGUACUAAUGAGGGGUAAAUGCUCCAAGGAAUCACCCCUCGGGUUUGAUCUAUGCGCCUCUUUCCUCCUUUUGACCUUAGCAAUCUCCCACAGGCUUUAGCGCUUUACCACGGCCAUAUAUCCGGGCCGCACUCGCACGUCUAUGAGUGAACGCGCCGCUAUACUUGUUUUUCAACAGGAUGCCUGAUGAUACUCAGGCGGUGAUUUAAAUGCAGCACCCGCAGAGGGAGGCUACUAUCCCUAUGGGAAUCUUCAAGGCGAUAUAUGGUUCACACGUGUGUAUGGGGGAAAGGGGAAAGGAGAAAUCUACCGAAGUCUACCUCACGUUUAAAAACACACAUCGCACGCAUUUCAGCUGAUAGCAAUAGCACGGUGCAAACAGCUUGGGUUUUUGACACCUCCUUUUCCCUUGCUUUCCCAACUUUAUCGUCCCCCGCCUUUUUACCGGUUACUGUUACUCUUAGUAGUGGAUACCCCUCGAUGGAAGCUUAUGGGCGAAGGUUAUGGUGGUCAAGACACUGUGCAAGGUGGUCACGUGAGAUAUCGUACAUGGGUGAUUAAGACGCCGUACAGUAAGUUCGAUUGUACGACGGUUACAGGGCCACCAGGCCACAGGGCUCGAUUCUUUUCGGAAAGGAACAUUACCGCGAGGCAAUAGCGACCGAGGACGGCACGACACAGGAGAGCGCACACGAGCACACACACCACCACAGAGCAAUUAUCAUGCUUGCCAGCCAGGCGGCCGGCAGCUUUGAUGACGUGUGGAUUUCUAGCUGCAGGCUAGAAACCUUUCCUGAAGUCUUUGCUGCGCUGCUGCUGUUGCAUUGAAGUGCGACAACCCACACUCGCCGCAAUGCCUUUAGAAGCCGCCGCGGCAGGCAAUCCUCGUGUGACAUGACGUCGCCCUCCAGUUUUUAAUUCUUUUUCCAGCAUCAUCGGCUGAUGACCUGAUGACGACUGUUACUGAGCUUAACAAGGCCGCGGAUGCGCCCCGGGGGGAGGGGAAGAACCCUAGGUCCUCAGGUAUUUACACUGCCAGCAUCAAUACCCCCGUGGUGGUGGUACGAUGGCUGAAUGGCUGAAAACCUCUUUUUCACUGUUCUGAAGUUAAAAGAAUUUACAUCGUUCGUCAUUUAGAUAGGGAGCGUCGAACGCCGCGUGAAUUUAACACGCAGAGGAGAUAAUCCCCAUGCGAGCAUUGCAUGCACGUACAAUGCACAGGCAUGCUUGCUUCUAACGUAGCCAAGGCCCCAAAGGCCGCUGGGCCUCGCGACCAUCCCCGCUGGCACCCCAUAUCCGGACCCUCCACCCUGCCGCAAAUGCUGCUGCAUGCGCUUUCUUCGCCCUUAAGCAACGCAGUAGAACCACCAUCUUUUAGACACCAUCCUAAGCUAAAACUUUCAUGUGCUAUCCAUCCUAUGAAACCUCUGGAAACUCUUACCCUUCAAAUCUAAAAUGCGACAUAAUUUUCUAUCAAGACGUUGCCGUACACCCAGCCGUAAAUCCAUACCGCAAUCGGAUCCAACUAAUUUUAAAAAAUGCGCGCGAACAGGGUUUUUGCCUUUGUAAUGUGAAAAUACGGUAUGCACCCUUCAGAGCAGGGAUGCGUCCUGCAGCGAACAAUUAUAAAACCCGAUAACAGUCUCACCGAUGCGUUGCAUCGUCCUCAGUCAUUGGUAUGUAUGUCGUCAUAUGUCGUUCGUGUGCGUGUGUUUCUUGUGUCAUCCCAGCACGUGACGCUUCUCCGUGUGCAUUCACGUAUUGAGCCAAGCAACCACCAUCACCCAACUAACCAACGAACAACGUCCUAUCGGUUAGGCGGCACAACCUCUCCCCAACUAAACGCAAGAAGGCUGCAUUGAGGUUGUCCCUGCAUGUGCAAGGUUGCAUGCAGGCAUGCAGGCAGGCACGCGCGCGCACAAUUCAUGCAUAGAAUUGAAGACGCACCAGGCGGGGGAGCCCCAGAUGAUCGCCGUGCUGCAAAUUCAAAUUUUCUAAGCGAGGGGAAGUGGCGGGAGUCAGCUGGAGAGCAGCUGGUGGUGGCAAAUGCGCGCACGACACGCACUGCACCGCGUGCUGAUAGCCAGCCCAUGCAAGGGCUAACAUGCCGUAUGGAUGGAUGGAUGGUUAGAUGGUUAGAUGGAUGGAUGGAUGGAUGGUUAGAUGGAUGGAUGGUUAGAUGGCAAGAUGGCAAUAAGCUGGAAGCGUGUUGGAUUUUUGGCAAUAAGAUAAGGCUGGGUGGGUGGGUGGGUGGGUGGAUGAUGAAUCCCAACAGUUCCGACCAAGUCAACACACAGCCCGCAAUGGGACUCCGCUCCCUCCAAACUUAACUCUCUCCGCCCCCCCCCCAAUGGGCAAAUCCCCCGCAAUACCACUUCGCCCAAUUUCCGACCAAGUCGGGGCAUCAGCAUCAGCAAUAGCAGCAGCAGCAUCACCACCGCGAAUAGGAACAAAAUAGCGCAAUGGCUGCCAAGCCAGGUUAGCCCAAGGUACGCUGCGCACGCAACGACACACCUCACUACUUACGCAACUUGACUCCCCCCCCCCAACCACUCCCGAAAACUCUCAAGUCAAAAAACCCUUCAUAAAAAGCUCCACUAGAACUGCCUAAAGAACAAAUCUUCAUCUAGAUCAGCAUGAGCCCGGCCAGCAGCAGCAGUAGCAGCAGCAACAGCUGCGGCGAUGGCGCCACCAUCACGGCUGCGCCACCGGCUGUCUGCCGACUGCUAGCCGGGUUAAGAACCUGCAGAGUGAAGCCCCCCGGGGGUUCAGGGUGUGGUGUGUCUCCAACAAAAGUGAAAAUGGCGUCGAGUAGUGCCGGGCGUCACUUAGCGGGGGGGGGGAAUAUCAGUGUGUUUUAGGGUUCAAAUUUGGGUUCAAAAACAACAGAACACCCUUUUAGGGGGAAGAGGAGGAGAGGAGGAUGUGCACUAUAGGUAGAGCGGGACCAAGGAAGCCCGACAGCCCGCCCAGACGGAGCGAAGAUGGACACAAAAGGUGUUUCUCCUCCUCCCGGGUUCCCUCUGCUGUAUGUAUAAUGUAUAUGUAUGGGUUUUACGCACCCGCACAGGAUUUCUCGUACUGUGCCGUACACUUCCGUACACUUACCCCAUUAAUCACUUGGACGAUCACUUGUGGCUCGAUGCCGACUUGGAAUGUAUUUAGGAUGGAGAAGACUGGGGAUCCGGGUACGGCAGCUGAGGCGACGGUGGGCUUGACGCCAGCAUCGGCCUUGUCGUUCGAUGGAACCACAACCGUCACGUUGUUCGAACUUGGCAUAUGUAUUUUAUGUGCGCGCGAGCGAACGUGUGUGUGUGUAUAUUGCGUGGGGAUGUUGCGCGUGGAUGUUGAGGGCAAGGCGAAAGAAAGUUCAAAAGAAGAGUUCAAAAAAGGGGGGCAAUCCUAGAUGGGGAAUAUUACUUGGGAGGUGCAAUAAUUGCCGCGUCUGGUUCCCUCAGUGGUCGUGGUUUGUCUUACUAAGGGUUUAGGGUUUGUCUUGCUCUUACAUUGGUAAAAGGAAAUUCUUAAAGCCGUGUGAUGAUGUGUGUUUAAUGAGCUAUUAGGCCUCCUAGCCCAAUAGAAUCCUGGCAUAACAAACACAGGUUUUUUUAUUACAAAUAAGACAAAACAGAAAAGCCGAAGCGGAGGAUACACAGCGGCAACAACGCUAACGAACAACCGUUGUCCCUUUCAUCGCCGUACAACUUACACAGCCGUUUAGUUCAGGGGCAUACAAAAAGUCUAGUUGCGAGGGUUGUAUGGUAUGGUUCAAUGUUAAUAAUGUAUACGAUGUAGUAGAACCCCUGCUAACGAAAUAAACUUACUUCAGAGUUAUGUACGAUGUACGAACGUAUUCUUCUGAGGUUGUGUCCGUAACCACCCAGCCGUAUGCCACAUGGUGACGUAGCAAGCUUUCGUACGACCUUAGAUUGGCGAGGAUGGUGGUAGCGGCGGAGGCACCGAAGGCGCUGACGAAGGCCUGCAAUAUACCCAAAGACGGCGAUUAUGGGGACGGAGGUGGAUUACCAGACGUGGAGAAGAAGCAAUAAAGAGUGCAAUUACAUGUUCUCCGUGCCAACAUACCUCCCGAGCGAUGCUGCCAAAACUCCGGACAGGACAGGACAGGGAUGAAGUAGAGGACAUGGCAGUUGGUGGUUGAAGGAGGCGAGGGAAACCUCACAUUCGCACAGACAUACAUACUUACACACGGGCAGACAUGCAUAUGUAUUGGCAUGUAUCAACAAUUAAUUGGGCGUUACAACUGAUUCGGCAACAACUACGACACUCACCUCGUCGGUUGGUACGAAUAUGGUGUACGGGCUCGUCACAUUCGCUGGCUUGAGAAGUUGGGCGGUCUUGAGCGCCUGGUACAUGGUCGAGGCGCCGCUGAUGGAGGCGAAGACCUGGGGCGAAACGGCGAAGGUGGACCGUAUGGAGGAAUGGCGGUGGAAUGAAUUUAUUUUGUUGGAUGUGUAAAAGAGGUGAGGGUGACCGAUUUGAGAUGGAGAUGCCAGAUGUCCUCGGGCAGAUCAAAACAUCCAAAUUCAGGAAAAAAAUAUGACUUAAAUUUCUAUAAAUCACCCACACGGGAAAGCUGGCGACCCCAGAGGCGAACACAGACACACAUAUAUACGAGCGCGCGUGCUAAAAAACGCGUCAAACUAUUCAUCUUUAAGAAAUAUCUUUACUGCGAGCUGAUCAUUGCUACACAGAGAGACAGACAGAAGGACGGACAGAUGCCGUUUUGGAGAAUGUGACCUCAGAUCUUUUAGCAUAAGACAGCGGAAUAAACAAAAUAUCUUUUUAAAAAUAAUAUAUAAUAAUAUUAUAUAAUAUAACAGUGUCACCACGGCCGCCUCGACCCUUACAUCCCCAUUUCCAUACGCACAUACAUACACACACACUCACUCACACACACUCACCUCAUCAACUGAGUUGUACCAAUACUGCAAAACGGUAUCCACGACAUUAAUGCACGACGCGCCUGCCGCGACAUCAGCCUGCAGUACUUUAGCGGUUGAGCUAACCCCCAGAAUGAAUAUCUCCGGGGAUGUCGCCGGGGGGCUCGAGGGAGGCGAAACCCGCACGCCGAUGCUUGAGGACUGUCCCAUCGUACUGCCCGUGACGGUGUACGACAAAAACAAAAAAAUGAUAUUCAUAGCCGUAGCCGUGCAGCCACGACAUUGAAGGCGCGUGAUGUUGGCGACGGGCAUUACAGAGGGGAGGGGAUGGCCAGGUGAGUUUGUCAGGUGGCGGGGGCUAGGGGGAUGUCAGGUGGUGGUGGGUCAGGGGGGAUUUCAAGGGGGAAGAGGAAGCAACGGGAGUUGGUGGUUGCAGUUGCCGUACGUCUCAGAGACGUGUUAAAGAAGAGAACCUCAACGAAGAGAAGGGGUCCGUUGUAAAAAACACAGAAAACACACGCACACGCACACGACCCGUCCCAUGACGACGAACCCCCAUUAUUCCAAAACACGGAUAGAGACCGUAGAAAAAAAAGACCGCAACCUGGAAUUUAUAUAUUUCACAUUUACAUAUCCUAAAGCACAGGUAAAAUUCCGUAUUUUCGUUACAUUCGUUACAACCGAGCCUCCGCCGCUGUAGUACUCCGCGUCCCAUCACAACCCAAUGCCGUACGAGUUGUACACAGUCCGUACUCACAGCGUGGUGUUGUAGUACUCCGUACCGCCGACUGAUUGAUUCGCAACACUCUGAAGGCUAAUUCUGGUCGGUAGCACGUGAUAGCUUAGGGCUCUUUUGAUAACCGGCAAGUACGGCAACAAACCCGCACGGUUGCUCCUGGCAACGCCCAGCGCGUCCGACAACUUGUCAAAAGCCCUGCGGAUUGGUGCAGACAAGGUACGGCAUUGAGUCUAUUGUCGCACAUUGCAAAUUCGUACAGUACGACACGGCAAAUCUGUCACUCGGGAUGCAUGUUCCGAACCUAGAAGGGAAAGCCGAACCAGCUUCGUGUAAUGAUGAAUAAUAGGCCAUCGCGGGACGUGUCCGGACUCACGUCUCAGUGGGCAGGAAGAAGGUCACCUCCUGGCUGGAGUCGUUGAAGGUUGCGACUUCAUUUGCGGUCGACAAGGCAAGACUGAUCGUUGGGAAGCUGUUGUUCUUGACAAGGAAAUCCCAGAUGGAAGAGUAGCUGACAGGAGGGGUGGGAGGGGUAGACGGUGGCGGCGAGGGAGGUGGUAUUGCCGGCUGGCUGGAUGCGGGACUUGUUGGCGUGUUGUCCUUAACCAGGGGCGGCCGGUCGACAUCCUCGUUAGGCGGCGGCGGAGGAGGACUUGCUAGGGCCGGCAGUAGUGGUGGUGGAGGUGAUGGCGUAGAUGGUAACGGAGGCGAUGUGAAGGACGACGGCGAGGCUAUCAGAGGCGGAUACGUAAAAGCAAGAACAUUGCUUUUCCAUGCAGGCGUAAGGAAAAGAAGCAGACCUGGACCGGUGAGGGCGAGACGAAAAGGAAGGAUGUCAGAGGGGCAUCAUGAUGUCACGGGAAAGAGUGAGGCUCGAGCCGAGUCGAGAAACGAGACGCUGAAUUAAGAGACCUGGACAAUUCAUUUGACGUCGUUUAUAAAGAAUCCCUCGCUGCCAGGCUUCUUCACUGUUUCCCGCCCGUCUGAGCGAAGCACGACGUUACAAAACCAUGAACGAAUAUGGGAAGUUCCAUGCGCAGCUUGCGCUUCGCGAUUGCAUGGUUCAAUAACAACCGACCUGCGCACGCGAGAAGGUAGUUCAUGAAGGCAGCGAUUGCCAUCCGCAUAGUUCUCUGUUGGAAUCCAAUACUGUGUCUUUUAAAAUAAGGCCUGUAAGUUGAUGCUGGGGGCUCUCAUUUCCAGCAAUUAUGGAAAGCCAUUUAGCGCCACUUUGCAUGUGAUGGCGCCACUGCAUCAAGUAUUGCGCCAUGUACGGAUUUGCUCGCGCAAUAACUUACCCCGUGUCUUCAACUGGAAGUAGUCACCUCCACAUAUCUCUUUUAAAUGUUACUGUAUGUUGGCAUAACAAAUGGUUCUCCUGUUUGGGGCCGAUUAGAUGUCGAUAACGGCGAAAACAAACUGGCAAGAAGAAGACAAGUUAUAAUAAAAGGCUUGGCAAGAGUCUAACUCCAGAAUUAAAGACUCCAGGGGAACAUGAUUUAUAUAGCUGUGGAUUCUCAACCGCUACGAGCUACUGCCGCUUCUCAUGCUCUUGUACGGCGUGGUUCGAUGCGUUUUGCGUUCUGUGGUAACUGCGAGACGAGGUCUUUCGACAUUUUCUAUUGUGUCUUGCGAGGCAUUGCUGUGUGAUGGAUGUAUUGUGGUGUACUUUGGCUGUUCGUGACCACGGGCCACAGUCAGACUUUGCUAACUGGCGCACAAUGAGAUCACGUACAUUCCACAUUCUCAGGACGCACGAAUCUACUCACUUAGGAAAGGAAGCAUUUCCAUUGUUCAUCCCUUUGUUAAAAAGGGCAGCAAAAAGGUAUGAGGUCGAGUUCAACCAUGAUGUCCGUCGCAUCACAGGCAGUCUCAGGCAGUCACACCCAAGCACGGCAAAUGCAUUAAUUUUAUAUGACGAAGGAAGGAGCAAAGGCCACUUUGGUUCUAAAGCCUCUCCUGCAAAAUGGGCGCCAUGUUUCAUGCUUGGACAUAGGAGCCACUGCUCUGAAGCGAGGUGUGACAUAUGCGCUGUUUAAAAUCUUGACCUUUGGAGUAAGGAAGAGCUUUAUAUAUUACGCCGUUAGUCUGUAAGUGGUAACCCCAACACAGUAUCUAUCGCACAGAACCCAAAUAAUACAUUUAUACGAUACAAAAGCAGGAACUGCGCAAGGAAAUUCUCUUGAAAAGGUUCUAGAUCUGACCUGGAGUUCGUUCCCGACUUAACCGUACUUCGAUCGUUUGCGAUACAUUUCGCUUUUUUAGAGCCGUAACUUGUCGCAUGGCGGCAUUUCUUUGCUGGCGUCUUAAAUCGUAAGCGUAGGCACAGAAUACAGUACUUUUCGCGACGGUGGAAACACGCGGGGCCAACCAACCAAGCAGCUUUGGGGCCCAAACAACUCGUUGAAGGCGGCCUGCACGCUGCGAACAGUCAAGUGCGCAGCUCAACUACCUGUACCUGAAGCACGGCAGCAGCUGGCAGCAACAGCAGCAGCUAGAAGCGAGAAGCGAGAGGUUUGCUGAGCGACCAAAUCUAAGACCGCUAGAACAUCACGACGUCUUGCUUGCACUAAUGACCUUACACGCUUUAUUGCAAGUACUCGCGACGACCAUUUACGGGCAGACCUACGGCAACAUUCGGAGCUUAUAUUGCGACAGCUUGAUAUCAAUUCAAAUCCAACAGCUAAAAUGCAUGCAGGUUAUCAUAAACUUGCAGCGACACAAGGGUCUUCGCAGGCCUUCAUACCUCUGCUGGCUGCGGUUGAUUUAACUGCAACGUCAUCUAGUUACGUUAUACCACUUUGAAAGGUAAACACAUCGUUUCUAACCAAUCUCGGAGCAAAAACAUGAAAACUCAUGCCAUCAUGACAGCCGUGACGUCUGGUUCUCUCUCUCACCUUCUCCACAGAAUUACAUAACGAUUGUUCUAACUGCUUUUCUCCUCAAAAGUGCUGCUUAGAAACGGUUUGAAUUUUUUACCUAGGUUUGGACGUUACGGGUGAAGUUCUUGAAGCUAGAGACGAGACCGCGGCAUCGCACGAUUAAAACAUCGAUCGGUUAAUGAAGGAGAUCCGGGCGCGGCUUGAUGAUGUGUGAGAGGCUGCAGCUGGCUCUCACACAGCUGGCGGUGAUUGUUUCUGACAUAAGGGGGGUCAGAUGUGGGUUUUCAGAUGUGCCGCGAUACCUGCGAUGGAUGGGCCAAUCCAAGCCCUACGAAGGCUAUAUUUUGCCGAAACAGCACAUCACACUGAUGUGCAUUACGAUGCUUGUUUGGCCGCUGGCUGGCAACCGACCGCAGGGCAGGGAGCGUGCAUCGCGGUGGUGUCGGGUUUGUGACGGUCGAUCGUCAGGCAAUCGAUUGAAGACGAGCGAUACGUGUUGUUGCUCGAAUGUCACUGAAAUGAAAAAAGCAAACAUACGUCCUGACCUUUGGAGCUUAGGCCCUGUGCCAGGGUUCUGCCAUGGAUGCUGCGGAGAUGGGUGUUGAGGACCAACGCGCGCGGGCUAGCGCACGUCCUGGAUUGCAUACGGAGACGUAAGUUGGAGUACAUGAACGGCUAAUGCGGCUCAUGAGACCUUUUUCUAUUACUAUAUAUUUUAUCUUUUCUCCUUAUUUUGCUCAAGAAGCUUGUAAUAAAAAGCGUCAAACGUCAAAUGAAUGUACAGCUGUGCAAAGUAAGGACAUCGUCGAACAGAAUCAGAGGGGGCCCUAAUUUUCCUCGGUAAAUAAUAUUUUUACGUGCCAAGCCCAAAGCACAGAAAUAUGGCAUAACAUAGCGUAACAAAAGGGAUAUGAGUGUGCGUUGAGAACCGAAUUUCGACAUCAUCAUCUUCCGCACGAACUAAGCAAUCCGUGGCUUCCUGCUGUAUGAAUCCUCUGUUAUAAACAAUUCACAACAAUUUCGAUUGUUUUUCGCUACCUGCCUCUGCCCCGCCGCUGGCCUAACCGCAGCGAAUUGGCACAACAACCACACAACUCCCACACACCCCAAAACUACAACUCUCUAGAUUCUGUUACGUUCAGCGCAGAGUAGGUCAGGCGAAGUGAAGGCUGGAGCCAGCCCCGCAGCCUCCAACAUUUAAGAAACCCACGUAAACAAAACUAAGGAAGGGUAAAAUCAACUAAUUCGCCAGUAUUGUCAUCGCGCGCCCGUACCACCACGCGCGCUACCUGCCGCAAAUGUCCAUACGGCUCCAGCGCCGCCACCACCGCCGGCACAAGCCGCCGCUGCCGCUGCCGCCGCCGCCGCUCCACUGCAUUACCCGGCGGCGCCGCCUCCAGCUCCUCCACCUCCUCUAUCAGCACCUCAGAGGGCAGCAAGUCCGCCGGAAGCUCACCUAGAUGCCGUACGGCCGCCGUCAACACCUCGCCUUCCCCUGCCGGCACCCGUACCUCCAGUCGUACACAGCGACUCGCCGACAGCGCCAGAGAUCGUCCCAGGAGCCCACUUCCGCCUCGCGGUCGUCGGCUGUUGCUAAUAAUGACGCCGCCGCCAGCCCCGUCGCCGUCACCAUCGCCGUCACCCCCGUCGCCGUCACCCCCGUCGCCGCAUUCUGGAUAUGUAAUGCAAAGCUCCCGCACCAUCAUGGAGCAUCCUGGUUGGUCUGCGAAACCCUCCAGUAGCCGCCAAUCGUCUUCCACUGCGGCGCGGUUUAGCAGCAACUUGGUGACCGCCACACGCCUAAGACCACCACCACCACCACCACCACCACCACCAGCUACGGCGGCGGCGGCGGCGGCGUUUUUUGCCGCCGCGCCGAAGAGCCGCAUGCAAUCCGCCAACCUGCGCACGUUAACCGCCGUAGCGCGCAGUAACAACCAGCCAAGCCAGGGAUCGUACAUCAGCGCAUCGGCCGACAGCGGCUCUUGAAGAAAGGCCAGGUGCUCGUACAGCGUCAGCCGCAGCGGCCGAGCGGCAGCGCCGCCGCCGCCGCCAUCCAUACCCGGCAGUAGCACCUGAGCCACUCGGCUGUAGCCUCCGACCAGCGUCAGCCCGCGCAGCUGCGGUAGCGCCGCCAGCAGCGCUCGAGGCCACCCGAGCUGUGUGCGCUGUCGGAGCGAGUGGUGGAUGGCGUCAGUGUGCACCACGAGGUCCUCCAGGGAAGGACAACCGCCGGCCCCCCUGCUGGCGCCGCCGCCGCCGCUGCUGGCACCCAGGUGCGCAACUCCCGACGCCGCGACGGCACUCGGGUCGUACACGAAAGCCGCCGGCAGCUCCAACCGACGUAGAAACCGCAUGGCCGCUAGGGCUGCUAAGGGCGGAGCCGGAUCGUGAGGAGCAGUUGCUCCGAAACCCGCAGCGUCAGGCUGUUCCGCAGGAUCAAGCUGAUAUGGACGUGGAUGUGGACAUGAAGGAGCAGGGGCGUACCUGCCCGUGGCCUCGCCGUAUGAUGGGUCUCUGCCGCAAGUGUCGCCGGUGCCAGCACCUGGCAGCAAUGGCGGUGACGGCGGCGGCGGCGGCGACUGUACGACGUCCCAGUGACCGGAUAAGGAGAGGGACUCCAGGGAGGGAAAGAGCUGGGCAAGUGCCGCCGCCAAAUGGUGGGUCAGCACCAAGGGGUCCACCGAGCUUCGCCAGCCAGCGUCUCCUCUGGAGGCUGUUGGCGGCGGCUUGCCAAAGAGGAAGCUAGCGGCGGCGGCAGUGGCGUGCGAGAGGUGGCCGUCAUUGCAGGGGUAAGUGGGAGCAGCAGAGAAUAGUCUUGCGGCGGCUGCCUGGUUCUUGGACUUGGACGGCGCUGCUGGUGCUGCUGGUGCUGCAGCGGUGGUGGCAGGGACGAUGCUUCCGUCUGGCGCUACUUCCAAGCCACUGUCGUGCACCAGCCACUGCGCGACUUGAUAGUGGUGGUCGUAGAGGUGGAGGUGUUGUUGGUUGCUGUGAUGAUAGCCACGGCCGCUGUCGAAGAUUCCCCGAGAGAAAUCAGGGUGCAGGUCAGAUGGCUUAAGAGCUGCUGGGGUAGAUGUGGCCUCCGGGCGCGGGGAGAUGGUUUGCUGGUGACGUUCGGGAGUUUCUUGUUUGUUGAGGCGCUUGGUGGGUUUAGGAGCAGAAGGGGGAGAGGCAUCCGCGUGAAGGUGGAAACUGGUGAUGUGCGGGAGCACAUGUCCGCGCGCAGCUGCCUCCAGGAAGGGCACCUGCACGCAGUCCAUGCCAAAGUUGCUGAUGCAGCUGUUGCGAGCACCGGUAUGGGGAUUGCAGCAGCUGCGAGGUGCAGGGCUUGCAAGCGCAGUCAACGCCAGGCGCGUGCAUCGGGGCCACUUGGCAAGGAUGCUCAGCGCGCCGGACACAGAGUUUACGCAGAAGUUGUUGCCAGUGGAACCUGGCUUGAAUUUUAUUAUUAUCUCGAGAGGUUCUGACAUUAGCGGGUCAAUCAGCGAGGAUGCCGUGCGACAGGUGGCUCGAAGUGAGAGGGCGCCCUGCAGGCCCAAAGCUGAAAUGAAAUGGUGUCGAGUGUUUAAAUCUGUUGUGAGCAUGACUUCGACCAAGCCCUGAGGGAGGGUUGGUAACCCCAAAUAUGUAAUUGCCAUUGUUUCGGCAACUGUGAAAUACAAGUUCUUGAUGGAAAGCAACUAUUGCUUGCCCCGUUGUGAACUUAUGUGCUGUCUGCCUUUACCCUUCAUAUGCCCGUCAGCAGAGCUGCUGGAAAUGGAUCCAUUCCGCAUUAGCGGUUAACUUGUACGGUUCGCAAAGUUGCCCUCUGGUCCGGCCUUGCACGCUUAAGGCCGAUUGACUGGCGCUAAUUGUGCUAUAUCCAGCUGUGUCCGCUCCCACACAUGCGCGCGCGCGUUCUUUAAAAGAUGGGUCGCACAUCGUCACGCCUCGUCACCCCGUUUCCUCACAUGGACCAAGCGCACGCAUACCUACCUACCUAAAACACAGCGCGAAGCGGCCUUUGGCACAGGCAGUAUGAAAUACGGAGAAGUCACGCCUUAGGCACAGGCAGUACGAAAUACGGAGAAGUCAUGUACUGCAAUCCCAGAAGCGAUCCAGAAGUAACCCCAGCGACUUUAACCCAUUUUUAGGGUCUACCGUGCACGACGAGGCAACAGAAAUAAAGCACAAAAUGGUCUAUUUCCUAAUUAACCUACAGCUAUAACUGCUUAGUUGUAGCUAAAUUAGGAAAUUGCAUUUUUGUUAUAGUCGCCACCAAAAGACACAAAUUAACACAAACAAAGACAUACAGACACAGACACACAGACACAGACGCUAGCUGUCUGCUAGCCUAGCUGGUCUCGGAGCCCGGCGGUGACAGUACAACGGCCGCCAGCGGGGCGAGCAAAGCCAAUCUGGAUUGUACGGCCGUCCUGGAGCCCACAACGGGAACACCACCGCCACCGCCACCGCCACCGCCACUGCCACCGCCGACGCCACCGCCGACGCCGCCGACGCCCUGUCCACAAUAGACUCCGGGUCUCUCCUCAAUGCGGCGAGUUCUAGCUGCCUCUAAGAAAGCUGUAGCCGCAAGAGAGCUCCCAGAUCCGAAACCACUGAGUUGCCCCCGUGGAGGUGGGGGGUUACCAGCGGACGAGGAGAACUGCUGCUGCCGCACCUCCCGCAAUGGCUGUAGCGGCGGUAGCGACUGUGGCGACUGUAGCGACUGUGGCGGCAGUGGUGUAGGUGCUGGUGCUGGUAGCGACCGUGGCAGUGGCGAGGGGGAUGGCUGCAGCUGGUGACGCUGCUGUAGCAAACUGGUCAGUGACUUGGCUUUCCUCGCACUGCCGACACGGUCGCCGUCACCGCCACUGUCGCUAGUACGAUUAGUACGACUCAACAGCGACGGCGGGGUGGUGCCUGGGGGACUUCGCGCCUUGAACGUGCUCCAUAUGCCGCGGGAUCGGGAGCCGUCGUGAACGCCGUACUCUGAUGCUGCGCCAGCGGCGGCGGUGGCGACGGCGCCAGCGGCGCCGUAAGCAGAAUCGGGAUCACCGUCCGACCAGCCUGGGCGGGUCGGUCCGGCGGCGCAUGCAGCCAAAAUCUCAGCCGUUGCCACGGCCUUGAAACGCUCCGCGCCCCAAGACAUGAAUCGGAAACUGGACGUGGCCGUCGCGCCUCUGCCGCCGCCGCCGCCUCUACCGCCGCCGCCGCCGCCUCUGCCGCCACCAUCGUGAUGGAAAGCAGCAGCAGCAGCAGCAGCAGCAGCAGCAGUAGCAUCAGCGCCGCUGCCGCCGCCAUCAAUGCGAUCCAGGCCCCUUGGUGACGACGAAAUCAUGCUGUGCUGCGACGCGGUGGGGAUCCUUAGCGCCAGGCUCUGCCCGACGCCACUAGUGUUGCCGCUGACGCGUACGACAUUGUACGACACGCAACUGGAGCUUUGAUCCGGGUACGGCAUGAGUAUGGAGCCCGCUGUAAGGCUGCUAGAGGGAGCGGGAGCACCACUUGGGGGGUUAUUGGACGACGCAGGGCGCAGAUGCCCAUCAGCCUCCACGUCAUCCUCUUGCUCGUCCAUCGACCCGUAGUACGACACGUGCUCGCUGGCGCUUCGGACGCGAAGUCGCCAGCGAGUGCUGUUGUUUGUCGGCUCCGGAGUAGAUGUAGGCUCAGCGUUGGCCUUAGCUGGCAAUUUUAACAUCUUGAUUAGGAAGGACCGCAGCCAUCGUCGCAGGUUCGAAACCCGCGAGGAGCUGGAAUUGACCGUCGCCGCGGCUCCGGCAGCGUCUUGAAGGCGUUGCAGCCCUGGACACGAGCUCUGCGACGUCACUGCGGAGGCGGUGAAAACGUCGCAGUUGGCGGAGGUGUUGGCGGCGGCAGCCGCCGCCUCCGUCAGCAUUACCAAUCGUGGACUUUCUGCGCCGCAGCCGCCCUCCGGCGCCAGCGCAGCCGUUCCCUUCCCGUCCUCGUCCGAAGGGGCAACUGACUCCGGUAGGCCAGUGCCAGCACCCGCCGGGCGGGCUAGUUCACCUGUGGCCGCUUGAGCCUGCUUCGCAGUCCUGGCGGCGACGGCGCCGCUGGCGACGGCGGCGGCAGCGGCCGCGAGGUACGGCAGCUCAUCCGCUGAAUCCACCUCCCGUACAACCUGCGGAUCCAGAGGGCCGUGCUGCAACCAUAGCGAUGGCAGCGGCGGCGGCGGCGGCAGGUUUUUCGUGCCUGCUGCUUCGCUGCCGCCACUCCCGCCGCCGCCGCCGCCGCCGCUGCUACCGCAGGGGAUCGGAUGUCUACCUGCGCUAGUACGCAAUGUCGUGCCUGGCUGCGUUGCGCCAUGUGACUGCUCGCCAUGGGUAGCGGUGGUGCCCUGUACGGUUUGUGGCGGCGGCCGCGGCACCGCCGCCGCCUCAGCGGAAGCUCCGGAACCGGGCACAUCUGUGGCGCCGCCGUCGCCGUUGCCGUCGCAACCCGUACUUGAGCCCAUAGGACCCUCUGCUCGCAGACCGCCACCGUCGCCGACCUGCCCGCUGGCAGCGACGUCAGCAGCGUCGACGCUGACGCGGACGGCCGUGGCAGCAGCGGUGAUGAUGGCUGCAUUGCACGACAUGCGCCAGCGCGCGCUGGCGCCGCCUCCGGCAGUAGCGUCCUCGGCACCACCACAAUUGCUACUGCCACGUAGCGCGCUGCCGCAGCUGGCGUUGCUCGUCCUUUGGCUGACGGCACCGCCGUCGCCGCCGCCGCCGCCGAGAUAAACGCUGCUGGUGUAGCUACUUCGCUGUUGGCAGCUACUGCUAUUACUGGUUCUGUUGCUACUGCCGGGAUAUCCAGAACCGCAACUGCUACUGCCGCUGGCGGUGCUGCGGUAGCGCAGGCCCUGGGCCGCUUGGCUAGCUUGCUCCCGCCCAGCUGCUGCUGUCCGCGUCGCUGCGGCGGCGGCGGCGGCGGCUGCGCANNNNNNNNNNNNNNNNNNNNNNNNNNNNNNNNNNNNNNNNNNNNNNNNNNUUCGGCUUUCACAGCCAGGUUAGGCAACAAAACAGGACAGGUUCACGCCAGGCCUUCUUACCUUCAGAUCCGCUGGCUCCCCGAAGAAGCCGCCGCAGCGACGCCGCCAGCGUCCUACCACUACGGCUCACCCGACUUGCGCUGUUGCUGCGGCUGACCGCAAUUGCCGUACUACCGCCGCCGCCACCUCCUCCUCCGCCGCCGCCGCCCCCAUUUAAGCUUCCCAAGCUGCCGUACACAUGGGCGCCGGCCCACCUGCCCCCCGUUAGCUGCUCCUUCAUCAACGACUCUAGAUGCGCCUCCCACACGCCGCCGCCGGCGGCGGCGGUGGCGGCACUGCCGCCGCCCGCAGCGGAGGCGGCGGCGGCCGCCGCUGCCGCCUGCUGAUGCUGCUGCAGCGCGGCCUGCAAGAAAUCCCUCGAGGACAUCAUCUGUGGCGCCUCCCCCGUAUUGCUAGUUCGCAGCCUUAUGGUGGGACUGGGCAUUAAGCACGGACCAGAACAGCUACUGCCGCCGACGCCGAAGCUGCCAAUGCGCCUCGCAGGCCAGAUACUAGUGACGGAAGCCGCGCGGCCACGGCAGGGCGUGUACGACAACACCUGCUCUGGCGCAGGUGGCGGUUGCGUUGUCGGCCGCAACGGCGCCGCGGGGCUAUGGAAGCGCCCUCCUUGGAGAGGAUGUAGCAGCAAGCUGCUGAGGCUGGUACGGCGGCGGCGGUCGCGAUGGUGCUCUAGGCUGUAGCGCUGUUCCGCCCGCGAGCAAAUCCUUUCUUGAGAUGGUUCCUGCUGCUGCUGCUGCUGCUGUUGUGGUUGUGGCUGUAGCGGUGGUGCUGUAUCGACACUUAGUGGACAUCUGGCGGCUUGCUGGCCGGAGCGGCGGCGGCCGCCGCCACCGUCUCCGCCGCCACUGCCGCCGCCGCUGCCGCUGCCGCUGCCUCCGCCAAACAACCACAAGGCGGGUGCUUGUAAGCGGCGGCGCCAACGCGGACUUGGCGACGCCGCUUCACCAUCCAGGCAAUGCUGGGGCUGGGGCCGGUGCUGCCGGUUCCUCCCACAGGCAGCUCCUGUUGUGUGGUUUGGAGUCCCAGACCUGCUUCCGCCACCGCCGCCGCCGCCGCCGCCGACACAGCUGCCGCCGCCGCCGCCGCUGCCCAACAGCAUCGCCUUUAAUCCCGAAAGGGCCCGUCCCGCGUCUCGAUGAGGGCGGCCGCCCACAGCCCGGCUGGCGGUGAAGCCGGUCAGGCUCCGAGAAGAGCGGCGUGUGGGCUCACCAGGACCAGCGGCCGCGGUGGAGCUGGUACUGACGGCGGCAGCGGCGGCGGCCGGGUGGGUGCUGACGGCGGCGGCUGAAGCGGCGGCGACGACGUCGACUGCUUUCGCCGCCGGCCGCGGGGCGUUUUGCUCCCAAGUCCCCUGAUGGACACCACCGAUGCCCCAUAGGGCCCCAUCGCCUUUUGGAGUGGCGGAAGAGCGGGCAGGAAAGGAGUAAAUACUGUGUGAAUAUUUUACUUAUUAUUAAAAUUAUGUACUACUGUAAUUAUCGAAGCAAAGGCCAUGGCCUUCGGUACGGCAGUUCCGUCCAUGUACGACACGACAACUGCUCAAAUGUACGGCAUUUCGGACAUAGUGAUCAAUCAGUCCAUCAGAAGAGACAAGGAUCAUUUUGGUCACAUACAAACAGGGCAGGGCCAUGCAUACGGUUGUACGUACGUGACCAUCAUGCCGUACCUGAGAACAUCGUACACGUCGUACAUGGAUUGGACGACAGCACAGUUGUCGGCGCCGCCUCGGUGAUCUCACUCUCGUCGCCCCCGUGCGGCACCUGUUGGCUAAGGCUACUGGCCGUUGCCUGUACCCGCUCGUCCCAACUGCUGCGCCAACUGUCAACCGUUUCUGAACCAAGGCCCUCUGAUGCGGCCGCCGCCGCUGCUGCUGCCCGCAUGACGGCAUAUCUAUUUUCCCUGCCGUGAGAACUAAGGCACGGUACGGAAAGCCGACCCCGCUGCGGCGGCGGCGGCGGCGGCGGCGGGGCCAAACGCUGCGGCAGCGACUGCGGUAGUGAUAGCGACAGUUCCUCCUGCUGUAACUGCAACUGCGCCGUCGACGGCGGCGGAGACGGCAUCGGCAUCGGCAUCAGCGGCGGCGGCGGCGGCAGUGACUGCAACGGCAGCGAUGGCGACCGACUGACCUUCCGUCGCUCAGAAAGCUUAGACAACAGCAACGCGUCGUGGAUGUCGUACAUUGCCGUACAUCGCCACCCCGCGCUGGCCAUCAGCAGUGCGCCGUACCGUUCCACAGCCCUGCUGGAUGCGCUGCACCUUCCUCUUUGCGCGGCGCUGCCGCUGCCGCUGCCGUCGACGCUGCAUCUCUGCGUCGCCGCCGCCGCUGCCUCUGCCGCCGCUGCAACUGCCGCCGCCGGCUCGUCGCCUCCGUCGACGGCGUGGUCCUCUCCGGGUAUACCAGCAGUACCGGCCGCAGUAGCGCCCGAGGCUUGUGCUACUGCGGCGGUUGGGGUACCGGCGGCGGCACCGCCGCCGCUGACCAGACCUAUUGGGGUUUCCUUUGGGCCGCAGCCUUCUUCUCCUCCUUCCCGGAAGGCAUUGUCUCGCUGCAGCUGCUCCAGCGGCGGCGGCCGUCGCAGUUUGAACCUUAAUGACAUGGGGGCCCGUGCGCUGACGCCGGCGGUGGCGGAGGCGGCGGAGGCAGCGGCGGCGGCCGCGGCGGAGGCAAUGGUGCCGUGGAGAGCUGGAUUGUCGUUGUCGUCGACGUCGGCGUCGUCGUUGUCGCCCGUAUUCGACGCUGGCAGCUGCCGUUGAGGAAGCGGCGGCGGCAAGGCCCUCCCGCUGCCCGUUGCAGGGACGGCCGCGGCGACACCGCCUCCGCCUCCGCCACCGCCACCGCCACCGCCUCCGCCUCCGCCACCGCCAGAUUCUCCCCAACCCACCGUAAUCCCCGGCCUGGCCUGAUCUCCCUGUCCACCCCAGAUCGAACUCGUUGCAUCUUCCCGUCCGUACGUCAACGACGUGUCCGUUGACCGUUGCCAAUCUAGUUUGCGGUCCUGCCUACGCAGGCACUGUUUUUCCUCCUCCUCCUCCUCCUCCUCCGCCGCCGCCGCCUGAUCUCCUCCUUCUUCUUGCUCGUCACUGUGACAGAGCUGCGCCUCCGUCGCCCUGCCCGCCGCUACCGUCGGCGGCUCCGCUGCUGACACCACCCCAGGCCGAGCCGCCGCCGCCGCCGCUGCCCCUGCCGCCGCCGCUGACAACCUACCUGACGGCGGCAACGCCGAUGGCAGCAGCAGCAGCAACGCCGCGGAUCGUGUGACGCCCAGAGACGGCAUCAAUCCAGUGGCUGCUCCGGCCGGCAACAGAGCUGCACGCAAGCCCGGGGCAACACCGUCCGCCGCCGCCGCCGUCGAAUCUCUCCCUGAAGAUACGGCCGCCGGCUGUGGAUGCGACAUGGCCCGUCGCAUCGCCGCCGCCGCCGCAACCGCCGCCUCCGCCGCCAGCACGUCAGCCCGCGCCGCUGGCGGCAGCACCUUGGCGGGCGGCAGGUCUACCUGGCGGGCCAUCGGUAGCUCUAACGUUGCUAUCGCCGUACGGCUGCUGUCGUCGGUCUCCCGCCAGCUGUACGUGCCGCCACCGCUGAUGAGCCCACCGCUGCCCGUACCACCGCCGCCGCUCGUACGACUGACAAGGCUGCCCAAUCCAAAUCCCAAGCCCAGGCCUAAAGCCGUUCUAGAGGCUCCGUGGGCGUGUUUGGAGGCGGCGGCGGCGGCGGCAGCGGAGGUUAAGGCGGUGCCCUGCGAAGGCUGCGCUGCUGCCGCACCAGAGUGAGUGUGGAAGGGUACGGCAGCGGCGGCGGCCGCGGCGGCUGCUGAGGAAGAGGCAUUGGGGUCAGGUCCCGGCGCGGGGGCACUGGAGGUGUGGCGCAGUGUACCGCCGGUGUGUUGUUGGUUGCGGUGUUUCUGAUGGCCCGGUGCUGGUGGUGGUGGUGGUGAGACCGUGUCUGAGUUUCGAGAGCAGCUAGGUACGGGUCCGUGAUGUACGACGUAGGAGACCGUGGCGGCGGCGGCGGCGGUGAUGGUGGUGGUGGUAAGGUCAUGAAGGUUCGGAUCAGCCGUACAACCUUCCAUAGAAUUUCCCUGAAGGGAAGGGAAAGGAAGGAGAGGCAGGGAGGGUUACCAAUCCCUAAGGAUACAGGUGGCUCUGAUGACAGUGACGGUGUCCUCCUCUUCUACCUUAAUCGCUCCUGUAAGACACGGAGCCGUGUUUUUUUCGGGGACCGGGGGCGGGGGGGAGGAAUAUGGCAGGACGGCUUCAGGCUUCAGGCCCCCGCCGCAUUCCGUCACGGCAAACUCGUUUUGUGUAACAGAGCCACACAGUGGUGGGAAGCGGCGUAGGCAUACGCGUAUGCCUGGGCAUGCGUGUUAAUGCGCGCGCACGUGUGUGUGUAAGAGAGAUAGAGAGAUAGAGAGAUAGAGAGAUAGAGAGAUAGAGAGAUAGAGAGAUAGAGAGAUAGAGAGAUAGAGAGAUAGAGAGAUAGAGAGAUAGAGAGAUAGAGAGAUAGAGAGAUAGAGAGAUAGAGAGAUAGAGAGAUAGAGAGAUAGAGAGAUAGAGAGAUAGAGAGAUAGAGAGAUAGAGAGAUAGAGAGAUAGAGAGAUAGAGAGAUAGAGAGAUAGAGAGAUAGAGAGAUAGAGAGAUAGAGAGAUAGAGAGAUAGAGAGAUAGAGAGAUAGAGAGAUAGAGAGAUAGAGAGAUAGAGAGAUAGAGAGAUAGAGAGAUAGAGAGAUAGAGAGAUAGAGAGAUAGAGAGAUAGAGAGAGAGUGUGCGUGUCCGUGUGCGUGUGCGUGUGCGUGUGCGUGUGCGUGUGCGUGUGCGUGUGCGUGUGCGUGUGCGUGUGUGCGUGUGUGCGUGUGUGCGUGUGUGCGUGUGUGCGUGUUUGUAUGUGUGUAAAGGGCGGUGCAGGUGCGAUAGUGGUGGCAGGUGGUCUAACCUGCUGACGGCGUUGGCUGCCGGCGCCUCCAGUACGACCUAGAUGCCGGGAAGUGGGACCCAUCCUCCGCUGCUCCCCUGGCCCUGCACCGCCCGGCCUCGCCUUCGUCUUGGCCUUCGCUUUCCGUUGUCUUGGCCUUUACGGACCGAUCGGAAUGGCGAUGGCGGCGGUACUCCUGCUGCUACUGUUGCGGCUGCUGCUGUGGUGACGACGGCGCAGGAAGCCUCCGAGGCGACGGUGAAAUGUGUCCUUCCACUUCGCCUGCCGCGAAAGGUCCACACGCUCUCCUUGUCAACGGAGCGGCGCCGGGCUGAACGUGACGCUAAAAUGUCGUGACACUCGGAGGAGCUCCGAGAUACAAAAUAAUGUAGGUAUGAGAGCGAAAAUGGACGCUGGCUCCAGGAUUCAUUUGUUCGACUCCUUAUGAAGGCAAGUGUUAAACGCAGCGGGGAAUCAGGGAUAAGUGUCCCGGGGUUCUGCCAGCUGCGCCAAUGUAUUUGCCAAACGGAUGGCAGAACGAGUCGGACCGUCGGGCAGGUCGGGCGCGUAAAGUAACAGAUUAGCCAUAUUUAAAAUGAAGUAUGUGGAGAUGUUGCAAUGGAUGUUUAGAUCUUUGUAGCCACCAUGCAUUCGCGUCGGCGCGGACAAGAAGCAAGGCGUCGCGUGAGGCGGUCUCGGUAGUGGGCAAUAUCUCGGUUCGACGCAAAGUUUGCGCAGUUACGAGCGGCAAGGUAAUAACAGGAACAGUAUACAAAUAUUACGGGAAGAUGCAUGCUCUAUUGUGUUGUCGCCGUGUGGUUUCCUUGCAGCUCGCAGCAAUGCCCUGAAGGUCGCAGGGCCAUCCUAAAUCCACGUUCCAGCUUAGCUUUAAGCAUCAUGCAUAGUAAUAUGCAUAAAACACGCCAUUAACUUAUGGCUUUCAGGCCUUUUUAGCUCGACGGGUGGGCGAUUCACAACUUGCUCGCCACGUGGCCAAAGGCUGUUAAUGUGGACACUUACGUUUUCCAAAACAAUUCAUAGUGGGGCAACUGACAGCAGUCUCUUCAUUACCUGUUCCUGUUUUGGGUCGACGCAGCCUCGCGCGCCGAGCCGUCGUGCAAAAGAAGUCCUCGUGAGAACAAAAGCAAGUAGGUCUUGAUUAAACCGACUCAAAACGACCAGCAGAUUAUGGAGAAUCCCUAGAUGUACGCAUUUGGCGGUUAAACUUGCCCACGCGUAUGUUAUUCGUAAUACUCGUAACAACGUCGUGGCGGACCUCUUUGGUAGGUCAAGCGAUCAAGCGACACAUAUCAACAUAUGUAUAAAAGCUAGCGAUGUAAGAUGCCUCUUUUACUGGAGGGACGUAUACGCAAGUAACCCAAGGCACGACAGGAUAGUUUUGUUUCCAUAGAAUUUAAGGAUGCGUACAGUGAUGCAUGAAAUAGAUUAUAUCUCUUUUUCAUCCUUUGCUGCUUGGCAACUCGCAAAUAGCAGACUUCGGAGAACGAUGCGCUGGCGGGCGACACCCGCCGGACCGCGGCAUACUCCAAAUGCCAGCUCCUUUGUCUACCGGAACGAUAUCCACCGACAUGAUGUGGUGCACAAAGGGCCCAUUUAGCCAGCAGUACACUUGAGCCCUUGAGACACAGCCAAAGCAAGAGCUGCGCUGUUGUCGGACCCAUUGCAGUACAAAUGCCUUUCUCAAGCCGAUCAUAAAUAACCCAACACCAACCGCUACAACCACUAACCAUCAUGUCCAAAUCAGGCUCUCGCCUCCAGGUCCACCAGCAUCACUUUACUUCUCAACCCGCCUCUGAAAUAUCGUCCAGAAAUCUCUCGAAGGUCGGUGUUGAGCAUGUUGAGCAACGGCAAAAUUGAAUGGGAAGGAAGGAACGAAGUUGAACCCGUUCACAAUUCCAAUGACGCAAAAUGUAUACCUGUUUAGCAAUUUCAAGUCGGGAGGCCCGACUUCUUAAAAAGUCCAAGCCCCUCCUUAGGAACUCUUUAAACCUCUUUCCUCCGCCACCUCGCCGCAACCUCAACCCUCAUUGCUGCACCUUACUCCGGACUGCUGCACCCCCCUCCUCCAAACCCGCAUUACCCGCCGCCCACGCCUCCGCCUGUCGUACCCAAUUGCUGUUAACCUCUUCACCUCCGACACCCCUCCACCCCACACCCCAUGACGGCGACGAUGGCGAAGACGAAAAAGAGGGCACAGGAGGAGAUGAAGAAGAGGAUGAAAAAGAAGAAGAAGACGGCGACACGGCACCUGGGAAGGGGCUGUGUACGGCGGCCCCCUGGAUGACGUCACCAGCCGCCGUCGUCGUACCGGGUAGUUGUUGAUCCGGCCCUGCCACAUCUUGCUCUCGCUCCCGACGGGCGGCAGCGGCCUGGUCGCACACACACACACGGGUGGGGUGUGUAUUCGAAGGGGGUGGGGGCGGAAAAGGGGAAUUCAAAGGGGAAAGGGGAUGGCCCCGGGGUUCAGGCUUUGGGCGUUUCGAGGGGUUAAAAAAGAAACUGCUCCAUAAAAGGCAAACAAUUCCGGAAGUUACGAUGGACGAAUCUCACGUUUUGCAUAGGCUUGAAAGUACGGAAAUGCUGUACGAGGGGUUGUUGUACCAGCGCUGGUAAGGAGCGGGGCAACCCAGUAACCCAAAUGGUACGACAGCAUUAUCGUAAUAGCGAGCAUCCACAUACAUACAUACAUACAUACAUACAUACAUACAUACAUACAUACAUACAUACAUACAUACAUACAAAUGUCAGGCGGCUGGCAGAGGUUAAGGCCUGACUUCUGCUCCCGGCCGACCCGGGUUCAAAUCCGCCUGCCGGCUCCUCGGGUGUUUGAGGAAUGUUGAAUUGGGAAGUGGCCCCCCAUCAUAUGGACGAUGUAGGACGUGAUAAAUUCAACUUGCGAGCUGACCAGGAACUGAGUUGAUGCGCCGUUGAUCCGCUAGAUUUGGUUGGAUGCUGGUGGUGAGUUGCCGAACCCAACGAAUACAUUCUGAAGUCGGAUGGGGUGAACGGAUGAGAAGGGUGCCCCUCUAGCAGGGGAGAGCAGGGACUGCCCGGGAAAGGGGGCCGCUGGCGAAGCUAUAUCAACCUGUAACAACAUACAUACAUACACACACACUUACCCGCAGCUCAGCCUCCCUCCGCUCCCUGCGGACCAAAUCCGGAGGCAGCUCUAAAGCGAAUCUGCCCAGAGCACCCGAUCGAUAGUCCGUCAGCAGCCGUACACCCGCACGCUCUACGUCACCGCCGUACUGCCGUACAGCCAGCGCCACCACGAAGUCCUCUGCGCUGCCCACCGUCUACCGUCGUUUCGUCGCCCCGGGGGGGUUGGGUUGGGGGGAAGGGUUUUAUCAUGUCGUUCAGGAAACACGUCCAGGGACGCGGGGUUUGACUGUUGAGGCUUGAGGGAUUAGGAAUUGUUUGAUUUCUAGUUUUUAUUUGGGGUUGGCGGAACUUGUAACGACAUCUUUUUGGGGUCGGUGCGUGUAUAUGUGUGUGUACGUAAGUGUAGUUGUCCCCUUCGGUUCCCCUUUAGGGGAUGACAACUUAUGUGUGUGUACGUGUGUGUCAGUGCGUACAGAACGAAUACUUAUCGCCCCUAACGGCCCCACGCUCUAAAAACCCCCAAACCCCCCCGCCCCCCCCCCCANNNNNNNNNNNNNNNNNNNNNNNNNNNNNNNNNNNNNNNNNNNNNNNNNNCAUACCCUCCCCGACACGUACCAGGGGGUCCACGCCGUACCGUCGCCGUACUGCCUCCAACACGCCGCCCACAACUCCACCACCACCACCACCAGCGGUAGAACCUGCACCUGCUGCCGCCUUCCCCUUCCCCUUCCCCUUCUCCUGCUCCGUCUCAUCGCCGCCUGCUCUGUCUCUCCGCCGCCCCUUAACAACGCCUCCUCCCCCUCCCCCUCCCCCUCCCCCUCCCCCUCCUCCUCGUCCCUUUCCCCCCGUGUCCUCCACUUCCUCCGCCCCUCCCGCCGCCCCGGUGGGCCUCCCUUCUGCUACUGCUCCUGUUGCUGCUACAGCUACUCCAUUACUACCCGCGGGUGUAGCGAGAUCGGCGGCGGCGGUAGCGGCGGCGGCGGCGGCGGUGGCGGCGGCGGCAGCGCUCUCCCCAGCCGCCAGCUGUUUGAUCCUUAGAACCAGCGCCGCCGCCACCGCCGACGCCAAGUACGCCGCCUCACCGAUGUCGUUACACAUCGCCAAACGUUGCGCCGCCAACUGAUCUCGGAAAGAAGCCGGAAUCACUCCAGGGGCGUCCAGAAGGUCGAGCUGCUCGUCCACUCGUACCCAACGAAGCUGCCGUGUAACGCCUGGUUUCGGCGCGGAGGCGACGGCGCGGCGGUUGACGAGGCGGUUGAUGAUUGCGGACUUGCCGAUGUUUGGAAACCCAAUGACGCAGGCGCGGACGGGUCGGGGCUGUAGACCGCGCUUGGCUCGUUUGGCAUUGAGCUGGGCGGCGACCUGCAAGUCGAGUUGAAGGCCGGGAAAGAAUUCAAAUUUGAAAAAACUGACAAGACGGAGGCGGUUUUAAACGUGAGUAACCUUGUGUGUCAACAGAUCCGUCAAAGGAUCCGUUUUCGGCUUCUCCACAACACCCCCCGGUGUGUGUGUGCAUAUCUGUCUGUCUGUUUGUCUGUCUGUCUGUAUGAAUGUCUGUCUAUUUGAAUGCCUAGGGGAAUCCUUUGCUGGAUAUGGCUGUACGGGGUCCAGGAAGCGCAAGGCAGCAACGGAAUGCGAUUGGCCCUCUUUACCCCCACACACCCCCCACCCCACACACACAAUACACACACACAGGCAGCCACAUCCCAACGAGAGGUCCCCUCAAGGCAGCACCUUGAGCAGCUCCUUCUUCACACCCCGGACCCCGUCGCCGCUUCGCCCGUCCGUCCAAAACACUUGCUGCCGCGUGGCACGGAAGUGCGCUCUCCAAGCCGCCAGAUCGCGCUCCGAAACCUCGUCUGCCCGGUUCAUGAGCAGCAGACGCGGCUUGACUCCCACCCACUGGGCGAUCUGCGGGUGGUGUGUGGAGAUGGGGAUGCGGGCGUCGCGAACCUCCAACACCACAUCCACCAUUCCGAGCUGGGCCUGGGGGGGGCCGGGCGGGACGGGGAAGGGGGGGCGGAGGGGUGAGAGGGGGGGGAAGGGCGAGUUUGGGGGGUUUUGGGUUGUGUGGGUGUGCUAGUGGAUACGAGUGGUAGCGGUAGCAGGUGGUUAAAAUUACGGUACAGAUAGACAAACAUACAGGCAGCCAGAUAGACAGGCAGACAGACAAACAGGCAGUCGGGUAGGGGGAGGCAGUCAGGUGGCAGCACCGGCAGCAGCAGCAGUAGCAGCAGCAGCAGUACCAACUAACAGCAACAGUAGCAGCAGCAGUACCAACUAACAGCAGAAGUACCAACUAACAGCAGCAGUAACAGCAUGCAAAGCGCCCGCGCUGCCUAAUACUUAGCUGGCCCCCUUAACACGUUCAAGAGAGCGCCCAUUUCCGUUCCCUCCUUUUUUUCCCCUUUCUCGCUCACACAUACACACAGGCACACACAUACACACAUACACACUCUUAUUCUCUUUUCCCCCCUCGCCGCUCCCUCUCACAAGCAAAUAAAUACAAAUAUACACACCACACACGCAUACUUUGAGUUGUCUCUCGGCUCGGGCGAUGUGGCCCGGAUACCAUUGCACCAUGCGGACCUGGGGGGUUGGGGAAGUAAGGGAGUUGGGGGUUGGGAGGGUUAGGGUUAGGGGUGGGUAGGGGGUGGGUAGGGUUAGGGGGGUGGGUAGGGUUAGGGGGUGGCGGCCCGUGAAGUUGUCAGGUCAGACGAGGUGAGGUGAGGUCCGUUGAUGUUCGGGGUUUUGAUUUUCCGUUUAAUGCUUUUUAACCCCUUCGAAUCCUGCCGUUAGCAGGGGCAGGAUAGAGGGGUAGGAUUAUAAAUGACAUUCCCCAUACACCGAGGUCGCUGCCAUUUUAAAAUCGGUAUUCUACCCCGGCCCACCUGCAGUGAUUCAUCUGACAUGUCUGAAAGCUGGAGGUAGUUGCGACCACCAGUUUCAGCGGCUGCCACGGCGUCCUGGUCAUCUAAGACGAGGUCGUCGCCGGUCAGGAGUUCCUGCUGGCUGCUGGCGGCUGCCAUCGACAGUGCACAAUGUGAGGUGGAAGAGGAGACCUUGAAGCGGUUGUACACGGGCCACCUUGGGCAGAAAGAAGAUGCAGUGAGGAGGGAGCCAGGUAGAUGCAUGGCUUUGUGGCGUAAGGGAUGCGCUGCCGGUGAGCAACGCGGAGACGUCGACGUGACUAGUCGAUGCAUUGAGCCUAUCGGCCUCAGCGGCAAUUCACCCGUGCUAGUUGCCAAGCUCUGCAUCCUCAUAUAACAUAUAGGUUUACAGCUACGGCGACGGAAACUCGUUUGGAUGAGUUUAGUCGGCGGGUCACAACUCACAAGCAGAGUCCUGCUCACAAGACUCACAGCAAACCAACCUUCCAAGCUGAAGUAGGCUAGAAAUAUUACGCUUUGCAAGGAGCCUAACAAUUUGGGCCUAAGCAGCCUUAGUUCGCUGAAUCGUUUCCAGUGCCUUGCCGUAACUAACGGUCUGCCACCACAUUUCCUAGUCCCCCUUUUAUUUUCGCGUUGUGUUGCUUCCAACUAAACAGCUUGGUUUUUGUAAUUGAUGAAAACACUGUAGCACCCAAAAGGCAGCUUGUCUGCGGUUGGUCGUUCGGCGCUGGUGUUUCCUAAUGGCCUUAUAAAUGCGUUAAUCUUUUUAAACCUCUCGCUGUACCAUAAUUCAAAUAAUAAGGAGCUGUGGUAGCGCCGCCGCUAGGCCCCCACAAUCACAGCAGCAAGCAUGCCCGCGCUUGCACUUGUCCUCGUCGACUCGUUGCUCAAGGUCGCCGGUGGCGUUGCAAUUGGUUGGUUGCUACGCGACGCCUCAUCUAAGCGGAGCGCCAGGAAAUCCGCCAGCGCCAGCAGCACAAAGAAGGCCGGCAACAACAGCAGCAAGGCAGCAGCUCGCCGCGCGGGCGCUGCUGCAGCUGCGUCCCCCUCGCCUGCUCCCGUUCCCCGCCCCAAAGAGGAGCUCAAAAUGGUCCUGUGCGUCAACAUGUCUUUAAAAAUGGGUACGGGCAAAGUGGGCGCGCAAUGCGCGCAUGCGGCUGUGGGGGUCCUCUGGGCGCACUACCAGAGCCACAACGUUGCUAUACGGCAGUGGGAGAUGUAUGGACAACCCAAGAUUGCGCUUAAGGUAAGCCAGCCGGUAACCCGAGCGGUAAAGGAGUGCUAUCUGGGUCAGGGCAUCUGCAACCCCUGCACAUAUAGCCAGCAGCACGUCGAAUCUCACAAUUGAGGGGCCCGGGCCCCCGGAGACCUCUCUCUCGCGGGGAGGGGUAACCUCCGCGGGGAGGGGAGGGAAAGCAAAGGCCCGUCGGGGCAAGUGCAGCAUCCCAUGUGCGCGGAAACAAAAGCCGAUGGAUCAGACUUGUGGGGGGAGGUGAAGAGGUGUAUGGGAGGGGGCCGCGUUGCUUGGGACAUACGUGUGUGUAUGUAUGUAUGUAUGUAUGUGUUAAGUAGGGGGGUUCAGCUUCACUACCCACCACCGACAUCGCUGUAUGUGUAUCUAUUUGUAUGUGUAUCGAUAUGUGUGUAUCGAUGCGUGUGUAUAUCUAUGUGCGUGUAUCUAUGUGUAUGUGUAUCUAUGUGUGUAUCUACGUGUGUGUGUGUUCUGCACCCCUGCAAACCCCGCGUUGGACAGUUGAAGAGAACCAACGCAACCAGAGGAGUGCUAACCAGACCACCUCUCCGCAUCACCACUGUCAUUUCCCUUGAAGGCUUGACAGGAUUAUAAAAGUGUUCAGGUGGCCAAGAGCACGUGUGUAUUGGUUCAGGUCCUGACGGUUUGGGAACGGACGCCAGCGACGGCGCCCCCUCCCCCCGAACCAGGGGGUGCACUUCCAACGGGGCUCUCAUUGAAAUGACUUUCCUAAAGCUCGUAUGUAUGCAUACAUACAUACAUACAUACAUACAUACAUACAUACGUUGCGUGUAGGUGGGCGACGAGGCGGAGAUGGCGGAGCUAGAGGCUAAGGCGGUGUCGCUGGGCAUGCCCACCUACAUCGUUCACGACGCAGGUCGGACCCAAAUCGCUGCGGGCUCUCAGACGGUGCUGGCCAUAGGGCCCGCACCCAAGAGUGAGCUGGACACCGUCACGGGGCACCUGAGGCUGCUGUGAAGUGUGAGAAAAAGAAGGAAAAGAGAAAAAGAAAAAGGCUCCCAAGGUGUCAUCACUAAGAAUAAUUGAUUUAUUCCGGAUUGGGCUCCUAGGCUCACAGGCUCCUAGGCUCGCAGCGUCAUGUAUGGCAGGGGCCGAGACCUUACUUUUUAACCCCAAAUCAGUGUCACAUCCUCCGCUGCGAGGUGGCAACCAUGGCAGCUGUUGGUGGUGAUGGUGGUGGUGAUGAUUUGUUGGGUAGUUUUAUAAGCAGCAAACCAAAACAGGUUCCCUGUCGCUCUUUUUCUAAUCGUGACUUGGUUCUCAAGUUUAUAGAGCUGGAUUCCUGAACUGCAAGGAGAUGGAUAGAGAGGUAGAGGAACAGGGGGAAGAGGAGGAGGAGGAGGGGAUGGUGUUUCAUUUUUCAGGCUAGCAAGGCGAGAAAAGCGGGACGAGGACAGACGCUUCGGAGGAAGGCAGGAGGCACAAAUAAAUUAAGAGCAGGAUGAGGAGGAAGAUUAGAAGGACGCGGUCUAGAAGGUGGCACGGGACAAAGGGAGGUGCGGGAGCUUACAGACAAAUAAACCGAUGGACACAGCAAAGCAAGGGUGCAGCCAUGAUGGAGUGCUGCGUUGGCUUACCUGCUAUGAGCACUGACUCGGCAGAGCGCGCGUGUGCGGGAGAGGAAUGGCUUUGAGGGUUGAGGUUAUUCGACGAUAAAGCAGCUAUCAUCGUAAGCUUGGCGAUUCGGCACCGCCAACCGGAAAUCGCACGAGCUCGCAAGACGUGCGAGCAGAGGGGACGGACGCUGUACAGCAUCGUAAUGAGACUUUCAAAUGUCGUUGCGCCCUAUGGGCCCUACCAGGCACCACUAACUUGCGUACAUACACACAUCCCGUACAACCUGUUGUCGCCUACAUAGUAUCCUGAUUUUAAACUUUUUUAUUCUAAUACUCGUCAACAUGGACUAGUAUUCUUCAACUUCUGCUCCUAUGGAGGCCUAAAACCCUAAGACCCAUACCACUACACCGAAACAGCUGUAAUACCUAUUACUAUUACUACUACUACUACCACUACUGAAACCGCAGGCAGCUACAUGCCAGCAACACCGUUAGCACAGCCAGUAGCAACAACAACAACAACAAGUUUCGCAGCUGACACGUGAAUAUCACAGAGACAGGCACACCGCGGCCUGACUACAUAAACACAAAAAACCUCCGUCCGCAAGCGCUCUACUGCCGACGUGCCGUAUAUAUACACGCCACCUUUCCCAAAACUGCACACGGCACGUGGAAAGCAGCGGACCAACCCUCACCAUGGGGUGUACGGUCGACAUAUAUGUGUAUAUGUAUAUACGUAUGUCCACAUAUCGACCGCUGUGACCGACAAGAACACAAAAGAACACAUGCGCGCGUACAGACGGACGUACGCAUGUCCAUGCUGGCCGGGUGCGCGUCAUUCCAUCCUUAGACGGAGACGAGGAUUCCCUCUAGAAAUUCCCUCUAGACGUGCGUUCACGGCUGUGUACGGUUGUAUACGGUUGUAUACGGCCAUAAGAGCUUGCGCUGCGUCGAGGUUGUUGAAUCUGAAGACGACAAAUGUGUGCCGCACGGUUCCACCGUGUGCAGCACUAGACAACAGUAAAAAGUCAGAAUGUCGACGAACAAAGAAUAGGAGGAACUGUGCUGCUGGCAAACACACACACACACACAUACACACGAACAGACAUCUCCCUGAAAUGUCAGCCAGGCUGACAUAUGCUGUCAAAGCCUGUGCGGUGCGUGCACACACGUGGCUUGUACGGCAUCACUUCACAGGUCCCAGCCUUGCUAGCUGCCGGCUGCUGGGUGGCCAACAGUAGCUCAUAUCACCCUGCCACGACAAGUUAUAACAGCUAAAAAAACACUUAUAGAUGUAAUAACCAGGCUAUGCCAAGCUAAAAGCUGUGCUAGAGCCCGGCAGCCAUACAUGGCACGACAUACACCCUCGGGAGUCCUACCGCACCGCAGAGCACAGCCCGUACUAGGUCUAUCGAUCUAGCGAUCCUGCUGCUCUUGUGCCUGCCGCCCAGCUAGCUGCUGCUGCUAAUAACUCGUUCGGCUACUCGUUCAACUCCAGUGAAGUGAACUAGUAGGUGGUGAGGUAAGCGGGUAACUCCCGCCGCCCUUCCGCGCGGUUACUACACUACUACUACCCCCGAAGCUUCUUCUUCUUCACCCAGUGGGGCGCUGUGUCGUCCGAGUACCUGCAGCAGUGCGGUGCAUGAACAUAAACAUACUUACAUACAUGCAUACGUACAUGCAUGUAUGCAUGCAUAACCUAUUUGAAAACAAGCAAAGCACGCGCACGUACACAUAUAUACCUGUAGUCGUAAGUGAUUUCCGUGCCCGGUGCCAGGUUCUUAUCCGCCAAGAUGGCAAUGCGGCUCUCCCCGUCCACGAGCAGCACCUUGGCCUUCGCGACAGGCUCCUCGCUGUGGUUGGCGCAGCGGAGCUUGUUGCCCCUGCAGGCAGGGGUAUGUUGCGAGGGGAACAUUCGGAACAAGCUCUCGGCAAUAAUAAAAAGAUUUCAGUGUUUUUUUGGAAAUAGUGUUUCUUCCACCGAUACACACACAGCAGAUGGAUGCGUGUCAUUACAUGGGUAGCUGCUGUAUGCAGCGGCACGAGCGCUAGCGGCGGGGGGGAUGAAAUGUGUAAAAAGAGAAAGGGAUUGAAGGAUGGCUGCUGCUGGGUGCGUGCGUGCACACGUGGGCACAUAUACAUACAUAUGCGCCCUGAGGGGACCCCGUGGUCACAAAAGGGCAGAAAGGGAAUCAACAUAACACACGUCGUUGUCAGUGCAAUUCCGAUACUCUUUUAAGGUACUAUUAUCUUAUCAGGCUGUGUGGCCACUCACUUUAUACCACUGUGCAUAUCUAACCCUUUUCCCUUUUUAAGCCUAUCUGGGCCGCACUCUCUGCCGACGGCAUUUUCUCAUGCUGCUGCUGCUGCUGCUACUGCUGUUGCUACUGCUAGUACUGCAAAUUGCUUACCUGAAUUUCGCGUCGACAACCCACUCGUUGUUCAGGUUGAACAGGUAGCUGCAUGUGCCACCAGACAGGGAAGAAAAUACAUACAUACAUACAUAUAUACAGCGAGGCGAGGAUUUUGAUAAGAGAGGCGUCGUGUCGCUGUCAAUUAAUAUAUUCCACAAACAUCAUCGCAAUGUUUGCAUGCGAUGCAACAAUGUCACAAAUAAAUGGGAGGACCACCAGACCUUACCGCGUGACCAGCGAGAAUAAGUGUGUCACGUCCGUAUGUCCGUAUGUCCGUAUGGAUAAACAAGUUGGGCGACAGCAAUGCGGCCCAACUUUAUUCUAUGUGUCGCAAAAAGGAGCCAUAUUGGGAAAGCGAGGGGAUUCCACAACCCACAACCCACAACCCCCGGGGGGGGAAAGACGAACCACACGCGAUUGAAGCUGCUGCCAGGGCAAGAUAGUAGCAACCGAAAGAACUGACCGAAAGGCGUCCGUGGCGACUGUGACGACUGUAACCUCGAGAUGACGACUGUAACCUCGGGACGAAGAAUUGACGUAGAUGUUGGAAGUCCUACCUACCUAAGCCGCCAGAAAUAUUAUAGCCAAACCGUAAACUAGUAGGUGUAGAAAAAGUAGUGAAGGCGGCGAGAAAAAAUGCGGCGAGAAAAAAUGCUGACGUAAAAGAGGCGUAAAGUUGCUGGCCAGGAAAGAAAGCUGCAUUGCUGAUACUGAAAGGCUGCCGGUAUGCAAGUGUUCCUCCCAACCCCCCAAAAAAACUAGAACGCGCGACUGACCCGACCGACCCAAACUAAACUAUUCCGGCUAGCCUACCGACACCAACGCGAAAUACCAAAGAAGCUCGAACCACCUUUUGGACUCACCUGGCCAGGCAGCAGGAGCAGCGGGUAAAGGCACAUGCAAGGCAGAGAGGUUGGGGAAUUUGUGAGCAGCGAAAGAAAAAUACGAAAACGCAUGCAAAUGCUGCUGAAAAGGAGUAUAAAACUAGCUGAUCGGGGAAGCUGGAAACGAGAAGCCCUAAAGAACCUAUAUGAAAACGGAAGAAAACGCAGGAACUAAAAAAUAAUAAUAGCAAAAGGCGGCGCAGGACGACACAGAAGGUGUCGUACGAGAUGACCUAAUGACGCAUUGGACGGGAUGACGCAUUGGACGGCGUGUAUGCCGGCAGAAUGCAAAGAAGGGGGUUGGAAAGAACGCAAACGCGAACGUUCUUUCCAACGCAAAAGAAAAGCCAAGCCCAAGGGAGGAGAGGGAGUUGGUAGGAAGAGAAGCGCAAGUGCGCGGGCCGGGGCCACCCGUGGCUCCCGCCAACCUGCGCGCACUAGGGGCAUGUGCAUGCAGCCCCGUCGUGCCUAAUACGUGGGGAGGGGAGGGGAGGACGUCAGGUUUGGGGGGGUUGAGGCGGGAGUGGGAGAUAGGUAGCGGGAAGUGGAGGGGUUCGGCGUGAAAGGGAGCGGGAACUGGGUUGGGAGAAAGAGGGGAAGGAGCUGGAGAUGGGGGAGGUGGCAAAGGAGGGAAUUUAGGUAUGGGAGGCAGGAGCUGGAGGUGGGUAAAGGGAAGAGGUGUGCUGAUAGCGACAAGCGCGCAAUACGGAGCAGGUAGAGCUAGUGCGAGAGAAGUGGGCAGUAAGGCGCGCGAGGGGAAAAAACAGCGUAGACAACUCCGUAAACAGGGACGGGAUCACGGAGAAGAGGGGACGAGGGCAUCGCGCACAGCUAAGCGGGAGGGGGAAGGUUUUCAAGUGGGAAGAAAAAUGCAAUGCAAUAACAAAAGGGUAACAAAGAAGUGAGGCGGGUAACUCCCCCGGGGGGGGGGAGUUUGAACCCCGGUCCCCUCUUGUUUAUUUUACCUGUUAUUCAUGAAGUCGUAGAUGCUACCCCGCCGGUUGGCUUCGUCCUGUGUUCAUUAGAGCACACACGGAAAGAAACAGCCGUAGCAGUAGCAGCAGCAGUAGCAGCAGCAGUAGCAGCAGCAGCAGUAGCAGGUGAAAGCCCUCAAGGGUAUUCUAUCUGCUUUGUGCGCCCUGUAGGCCUGAAACAACACUGUUGUGCAACAGGGUUUUCAAUCCAGAUCAUCAUCCCCAUCUGCAACUGCAACUGCGUCGCCCGAGGCCUUACACCUCCGUCGUCAGCGCACCUCCACAUAUUGACUAGAAGCCUAACAUCUUCAGCAUCCGAGCAACACCCACACCCACACCCUCACCCACCCACCCACCCGCCUAGUCACCCUCACCCCCAUCCACCCACCCCCCCACCUGUGUAAUCAAGUCCCCGGUGUACUCCCCAGAGCCGUUCUUAGCCCGUACUGUGCCGUGAAUAAGCCCCAACCAGCUCCUGCGGUUGGGGCGCCGGGGAGGUGCAAAUUUGGCCGUGGCGACGCAUCAGAAGAUGAGAUGCGCAGCCGAGGUAGGUGUGAUGUGUGGGACAGGGGGGCCAUAUCUUCACCCGUGGCCGCUACCCGGCGAAACCCUGCCUUUCCCGGUAUUUCGGGGCACCCUCGUCUAGUCACCCUAGUCACAACUUCUCAGUGGAUCGCAAUGGUCCGCGCCUUACCAGUAGUGCCUAAUCUGAGUCUAUAGAAGUAAGUAGCCAUAAUGAUACAUUACUAAAAUAUAUACGAUAAUGGUGAAUUCUCGAAGUACAAGGCACACACGCACACACACACAAACACACCUCCCACCUGCUCCCCCCCCCCGCACUCCUCUCCCCGGCCCGCUUCUCUUCCUACCAACUGCCUCUCCUCCCUUUGGCAUCAGCCAGCUUCACUCGCUCGUGGUUCGUCUCCCCCUCCCCCCCCCCCCGUCGCCGCACCCACCAGGGAUGUCCGAGGUACCCAGCACUACGCGGGCGUGUUGCCGCAUGCGCAGCCGCAUGUUGUGGCACUCGCGGCCCGGCUCCGCCCCGCACUCCAGGGUGGUCGCACAGCCGCCGCACAGGUCCGGGUCGCACUCGCGGCCCGCAGCCCAGCAGGGGCACAUGUUGGUCCUGCAGCCGGACUUGCAUGUGCAGCCACGGAACCUGGUCCACAUCGAACAUACAUAACGAUACACAUAUAGCUGGCUAGCUGGCUGUAGAUAGAUAGAUUAGAUAGAUAGAUUAGAUAGAUAGAUUAGAUAGAUAGAUUAGAUAGAUAGAUAGAUAGAUAGAUCCAUCCAUCCAUCCAUAGGUAGGUUAGGUACUUGCAUGCGCACUAGGCGGCACUCGAAAGCCUCACAGGGUCGCAGCCACCCCCCCCCCCAGCACCCUCACGCUCCCAGCUCUCUCGGGAGACUCACCUCUCCCGGCAGGAAGUGCUGCAGCCACAGAACUUCUCACAGAAGUUGCGGACGCGCACGCAGGAGCAGUCGGCCUUGCACUGGCCCACGCAGGUGCAGGGCUGGUACUCGUGCCAGUCGCUGUUGCCGCCCUGUUGUGCGCGCGAGCUGGCAACCAGCGAGCGAGCGUACUUGUUGUUGUUGGUCAGGACGGUCUGAAAACCACCGGGGUAAGUGUUUCGGUGAGGCGACAGGAGAGGAGGGGAGGGGAGAUAUGAGUGGCGAGGCGAGGCGAGGAGAGGAGAGAGGGGGAGAGGAGGGAAGAAACAAGGUAGGUAGGUAGGUAGAUAGGUAGGUAGGUAGGUAGGUAGGUAGGUGUGUACAGCUCCUCACGCACUCUUCACUGCAUCAUCAUGUACAUAAUCGCUGUGUACUGCAUCAUCACGUGUACCUUCCUCGCUCGGCCACCCUUACGGCGUGCAGCUGGCUGGUGCUCCACCCGGCCGCUGUUGAGGUCGCCGUUGAGGGCAUCACCGCCGCCGCCAGUACCAGUACCGCCUUCCCCGUCGCCGCCGCCGCUGCCGCCACCGUUAGCCCCCAGCGGCGCAGCCCCGCCACCGCCGCCGCCACCGCCACCGGCAGCGGCGGCCUCCGGACCGGCAGCAGCAGGAUCAUCAUCAUCAGCCACAGCCGCUGCUCCUGCAGUAUCAGCGGCAGCUGCUGUUGCUGCCGUCGGCAUCCACGUCGUGGCAGCUGCCAAACCAUUUGCCGCUGCUACCUCUUCCGCUUCCGCUGCUGCUGCUGGCUGGCCGCCGCCGCCGCCGCCGCCACCGCCGCCGCCGCCGCCGCUGCCGCCGCCGCCGUCUCGGUGUCCAAGGUGAAGUUGCUCCAUGGCCAGCUUCACAGCGGCGCACGUGUGUAUGGCCGUGUUGCCCAGCAGCCGGGUGACCAGGCAGGGGUUACCCAUGCCAAAGACCUACGCACGCAAGUGUACGGCGGAAUACACCUUCAGCCCCCUCUCUCCUUGCCUGACUGGCUCGCCGACUUUACUUGGAGGGCCCCCAAAAAGGUUCGUAUGUAUGUAUGUAUGUAUGUAUGUAUGUAUGUAUGUAUGUAUGUGCUCCCCUUACGACUUCGAUGUAGGGUAGCGCAACUCCAGCAGGUAUGUAACACACAUGAAAACAUACAUACAGGCAUACACACAUGCAUACACAGUCCGACUCAAGACGACCCACGUCAGCUGGAUUAUCCAACGCGCGUACGACACACAAACGUCAACGUGGUAUGGAGCCUUGAGGAUGAUAAUUAUAAUAAUCUCAUCCCUAAUUAUUUAUUUUGCACAUUUUCAUUCGGAACACAUCCGGUUCGCAAAAGUCCGCAACUGCCUGUCUAUCCGCCCUACCUAACCACCUACAUAACUACCUACCUAAACUACCCACCCACCAACAUACAUACACACAUACAUACCUGAAUUCCUUGCCUCACAAGGGACAUAUCGUACGGGCUAAAAGAGCAUGAUGGGCUGUCGUCCCUGUCGUCAUCACCGCCGCCGUCGCCGCCACCCAGGUGUCCCGCCCUCCGGAGAUGUCCUAGCUGCUGCGGCCCCUGCGGGCCCCGUGCCGCGACUUGAUGAGCAGCAGCAGCCGCAGCCGCAGCCGCAGCAGCAGCCGCAGCAGCAGCAGCUGAGCCGGCACCUCCACCACCACCCCCAGCCCCGUCACCCGCACCCACAUCCGCAUCCAUUAUCAUCGCCGUCGUGUCGUCCACACCUCCAUCCGCCGCCUCAGCUGCCCGCGGCCCACCACCACCACCACCACCACCACCACCACCACCAGCAGUAGUAGUAGUAGGGGGUCCUCGGAAGCCGCCAGUCGAAACCCUCAGUGGCGGCACCCUCGCGGCCAGGCGCCAGCAGCCAGGGCUGCAGGGCAGCUCGCUGGCGCCCCGCGGAGGGGGACGAGGGGGAGCUGGACGGUGAUGGGGUUUGACGUGGCCGCCGCCUACCUCACAUACACACGCACACAUACACACGCACACAUACAUACGCACAUACACAUACAUACACACGCACACAAACAAAAAAACACGCACACAUACACACGCACACAUACACACGCCCAUACACACACACGCACACAUACACACGCACACAUACACACAGACACGCACACAUACACACGCACACAUACACACAGACACGCACACAUACACACGCACACAAAAAACACGCCAUGGGCAGGUCAUCCAAAGUGGUCACCCGGCCAGCCGCGUAGAUCCGGAGGGGGGGAGGGGGAUCAGAGAGGGGGAGUGAGCACUCGGGGGGCGGGGGGGUAACAACACGAACCACUGACGACGAUCGAAGCAGACACCAGCAAUAGCAGCCGGGAGGUUUACUGUAUGCACUUUCCGGGUGCAUAGCAUGGCCGUACAUAUUCCCGUACACAUGGAAAAGCACGCACACAGCCGAUUUUUGACUGAUUUUCGAAUCGGCAUGUGUGAGCGCGUAGGCGGCCCUGGUGGUGAUGAAGGCCCUCGCGAGUGCUAGGGCUAGGUGGGCACCCUAUAUAUAGGAGAUUGCGGUUGCUAACCCCGGGAACGAGGCGGCGCGGGGGGGGGGGGUAACCCAGGCGGCGACUGCACUAACGGCCAACUAAGGAGUGCAGCUUGCAGCAGCACUGGCGGCACCAAGCAGCAGCUACUCGCAGCAGCAGCAGGAAGGAGGAGGCACGGGAGGCAACGUUUGGACAAAUAGAGGAGAGUAGACAGGUUUUUACUUACGGUACUUACUUACCGUGUGUACGGCAGCCGUAGAUACGGCAGCGUCGGCAGAAGCCCCCGGUAAACGCGUCCAGCACCUCCUCCACCUAUCAUGUUUGUAUGCAUGUACGUAUGUACGUACGCAUGUAUGUAUGUAUAUGUCACCAAGGGAGCAGGAAAACACAGGCAGGACGGGACACGCGAAGAGGCCAUUGUUUGCUGGCAAGAUGAGUAAAACCUUGGUGAUGUAAAUCACCUUUCCGACCUUUGCCGGCAUGCAUGUCCCGUAUAGUGGCCAGCUUGUUAAGAGAGCCCCUUCCAAUUCCCGGUCCAAUGAAAUCAUGAAAAGCAAAUGAUUCACCGGCCGAGCAGGGCAAAGCAACCCCGCCCCACCAACCCCGCAUGCCCGCCCGGCUAUCCUAGCUGUAAGCAUCAAGGCAUGCGCACCCAUCGACUUCACCCACACACAUAUCCACAAACCGCAACCCCCCCACACACCGCACACCUCGAUGCCCUCCCGGUCCUCAUCCACCAAUCUGGGACGUUGCAGGUAGGCGAGCCGCUGAGCAACGGCCUCCCGCUCCGGCUUCGGCCGCAGGACCUCCGUCAACGCCUACACACAACACCAAGCUCCAGGCCGUUAGUUGGUUGGUUGGUUGGUGAGUUAGUUGGAGGAUUCCCCAACAUCCACGUUGGGAAUUUAAUAAUAACAAUAACAUUAUGAAACGGAUAACACCGGAGGUAGUGUGGCUAUUAUACUAUUCUUAUUAGGACUAUAUUUACGUAAUUUUAGGACGCAGCGGCAGAAAUAGGAAGAGCGAGCAGCAGGAAAUCACAAUAAUAUUUAACAUUUAAUACUUAACAUAAUUAACAUUUAGUAAAUAAAUAAACAUUUAACAUUUAAUAUUUAAUAUAAUUAAUUAAACUGUAAACUAUUUAGGCAACAUGCAUGCAUCCAUCGGCAACCCACUAUUACUAUUACUACCCCUACUCCUACUCCUACCACCAGCAGCAGCACUACCAGCAGCGCCACAGGGCACCAGCAGGCGCCUGGAGACAUCGCACCAGCAUGCCAAAUGCAUGAUGUACAUACAUACAUACAUGUGUACGUACAUCCGUCCAGUCACCCACUGCCGUACGCACCUCCAGGACAUUUGGAUCUUCCCAGCCGUACUCCUCGGCUAGUCGGCUCAUGGACCAGUCCACGGCGGCCCCGUCAAUAUCCUCCCAGGGUAGACGCUGCGCAUGUAUGUAUGUAUGUAUGUAUGUAUGUAUGUAUGACGUUGAUUACACUGUGGGCUGAAAAGCCGGGGGCCCAGGGCCGAAGCACAGCGCGAGGGGCGGGUGCAUACGGCUGGUUAGUCUCAUGCACUCCGCCCCCGGGUCAGGCCGCACGGGAAACGACGGCCGGCACGCAACAGCGCUUGUUUGGCGCUCCAACUAGACGGGAUCUAUGCCCGUUGGUCUCCUAACAUAAACGAAGUCGCAACUGGGGGGCUCUUCCUGCCGACCGAACGAACCGAGCAUCUUAGAGAGCUCGCAACCAGGACCUGGGCGACCGGGAGCCCGACGAGUCAUCCCGGGCUGGGGAGGUCACCAAGCUCAAAAAUCCUCAUGCAAAAAAAGAGCGCAAAGAGCUCACACCACAAGACGCCAAACAGCCUCCUGAGACUACUACCCUCCUCAUGUAUGUAUGUAUGCAUGUAUGCACCCAGGAUAAUACAGAAGGCAUGGAAGGUAUCUAUCGAUGUACCAUCGAUGUACACACAUAAUGCAUAUCGACUGCACACACACACAUACAUACACACCACUGGGCGGGAAAUGAAAGGAAGAGCAUACACACGCUACAUACAUACAGAUCAUACGGGUCAUCCAGCCGAGGCCCAAACCCCGUGGCCCAAUCCUCUUCCUCCUCCUCCUCGCCAAGCAAGCACCAGAGGCAGACAGAGGGACAGACAGACAGGCAGACAGACAGACGGACAGAUUUCCGCGCUACCCUGCCUACCUCCUCCGUCUCGCCAUCGUCUGCAGGCACCGUCUCCCCAACAUCGUCAACCAGGAACAUGCGCCGGCCGUGGUCCCGUGCCAACUCGUUUCGCUUCAAGUACGACCACGUGGUGUACGACGGCGGCUUUACAUACAUUACAUACAUACAUAUACGUACAUACAUACAUCACAGAGCACAGAGUGCAUUACAUAGCAGUUGGACGGGGGAGUUGAAAGGGGGCGGAGGUUGGGAGGCAGGCAGAGUGAGUCAGCAGGAGAGACGCGAGGAAGCUCAGGCCUAGGUGAUGAGCGGGUGCGUGCGUUAACAAAGUCGAAUUCUAAUUCUUAAUCAAGGACUACAAGCGCAGGAAGUAUCUAUCUAUCUAUCUAUCUAUCUAUCUAUCUAUCUAUCUAUCUAUCUGGCUAAAUGGUGCCGCAAUGGGCACCACCACCUUGACACACCACAUUGGCGGCUCCUCGCUCUCGCUCGCUCUCACCCACCGGUUGCACUGCGGGCAGUACGACUAUGCGGGAGCGCAAGGGUUGGGCGCUGCCUGAAGACUUGACGACCGACCGUCGGUCGGAAAGAGGGAGCGGGAGCGGGUUGGAACGCGGCGGAUGAUGUGCUGCUGCUGCUGCUGCUGGCGAUGUGGCUGUGGCUGCUGCUGCUGCUGCUGCUGCUGCCGGUUCCGAGUUCGACCCCGCCGGCAUGUCUGUGUGUGCAUGUAAGCGAUGACGACACAACUUUAUAGACCCAGAUAGACAUAUACAGAUAGAUAGAUGAACGUAAGAAUAAACAGGUAAAUAGAUAGUUAGAUAGCUAGAUAGUUAGAUGUAUAAGGAGGUGGAUUCAUGUCGUUGCCAUCCCAUCCCCACGUUGGCAGCCAACCCCCCCAACAGCAGUCAAAUCACAAUCAAGGACAUCUUAUUUGCAACAGGACGGAGCAGCAGCAGCUGCAGCAGAGAGCAGGCGGAAAGGUGGAAUUGAUACAGCAGUGAUGGUGCGUAAGUCCCCGGGGGGAAAGGUGGCGGGUGGAACGUGAAACAUGCGACAGUCGUCAUCGUCGUCGUCAUCGUCGUCAGUUACCGGUUAUCGUUAGAUUUCGUUGCUCGUCAUCGUCAUCACAUUUCCGCCGUUUGUAACGGGGGGAUGCAUUCCUCGUUUGGUGUUACAUAUGCUACUACUAAGUAUUACUUGCAAUGACGUCAGGCGUCUGACACGUCCUGCAGGACAUGCCAUGCAUGUGUCCACAGCUGUGUGCAUGACGCGCAGCAGGGCUAUAUGCCUAGCCAAACAUGGUACGAUUGUGCACGCUUAUUCUCGAUACAUACAUACAUGCAUGCAUGCAUGCAUACAUACAUACAUACAUACAUACAUACAUACAUACAUACAGCCGGGCGGGUUAAUACGCGUGUAUGUAUGUCACGUAUACGCCCCCAUGUAUUAGGCGUAUUCAACCAUAAAAUGGACGAGUGAGCGGCAAAAAAUAUUCUUUUGGCGUCUCACCGGUCUGGACGUCUCCGAAUUUGGGAAUAGGAAGGGCACUUCGUGUGCGACCUUCUGCAUUGCGCAGGCGGUACGACACGUAGGAAGAUAUGGCGGCCUGCCGCACACAAGGUAGUAAAGAAAAUACCAAAUCGGAACAGGGCAGUUUGGUAAGUUAGUGCAGUGCGCAAAUCAUGAAGUUACACUCUUGACGAUGAUACGAUGGAGGGGUGGGAAACAUGUUGUAGUCUGCUGUAGCACUGUCGGUUAAAUCCUAACAGCGCGCGGGCUUUUUUUCAGCAUCGCGUCCCCACUCCCUUCGGAAGAGACGUGGAGUUGCGCGCGAUGUGGGAGGACAUAAUCACGGCAUUCACCUUGUUCGCCGCGAGCAGGUUUGCGGCCUUGACGCGCUGGAGCACGAGAAACUCCUUUUUCAAAGCACGAAAUCUCUUGACCAACUCGGUCUGCCGGAGUUGGUCUGCCGGACGACCUUGCGGUAAACAGAAGAGACAGUCAAAGGUUAUAGCUUCUAAGGAAGGAUUUGCUAGCCUAAUAAGCUAAUUAGUGUUGCCUUCUGUCCGACUUGAGCUUCGCGCCAGGAUUGAUGCAAGGCAUCCGGUUCAUUAUUGUAUUCAACAUAUGUCGUUAAGUUCAUAAUUAUAUUAUAUUGCAGCCCUCAGCAAAUCCCACGCUAACCUUGGCCGGCGUCCUUCCGGCUUCUUUGCAAUGGCCCUCGCUUUGCAAAAUCAUCAUCCAUAUUUGGAACUGUACUUAGACUUGAUAGUUCGACCCGACCGAACCGUUACAAGGUUGAUUUCGUCUGCUAGUUACAGCAAAACGCUGCUGCCGAAGGGGAGUACUCUGUAAAUCUAGCUAUGUUACUCAGAAACUUAACUUCCUCGAUUUACCAGAAGCUCAUAAAUUAUGGUUAUAAUUUGCCGUGUGUGCACCUAUCAUGUCAGCGGCAUGCACCCGGCAUCCUCCGGUUACGGCAUGGACGAGCCACGAGCAGCGUCCAACAGAGCCGAGACCCCAUACCUGGCAAGCGCCGGCCCUGAAGUCGCCCUCCUGCUCCAGCUUUUAUUCUUCAUGCAUUCAUACGCAACACUAUCUUCUACGGAUGGAGUAAGCAAGUCUCAAUUGGGUCACAUCUGUGAUAUACGUGUACAACUCCAUGCGCACAUCUCAGCCGACAUGUAAUGCAGUGGAUAAAUAGGUAAGUGGAUAUAUGCAUCCAUGCAUUCCUACAGAUGCCGUCCUUAUGGCAGCAAAUGCAUUGCAGCAGACGCAAAGGUGCUCGACCUAGAUAGAUAUACACCUAACAGGUAAUCCCCAUCUCCACCCCCUUAUGCAAAUAAAACGUUGUCAAUUGGUUUGCAGACUGCUGUUGUGUUGCAGCAGACUGCUGUUGUAACAAUCUAUCCUCAGCCUAUAGGCUGGGGAUCGAUUGCCGUACGUGCCGUACAACUGACGGACCGGCCCGGGACACGCUGGUGAGUAGAAGUAGUGUUGUGUUUCCCCCGGCCCCGCCCCGCCCUGGCCUCUGUUGACGGUUCGUUCUUCCACGUACGACGCCAGGUACAGGGGUCAUUAAAAGGAUUAUUAUGAGCCAGCUGCCACUGCCGCCCAUGAUGAUCCCAGGUGUUUCCCACGCAUCGAAGACGCCCCAUCCCGGAGCGUCCAACAAACUAUUUGCCUAAUGGUGUACAAUAAUAGAAGCAGCGCCUAAAUUUAAAUGUUGUUAUUUUAUUGUUAAAGUCGGUGGUGUCACCGCUGCCGCGGAGAUGCUUGAGUUGCGUUAUGAACAAAGAAUAACGGCCAAGAUAAAAAAUCCCGGAUGUAUCUCGAUCUCGCACAGGAGUCGCCUGUAUGUAUAUGCAGCCAUUAGUAGGCCUAUAGCCGCAAAUCCUAAAGAGGGUUGUUAAUGGUGACCUGGGGUACGUGCGUGACUGUCUGUCUAUCUGUGUGCUGCUGAGGCAGGGCGGCGGCGGGCGGGUUUGAAGCAUGAAAUAAAGUAGUACAUAAUAAUGAGAAUAAUGUCCAUCUACGCUUACUAUUGGCCAAGCAACCUUUGCACCGUCUUCACCGUUGCAGAUCGAAUGGCGGCAGCAGUCAUAAUUUGAAAUGGUCGAAAUAAAACAAUUGUGGCCCAAACAACUAAGACGCCUGGAAACUUGCAACAAUUAUAUACGCGACGUUGUACAUAUUUUUUAGUUGUUAAGACACUGUAGGAUAGCUUAAGUCGCAACAAAACAAAUGCCUUGAUAUGACUCUGCGGAGACCGGCUUCCGGAUCGGAUCGGGUCGCGAUGCUCAAUUUGGUUUGACAAAAGAAAAGCCCAAAAGGGUAUUUAUAAAUGAACACAGAGCGCAUCAGCAUUGCAAUCGUUGCCAUGCUUGCCUGCCACCGCCGCCCCGUGGAUGCAUGUCGGCCCACUAGCCACAUGCGCACACUCGUAUAUAUACACAUAGCUACAAAUUGUAGCUACACACACAUAUAUAUAGGCGGCUAGCGCUAAGCAAGAACCUCAAAGGACUCUGAUACGGCCUUCAUUAGAUCCUGGACUUGACUAAAUGCCAGGUACCGAUAUCUUGUGGUUGUUAGACGCAUCGUGUACUGCCACCCCUGCAGCAGGGGACAAACGCAAAUCUGCAUGUCGUAUGUGUCACAACGCAAAGAGGUGAAAUGCACAGCAUGUCGACAUGUGUACAUACAUACAUACAGGCAGGCAGGUGGCUGGCAGGAGUUAAGGCCUGACUUCUGCUCCCGGAGUGUCCGGGUUCACAUCCGCCUGCCGACUCCUCGGGUGUUUGAGGGGUGUUGGAUUGGGAGGUGGGCCCCCAUCUUGUGGACGGUGUAGGACGUGGUUAUACCAACUUGCGAGCUGACCAGGAACUAAGUUGUGGCGCCGUUGAUCCGCUAGAUUUCGUUGAAUGCUGGUGGUAAGUUGCUGAACCCAACGAAUACAUUCUGAAGUCGGAUGAGGUAAAUGGAUUAGGGUGCCCCUCUAGUAGGGGAGAGCAGGGACUGGCCCGGGAAAGGGGGCCGCUGGCGAAGUUAACCACCCUGUAACAACAUACAUACAUACCUCAGCAAUGGUGAUUGCUCGAAACUCCCUCGCUGCUCUGCAAGUGCGAGGUACACGUGGCAAUUGAGGGAGUGAGGGAAGGGCCAAGCAAGCAAACGCACAAAUGUAUGUAUGUCGGCAUUCGUAACAACAAAUUGUGAUUAAUCAUGACUUUACAAGCACAUCCAUCCCGAGGCUAGGCUGUUAGCCUGACCAUCACCCGACAGCAACAGCAACACAACAUUUGCGUACAGGUGUGUGCUACAUUAGGGUUAGGCACUCCUGGUAACACGCGACCAUUGCCCCCGGGAGAUCUUGGUACAUCAUGUUGUACAUGUUGCGAGGCAGCUGCAGGGUGAGCUCCAGCAGCGGCAUGGGAACAUACAAUAUCUAAAGAAAAGAAACCCCAAAGAAGUAAACAGCGGGCGGGGUGCAGGUGCGGGUGCAGGUAUGCAGGUGCAUAAUGGGAACGACCAAGUGACGGGCCCGGGCAGGCGAUGCACGCAGACGACCCAGCCACCGACCGCAUCUCUGGUUGGCUUGCAUCCACCAUGUGAUGGUUAUUAUCUUGGCAUGUGCAUGUACAUGUACGUGCCAAUUUGAUAAUAACCAUCACCAACGCAUCCAACACCAUCCAACGCAAGGGCAGGUAGCAAUGUCGUCACACAUAAGUAUGUAUGUAUAUAUGUGUGUGUCACACACUGCUCCCAAUCACGUUAUGCAGCCACGUAGAGAAGAUGGAUGGAUGGGUGGAUGGGCAGCAGACAUACAUACAUACAUACAUACUCACGCACCCAAACAUUCCCGCGGUGUUGCCCCCAAACUGGACAUGUACGAUGAUGUAAUCUCUGUCGCCAUCGUCGCCGCCAUGCUUCACGUUGCGGGCCUCAAUAACGAGCCCAUUGGGUGCGACGCCAGCCAGGCCUGCAGCUACUUCCUGCGGUAGGUGUGCACGCGGGCAUGUGGGCAUGCAUGUGUAUGAUACCGCCGCACGGUAGGUACCACCAGGCAAGUGUGUAUUGGACUGAGUCACUCGAUCGUCACAAAACAAUCUCACAACUUCGUGGUGACUUGGUCAAGUAGAAUUAAAAAACGUUAUUAGUUAUUAAAACAAAUGCAAACUAUCAUUAAAAACAAGAGAUUUCUUCUUGUUCUCGUUUCUUGUUCGCUCGGGGGCUUGCUUAAUAGAAAGGCGUGCCCUUGGAUGGAUGUGAUACAUAUAUGAGCAUGAAGGUAGUUAUACAUUGCCGAUAUUACCAGAAGUGCGAGAAGGAUGUAGACAAACAACCAUAUCAGCGCCGCGGUGCUGGAAAUGGCGGCACCAGGCACCGAACAGACCGGGCUUAGUCCACAUCAGCAGGUCACACACACACACACACACACACACACUCACACACACGCCAGCUGCAUCUGGUCCGUAAAAUAUAUAACCCAGUUCGAAUGCUGGUCUUGCAUCGGACUUACAUAAGACUCAAUCGACUAUAAAAUGAAUAAACCGUACUUCAUUUCAGCGGGUAGAGCAGUUGAAACACCAACAUGAAGUCACGACUCGAUCGAGGUAUGUACGUACGUACGUACAUACAUACAUACAUACAUGCGUACAUAUAUACAUGCACGGUUAGGUUUAGCGGGAGGAAAUCCUCAGGUGGCAGGAAACUCGCCUGUACCGAGCCCAGCUGCUGUGUUGCUUGCACACCCGCCGGUGCCGGUGCCCGGUACACGGCCAACGUCUCCGCACCGGGCUCCUCGGGGUUGUAGAAGCUGGCUAGGACCGCUGCACGGCCGCGUGUGUGGUUCGCAGCAGCAUAGCAGCAGCAACAGCAUAGCAGCAGCAGCAAGUAGAAUAUCUUCAUACGCAUUCCUAUAUAAGGAUAAUGCAACGAGGUUGGAACUGCACUCCAAACCCAUCCGGGCGUGAUGAGAGCCCCGGGAGAAUGUGGACGGCACUGGCAGCGGGGCGGGCGGCGGCAUAGACAGCAUGGGUGCAUGAUACAGCUUUGCUGCAUUAUUACACACAUACAUACAUACACACAUAGAUACACAUACACACACACAUACACACGGGCGGAAGUCAGAACGAACGAAGGGAGGCGCGAGCCAGCACACACAUGCACACGGAUAUGUCUGCACGUGGCACCAUGCAACAUGAGUUGUUGCUCUCCGCAGUCCGCAGUCCACUCCAGGCUGCAAAGAAAUUCGCCAUGAACGUACAUGCAGUACGUAUACCCGCAGUACACCCAAUGGGUAUUACCCAUGCACGUGGCAUGCAAGGUAAAGGCGGCAGGUUGAGAUACAACAAGCGAUGCAUCCAGCAAGUUAAAACAAAGGAGGUAAUAAAGAACACAUACAGACAUACAGACAUACAAACAUGCCGGUACUCACAUGACUCGGGCAGCAGUGUCGAGACCCUGAUCCAGCCACAGGGGCGGACCAGGCGGAACCGCCCCGCAGGGUCAGUGUACGGCACCACCGCGGGUACGGAAGCCGCCGCCGGCACGGUUGCAACCGCUCCUCCUCCAUCACUCUCAUCACCUGCUGCUGCUGACGCAAGCAAGCAAUCGUAUCAGACCCUGCUGCUCAUGCAGCAGCGCGCAACCCUACCAUUUGUCAGGAAUUGAACACACGCACUACUCAAUAAACGCUGUGCUGAUGCAUGUUGUACGAAUAGAACGUACGGCGUCAUUUAUUGCGUUAUGUACGGAUACGGAUACGUACUUGUCGCGGAUGGUGAUGAGCCGCACGUCUUCGGAAGUGCUCCGCUCUCAGCCAUCCUGCGGGCGUAAUAAUUGAUUAAUGGCAAAUUAUUACGUUUACUCGUAAAUCCACCGCUGUACAAAAAUUGAGAGGCAAUCGCAGGACCUGUACGUUGCAUGUGAGUGGAUGUGUGUGUAAUAAAUAAUAUUCAGCAGUCGCGGGAUGGACAACAUAGUACGUAACUGCCGCUGCUCCUGCCGCUGCUCCUGCCGCUGCUGCUGCUGCUGCUGCUCCUGCUGCUGCAGCUGCUCGUUGAUAUCCAACUUACUUUCUUUAGUGUUUAGUUUACAGUAUUUACAUGUAUAUGCUUAGUACAGCAAGGCGUUUGGGGCAACUUCACAAGCAAGUACCAGAUUUAGAGCACGCAUGCCAAGCUGUCUAUCUGUCCGAACAAGUUUGAUCCUGCGUUGAUGCAGCGCUAUACAACAACGCAAAGACUCUUCCACAUGAAGCCCCAGUUCCCAUUCCACGCUUACACGGUCGAUCCGAAAGGAAGCCCCAGUACAACAGCAGAGCACGCCAAUGUGGCUGCGCAUGCAGCAAUUCGUCGCCGGCUCACGUUUAGGGAGUGCCGUGCCAUACGCCAUGUGGCUGCGGACUCCUGAUCUUGAUCGCCCUGGAACAGCGGAACGUCUGCUGGCAGCGCUGGGAGGGAUGUGCUUCGGUCAUCACAGCAACUUGACCAGCAGCGGUUGGCCCCACGGCCGCCUGUUGCCGCGAUAUUGCAGCCACGUAAGAGUACAUGUAAGAGUACGAACAUCUACAGAUUCAUAUAAAAAUUAUAAGUCAGCUUACGCCGGUGAGACCGAGGCUCUGAGACGUUCCAUCGACAAAGGCCAACCGAACCGGUAACCUUCAACGAUUUCAAGUGUAAGCUUGGUGAUAACAGCAUCCCAGAAGGUGGUGAUUCGAUCAGCGGUGAGAUAUGAGUCACUCGGUGGACAACUAAACAGCAGUGAGCAGCCAUUUUUUUGAUUAAGUAAGUCGUAAGAUCUCAGUUACAGUAUGAUUCUCUUCGUGUCAUCACAGUCGAAUUUGCUUUACUGCGUGUCAGGGUAUAGCCACUACGCCAACCCUGAGUUCCGGGUGCCUAAUGCAGUACAACGCCUUGUCGUUUGUGAUUUUGCACCACAGCCGCAACUUGUCAGCAUCACACAUGAAUGUAAACACGUCUUAAAGGCUGCCCUAUUUUUCUAUCGAAGAGCUGCGGGCAAGCUAUCCAGCGAAUUAGCUCCGGAACCCUUUCAGCCCGGGCGGCAAAAAGGAAACCCUCCUGUCAUUAUACGCUUUCCUCGUUUCUGUAAUACUUUAUGGUCUACAGGCAAAACUGGCCUUCAUGCAAUUAUCCACAUUUCCUAAUAAGGCGACCGACGGCUUUGAACAACCUUCCCAACCACUCAGUCUUCCGACUUAGCUCGCACCCGAUAUCCCGGCGUAAAUCUCUCCUAGCAUCCUCAAGUACUGCAAACAUGUCGACAGGCGCGAAGCCCAAACGGGCAAAGACCAUCGACGCUUUCUUCACCCCGAAGCAGCCACAGAAGCAAGCAGUUGUGGGAAUCGCGCCUCCGGUGAGCCGAAUCCACCAAGCUCGGUAUCCAGCAACCCAUCCAUUUCAACAACUUCCAUCAACAACACACACUCAACCUCACAUCGUGCACCUCGCUUCCGCUUCCCCAACCCAGCAGCUCCCAGACGUCGUCGCAGCGCGCUGUAUCAUGGAAGUCGCCGGCGACAAAGCUGAGAGCAGCAAAGACUCCAUCCCCCUCCAGGAGCAACAUCAACCCCACACCGGCUCCACAACAGCUCCAAAAGCAGCGGUCCCAACAGCGGCAGGUUACCCCGCCACGCAGCAGCUACAGGUCCCGGAACCCCCUGGCCCCACGGCGGCCGCCGCGUCUGCCGGCGAACAGGACCCCCCCGCUGUCCCCCCUCCUCCCCCUCAGAGCCCCUUUCAGAGUAAUACUGAGAGAAGUAGAAUGGUUGGCCGCAAACGGCGCAGUCGCUCGGCGGACGGGGGCUGCUCGGCGGACGGGGGCUGCUUGACGGCAGCAACAGCACGGGAAGAGGGUGAGAGAGAGAGAAAAAGAGCGAAGGCGGUGUGUGUGUGUGUCACAUGUGUGUCAUGUGUACGGAUGGCAGGUAGAGGCAUUUGACAAAUGACCAGGGGGGCCUGGCAAGCAACGAGCUAGUAAGGGAGCUAGUAAGGACUGCUAACAGUCCAGCAGCCCAACAACCCCCAUUGGGAGAUGUAGCUGGCACAAUGGGGUUGGGGGGGAGAUAGGGAGGAAGUGCCGUAAGGGACAGGGUGAGCUCCAGCAGCGGUCAAACGCGGCUGGCAAGAGAGCUAGCUAGAGGGAACUGCCAUAGGAGAGGUGUAUGGCUACUACCCUAUACUAAUGUGAGCUGUCGUUAUACUAAUGUUCACCUGCAACCAUUGCCAAUGCCCCUCAUUGUCAACAUCCCUCGCUACUGGCCGCUCGGAUGCGAACCGGAGGACAUACAGACGGACAACCGUCAACGUCGGGGGUUCCGGGUACGGCGGCGCCCGGGGGAGGUGGGGCGGCAGUAGCAGCACCCGGAGGAGGAGGAGGAGGGGGAGGGGGGACGGGGGGAGGGACGAAAGAAGGUGAUGCGGCCUGUGCCAGUGUAGGAGCGGCAGCAGCGGCUGAUGGUGGCGAUGGCUUGACGCCGGCACAGCGUGCGCAGGUUCGUACGCGUGCCUGUGUAUGUGUGUGUGUGUCUGUAUGUGUGUUCGUCCGUCAUUAUUUUGAAAGGCUACAUUGCACCGUCCGGUUCCGGUUUUCCUUCCCCCCCCCCUUUUCACUCCUCCCGCCUUCCCACGGUCGCCGCCAUCACACACGGGGGGAAGCUGACACACACACGCGCGCGCGCGCGCGUGCUCGGCUUGACCCUGGACUCGGCCCCGUGCGCCUUGGGCUGCUUUUUGGACGUGUCAACAGUUUGACCUCCUUUUAAUAUUUUCACCACCAUCACCACCACGAUCAUCAUCAUCAUCAUCAUUAUCAUCACCACCACCACCAUCACUACCAUCGUUAUAUAUUAUUGCCCCCCUUCCCCUCCGCCAACACCACCACUGAUCGCCACCACCACCUCCACCGCCACCACCGUCAGAUCGCGGCCAACCGCAACCGUGCACUGGCACGUCGUGUCCUGGCGGAGUCCUCGGCUCCAGGGGGCCCCAAGCUGCAGCUCUCAGCGCUGCUGGUCGAGCCGGGAUGGAGGAGCGCCCUCGCGGGGGAGCUGGCGGGAGCCAACCUCCGGCAGCUAGACUCGUUCCUGGGGGCCGAGUGGGCACCGGGCAGGAAGCCGGUCUUCCCGCCGAAGGAUUGCAUCUUUCAGGCCUUCAACGCCUGCCCGUUUUACCAGGUAUGCGUCGCAAUAUAUGAUGGGUUGAUUGGUUGGGUGGGUGGGUAGUUAUUGGCUGUUGUUACGGUACGUCAUAUCCGUGUUACUUCAUUGUCUGUCUAUCUAUCUGUCUAUCUAUCUGUCUAUCUAUCUGUCUAUCUAUCUAUCUGUCUAUCUAUCUGUCUAUCUAUCUCUUCAGUCCCAUUUUGCCUCUGCGCCCGUCACAAGUAAAACCCAAAACCGCGUCCCCCUAGCCUCUACCCCCCCCCCGGUAAGUACCCCUCCACCCAUCCCCAUCUUCGCCACCGUUGUCUGCAGUUGAUAUUCCCCUCCCCUUCCUCCUCCCCUCACCCUCCUCUUCCCCUCACCCCUUAAUCUCCCCUCACCCUUCCCCGCCUACCACCCACCCCCACACUCACACACACCGUCAUUAACUUCCUUAUAACCGCCAAACCGCAACCCCCCUGACCUGAUGACCAGGUUCGUGUGGUGAUCCUGGGUCAGGACCCCUACCACGGCCCGGGCCAGGCUAUGGGCCUGGCCUUCAGCGUGCCCCGGGAUGUGCGGCCCCUGCCGCCCUCCCUCGUCAACAUCUACAAGGAGGCGGCCGCGGACCUGGGCUGGGGGGACCGCCCGGCGCACGGAGACCUGUCCGCGUGGAGUGUGCAGGGUGCGUCGUUUCCUCCCCGUGAUCUGAUCUGAUCACGGUGAUGGUGGUGGUGGUAGGAGGUAGAGGGGGAGGAGGUAGUGGGGGGAGGUAGUGUGGGGGGGGAUUGAGGUUGGGGGUUGGGGGGCUGAGGAGGUGGGGUUGGGGGGAAAGACGAACCACGAACGAGUGAAAAGCUGCUGCCAGGGCAAGAGUGGGGGUUGGGGGGGGUGAGGAGGUGGGGUUGGGGGGGGGUGAGGAUACCGGUAGUGGCUGCUACACGGCUGUGUUCGACCGGCUACUGGCUACUGGUUCUGGACAGAGACCAACUUUAGCCAAACAGCUGAAGCCAAACUACCCGUGAAAGGUAAUCAAGUCGGCGGGAAAGAGGCGGCCAACGAAACAUGUGCUGGCUGGCUGGCUGCACAGUAGCAGCAACACGUCCAUCCAUUUCCUACUUUACCGUACUGUACGGCAUGUACUACUAAGGCUACUAUUAAGGGUAAUCUAGAGUAAGGGAUGGAUAGAUCUAGUAUGCCCGAAUGUUGAGACGGAUGUAUAUAUAAGUUAUGACGACCACGACCGCCAUCGCGCAGGUGUACUGCUGCUCAACACGUGCCUGACCGUACGACAAGGCGAGGCCAACAGUCACGCCAAACGCGGCUGGGAGCAGUUCACGGACGCCGCCAUCAGGGCGCUAAGCGAGCGCCGCAGCGGUAUCGUCUUCCUGUUGUGGGGCAACCCCGCCCAGGCCAAAGCGAGCCUGGUGAACACGUGGGUCGCCCUAAAACCCCUUUCCCUCCCCUCUCUCCCCGCCGCCUUUGCUAUUGUUUUUUAGUUCCUGCGUUUUCUUCCGUUUUCAUAUAGGUUCUUUAAGGGUUUUCGUUUCCAGCUUCCCCGAUCAGCAAGUUUAAUACUCCUUUUCAGCAGCAUUUGCAUGCGUUUUUGUAUUUUUCUUUCGCUGCUCACAACUCUCCCACCUUUCUGCCUUGCAUGUGCCUUUGCCCGCUGCUCCUGCUGCCUGGCCAGGUGAGUCCAAAGGGUGGUUCGAGCUUCUUUGGUAUAUCGCGUUGGCGUCGGUAGGCUAGCCGGAAUAGUUUAGUUGGGUCGGUCGGGUCAGUCGCGCGUUCUAGUUUUUUUGGGGGGUUGGGAGGAGCACUUGCAUACCGGCAGCCUUUCAGUAUCAGCAAUUCAGCCUUCUCUCCUGGCCAGCAACUUUACGCCACUUUUACGUCAGCACUAUUUUACUCGCCGCCUUCACUACUAUUUUUUACACCUACUACUUUACGGUUUGGCUAUACAAUUCAGCUUUUUAUUUCUGGCGGCUUAGGUAGGUAGGAGUUCCAACAUCUACGUCACUUCGUCAUCCCGAGGUUACAGUCGUCACAGUCGCCACGGACGCCUUUCGGUCAGUUUUUACGUUUGCUACUAUCUUGCCCUGGCAGCAGCUUCAAUCGCGUGUGGUUCGUCUUUCCCCUCUCUCCCCCUCGGUUACGACUUCAUCGCUUAGAACUCACUCACGGGGGGCAGUUUCGGGGACUUUUUGGAACUGCUUUCCGGCAGGCAGCUCAUUUCUGGUUUCCUCGGGGUGUUUUUGUGAUCUCCCCCUCCCCUCGCCUCUCCCCACCGGCUAGGGUGGUUGGGCGGAAUCAGGUUGGGAUGAGGUCAAAGCGGGUAAAGGGGUGGGGGGUUUGGAGCCAGGCAGUGACGUGCCGCGGCAGGCAGCAGAAUUGCAGCACACCAGGCCGCACAGCUGAGAAGAGGCCCCUGCAUGUGCAUGUGCAUAUGCACGCGCAAAGCACCGGUAGGGUGCCGAAAAACAAAAACAAAAUCCAAAAGAAGGAUGUGAGGAGGAGGGGGAGGAGGAGGAAGAGAACCUGCGGGGGAGAUACGGCGGGGAAGGGUGGCAAGGUGCGAGUGGGUGUUUAGGGUAGAGGCCCCACUAUCGCGUGAAGUAACCGAGUACCAAGAUAUCGCAAGACUUAAGCACUUGAAACAGUCCUUCUCUCCCAGAUUGAUCCCCCCCUUCUUUCCCCUUCCUUCCCCUCUCCUUCCUCUUUGGCGGAAUGUGCAUGUGCGGGUUCCCGUUACUGCUACGGCUGCUACUGCUACGGCUGCUACUGCGACUGCUGCUACUGCGACUGCUACUCCGCAGUCGCAAGCACCACGUGCUGAAGGCGGCCCAUCCGAGUCCCCUCUCCGCCUCCCGAGGCUUCUUCGGAUGCCGUCACUUCUCCGAGACCAACAAGCUGUUGACGAGCCAGUCAUUGGAACCCAUCCAGUGGAGGCCGUCGUGACAUGAAACACACACACGCAGAGGGCUCGGGAAGGGGGGGGGAGAACCACAGGCCGGCGGGGGAAGGAGGGGCGGGGGACGGAACACGAAACACGCGCGGACAGUGGGAGGAUAUGUGGUUUGGAAGGGGGGGGAAAAGGCGAAGCUCUCCAAAAGGGGCCAGGUGUCAUGCGAUUGUGCAGGGCAUGUGAUGCCGUACAACAUGGGUAAUGCACAUGGUAUCGUACCUGAGGGUGGAGGUGUGAUUUGAGUGGUUUCGGGGCGACGAAACGACCUUUUUCGUGGACUCCUUUUCGGGGCUGAGUGGGAUUUUUUACGGUUGGAGUUGGAGUCGGUAAGGUGGUUUGUAUUGCAGACCUUAAUUUAAGGAUGUGUUAGAAGAUUGGAUCAUUUGUCGUGCGAUGUGGGACUACCUAAGGUGCGGCUGCUUGUUUUAUCAAAAUUUGAGUGCUGUUUUCUGGAUCCAAAAUUUGACCAGUUUCGUUUUGACACAGAAUUUGAACCAAGCUCUGUCUUUUGACCUCACACAUCUACUGACUGACGCAACCCCCCUUAUUUCCCCAAAUCUAACCACCACAAACUUGGACUAUCGGUGCCGCGUUGCGAUGGGAGGUACCAUUUUGUCCUUUUCUUUUUUUUCCUUUCGUACAGGAUCUCAUCUCGUGCCUGUGGUUACACGAAAUUGACUUUUUUGAGUACUUGUAGUAAUUCCCUUGAAUAAUCUGUUCUCGCUCGUUAAAUACUACCGACCCCCAGCAUUUGUGACUAAGCUUUGUGAACGCCAUUUAAACAAAAGCUUCACAGAGCUACACAUUAUUGUCAUGUCAACUGUUGGUUCCUUUUGGAGGCCCCUUUCAAAUCCGCGCCGCGCGCGUCCUCACCCCCCCCCUCUGCUCAUACACACUGCUCCCCACGCACGCACACAGCGUGUACAUCUUCUCCUCAAAUCUCCCCCCUUCGAGGCGCCGUCUCUCUCGUACCAAACAUAAGCACGCGCACGAGCUGGUUGAAUGUGCAACACACGUACGAAAAAAUAAGCACGACAUGUAAGAAGAAGAAGAAGUUCUUUUACUAUACAGACGUCAAAUACCACACAGCCAUGCGACUGCCCAAGUCCUGUACGGCACAUCCUUCAGUGUACGGAAACAAAGUCAGUCCGACGUCAGAGCCUCUGCAAGGAGAGGAGGUCAAACAGGCAAAGGUUGUAAAACGCCCACUUCUCAAUCCUCUUCCUGUCAUAGACUCAAAGCUGCCGUACGGUGUGUGUCGUACUUGUUCCGAUUUGCGGCUGAUCACACCGGGAGCUGCUAUUCCUUCUUGUUGUUGUUGUUGCCGAAUGUUGUUAUUAGUGCCCUCCUCCGCCGCCGCGUCGUCGCUCUCUAAUCACCAGUCGAUGUUCGUACGUUGAACGACGUCUUUGGAGUUAAACAAACUCCACUUUUUGGAUUGCUGGAAUCAUGUUGUUAUGUUGAGGAGUACGACGUUAUCAGCGAUUCCCCAUCAAUAAAGCGCUGCAGUACAAAAUAGCACGGCAGGUUUUUAGCACAGUUGUGGUACAGAGUACAGGANNNNNNNNNNNNNNNNNNNNNNNNNNNNNNNNNNNNNNNNNNNNNNNNNNNNNUUAUACAUCUUUUUCAUAUGCAUGACGAAGGAAAAAAACCCUUUCGCAACCACCUCAACACAUCCCCCCCGGGGCGAACAGAGGUCCGGACAGAGGCGAGCAACACACACCCAUAUUACACACACACACCUACAUACCACACGGUGACACAGCUUUCGUUCACAAACAUUCCACACACGCACACCUGUUCAUCCGCCACGAACCAAGGCUGCCAGGGCGUCUUCACGGGGAAACCCAGAUCCCCUGUCCACGCCUCACUGCCCGUGUGGGGCACAGCCAUGUCGUGAUCCCCGCUGUAGAUCAGGGCGCGAAGGCCUGGAAAAUCGCCAAGGUGGUUAAAGCGGUUGGGGGUGGUUAAAAAAGGGGUUUGGGGAAUGAUCACAUGCAAGGAAACCAGGAGGGGAUGGGGAAGUCGAUGACGAGGACAUGUUAAAAAAUAACGAACAACUGCCAAACUCCCAACGGAAGUCUCGCGUGACUCGUCCCACUUCAUUUACCGAACAACCCACUCUAUAAACUCUAUAAACGUUCGUCCAAGUAUUCUAGCAUGUCCGUACCAUGCAUCUUGGUGUUGUUGAUGUGAAUCGGAAUCAUGGAUCCGUGGUCUCGGAAGUAGGAAAUCUUGUCGGAACACAAGGUCCAGUACCCGAUGGCCUCCCUGGACUCGGCGUGAAUGGCCUCGCGCACCCGCGGAUCGUUCAACCAUAAAUCCGCGGCCCUGAAUUCAAAUUUUCAAAUUCAAAUUCAAGCAAAUCACAACAAGCAAAUCGCACACAUGAAAAAAAAGAGAAACAAGGGUACGUGAAUAAAUGCAGAGAUUACGGAAUUUAAAAAAGUACAGAGGAAUAUAUGCUAUGGACAGAUGUAAAAGUCACAAAUACGGGCGCGAUGCGAUAGGUAGCGAAGGGGGUAGGAAAGAGGCGAGAUAACCGGAGGCUUCAACCGAUAAAAGAAACAUCAUUCCUACAAAAAUUCAUAAAGUUUUUUUUAUCAAAUUGUUACUUAAGGUAUAUUCGAGCAGUCGCGCAGCAGCUAUAGCCCAAGAGCCCUAGUUGUUUUAAACCAGGCAAGAACUCCCUUCCAAAACAAGACCCGCCAGCAGUUCCGAUGAUGGGGUUGAAGUUUUCCGCGUUUUCUGUGCUUUAAUAGGGCGAUUUCUUUGUUGAUGGGGUGGGGGCCGGGCACUGACGUGUACGGCACUGUACGGUACUGUACGGCAGCCCGGCACACCUGGAGUCCGUACAGAUGGGCGUGUGAGACAGAGUGGGUGGUUUCUUCACCUGCUGCUGCCGGGCAGUGCCUGGGUCGCACAGCCUGCACGCAACGUAGGCGGCGGCGGCGGCAGUAGCGUUGCUGAUGUGGCGGCGGCGGCGGCGGCGGCGGCGCCGUUGGUGAGGUGAUGGCGGGGCCAGUCCACCACACCACCACACCCACCACCAUCACCAACACCGCCAUAAACAGACAACAACGACAAAACGUUCAACCCAUCCAAACCGCCGCCACCAGCGAAACAUUCCAAAACAGUUCUCAAAACCAUCCGCUUCCUCCUCCUCCUCCUCCUCCUCCUCCCAAAUACUCGCAGCUAAAGCUGUUCGGUCCGACCAAGUACGGCCAGCCUUGUCCGUACAUCCGUACACCGUACUCCCCUGUACCUCAACUUACACCCCGAAACUCUGACACAACCCGCUGCCCCGCCGUACACCCGCCGCCGUACAAGAAACCCAAGAAGCUUCUGUCCACCCCCUCACGGCCUCACCUGGAGUCCGUACAUGGCGGUGUGAUGCCCAGUCGUACACCCAGCUUGGCGCUGACGUGGGCCCAGUUCAGUACGGGACCCGGCCGUACAACUCCGCCAGCCAGCGGCCACACACCCAGCAGACCAGCCUCGUCCAAAAGCUGCUCCGAAAUUCGAAAACGGCCUCCCACAAAACUGCCAACGCCGUCAGCGCUUAGCUGCCGGUGCCUAGUGUGUUGGGGCCUAGCCGCGGCGGCGGCGGCGGCGGCGGCGCGGUCCUGACGGGCAAGGGCGGCCGCGCGGAGGGCGGCGCCGCGGGCGGCCCGGUCAUCGACGACGCCGUCAUGGAAGCAGUCCUGCAAAGUGUCGUACACAUUCAGCGCCGCCAGGUUGGCCUCCAGCUUGUUCCACAGCUUGUCACAGGUGCUGCCUGAGGUGGGUUGGGCGCGUCACGUACCAGUUGGCAGUUGACAGUUAGCAGUUGGGGCAACGAAACCAAACCCCAAACCGAGCCCCGACAUGACCGGAGCGUGAACCCUGUUCUUAACCCCCCGUGCGUGUGUGUAUGUGUAUGAGGUCCCGUCGCUCCACCCCCAACACCCGGGGAAAUGUACCGCACUUGUACGACGCCAAAGAGGGGGAGGUAUCUGUGUCUACUAGGGGGUAUCUGACCUUGGCCCUCUGGCGGAUAAACUAUAUUUCUUUAUUUUCAUAAAUCGCAAGAGUGUUUAGCUAAACAGUGGCUGCAACAACGAGGUCAUGUUCCGAGCUGGCUUUUCCAUCGAAGCUUUCUGAAAACUCUAAAACCUCUAAAACUCUAAAACCUAACCAGGUCAUGUUUCGGUCUGUUUUUGUUCCAUCCUAACGCUUCCGCACCGCCCUCCCUUAUUCCACGUCCGUACAUACAUACAUACAUACAUACAUACAUACAUACAUACAUACAUACACAAACCCUUGUUCGUACCGUGUGUACGGUUCCAGUACUCGCCCCCGCCGCACUCGGACUCGAGCUCGCGGAAACCCCGCCAAGGAAGGAGCGACUUGCCCGCGGCAAACAGCGGGUGGGCGUUACCGUCGUAACGCUCAUCCGUACAGCCGUUACCAACCAAGUAGCCCUGGGCCACAUCACAAACGAAUAAAAAAUAAAAAAAGUUAGCAUAAAUUAUUUAAUAUCGGAAUUUUCUUAAGACAGGUAGGAGUCCCCUCAUUAUGUUUUGAUCUCUUCUUCAGCGAGAGCUGGUUGCAUAAGUUAGGGUUGUGUUUUAUAUUCGUUGUUCGUUGGUAGUUGUGGUUUUUUCGUUAAUGACCGUCCAUCACCCCCACUCACCACAAUAUUUAUGUUCGGUUCCUCUCCCGCCUCAUUGCCCAACAGUACUUGACGGACCAGAUUAGGCACGUAGAUACCCGCAUAGCUCUCACCUUAGAGGGGGGCGGGGGAAGGGGGGGCACGGGAUGUGGAAAUAACUACGAGGCAAAAAUAAAAAAAUUAUGUAUUAUAUAUUUAUAUAAGACAUAUUUAUAUUUAUAUCAGGAUAAAUAUAUUUAUUGUAACAUUAUAUUAUAAUAUUAUAUGUAACAUUAACAGUAUAUAUGGCAAAAACUUUUAUAAAGCAAAACAUAUAUUCACAGGAGUCAAAAAACACGAGUCAAAAAGCAAAACGAGCCAAGCGGGGGACCCCAAAAGGCUCCAGAGGAGGGGGAGGGAGGGGAAAAGACGAACCACGAGCGAGUGAAGCUGAUGCCAGUGGGAGGGAAGGGGAAAGACGAACCACACGCGAUUUAAGCUGCUGCCAGAGCAAGAUAGUAGGGAUGGGAGGGAAGGGGAGGGAUAGGAAGGGAAGAGGUCAUUUCAAUUCAGGAAUACUGGAGGAGGGGGGAAGUGUGCGGGCCGGCCGGGGCGGGCGGGGAAAUAUGGAGGGAUGGGGUGUGUAUGUGGGAGCAGCACAUAAAACACAAUAUAUAUACAUUUAUACAUAAUAUAUGUGUAUACGUGUAUAUAUGUAUAUAUAUACAUAAUACAUUACUUUAUACAUGUAUAUAUGUAUGUAUAUAUAUGUACAUAUAUAUACAUAUAUAUAAAGUACAUGUAUUAUGUAUACAUUAUAUCAAGCACGGGAAUGGAAAGAGGACGAGGCUGCAGUUGUAGCAAGAGGGGGAGGGGAGGUGGGAGAUCUAGAUUCCAACAACCCCACAGCAAAACCCAACGUACCGCUGACAUAGAAGUCGUUGUCCAGAUACUGCGGGAACCUCCGAAACCAACCACGCAAAAAGCGGUCCGCGUCAGCUGCCGUACGGACGUCGUCAACCACAUAGUCCGCCGCAUUCUCACUGUACGACAGGCCCACACCUACCCAGCGCAGGGGCAAGGGGAGGGGAGAGCAGGGUUUACGGAAACGAGACAUUCACAAAAAACACGGAGUGUACACAGACAGACAGACAGACAGACAGACAAACAGACAGAUAGACAGAUAGAAAGAUAGACACACACGCGCACGCGCACACACACACCUGCGGGUGAGUCCAGGAAGAUCAUAUUGGCCACCUGUACGGCGGUGAGGGGAAUACGAAACACACCGAGGAGUGAUGCGGAUAUCAGAGAUAGACUACUGUACUCCGGGGGGGAAAAGAAGAGGAGGGGAAGAGGAGGGGAAGAGGAGGGGAAAAAAAGAGGGGAAGAAGAAGGGAAGAAGAAGGGAAGAUAUUGAAAUGAGAGGGAGCGGCAUGCUCGCAUGACCCAGCUCCUUCGGACCCAGCUAAACAUUCUUCUCCUUCCCCUCCCAAAAACACACCCUUCUUCUCCCCCUCCCUCCUCCCCCCUCCCCCCCCCCUAGCAAACACACCUUGUUCCAGGCGAAGGGGUUACUCCGGAGCUCCACAUGCAGCCCCCCCGCAACACCCCCCGCGUCAUCGGAAGUGGCAGUAGCGGUUGUGGAGGGCCCGGGUACGGCGAGGUUGAAGGUGAAGGGGCCGUGUUCGUACACGAAGCCGUCAAAGGAGCUGCAGCCGGGGCCGCCAUUCAGCCAGAGGACCUUCAGGCGUCAAGUCCGUCGUGGGCAGUAGCAGCAGUAGCAGUCAGCCACAGCAGCAGUAGCAGCAGGAAGAAGGGCCGUAAAUCAUCAACAUGAGGUCGUUUGCUGACUGAUGAACUCGAUUAUCCCAUACACACAUACAGCCCCGCUUUAUUAGUAUUAAUAUUAUAACUAUAAUAAUAUUAUGAUUAAUCCUAAUUAUUACUAUUAUUAUUAUUACUAUUAUUAUUAUUAUAUUAUUAUUAUUAUUAUUAUGCCAUUACUAAUAUUAUUCAUUAGCUCCCCAAACGAAUGAUAAUUCAGGAGCUCCUCUCCCUUAACUGCUUAGGACGUGUUCACAUGUGGGCGAAUCAGGGUUGAUUCAUGCGAAUUGGACUCUGAAUUGGACCUGAUUGGACCCGAAUCGGAAUUGGGGUCCGGGGGGGCCUCUUCGGGUAUGAUUCGACGUGAUUCACAGUUUUCUUUCUCAAAACAAAGUUGUUUAACAAACCGUUUCUCAUAAUUACCAUUACAAUACUAUAGGAACAUUUUCCAAUUGUUAAUUCACGCAAAGCGCACCGAGCAUUUUUCACGAACUCCUGCAGCUAUGUAUGUACAAGCCUGGUGAUAAUUUUCGCCAUAGAAACGAUACUUAUACUGUUCUGUUCCUAGAUAAUGCUGGCUUGCCUUGGGUGAUGGGGCGUAGCCGCGGAGCUUCAGCUGGGCGCGGUGGCACCUCGCGCGGUGCAGCGAAUCGUAUGUGAACACAAUUCAGAAAGCCGCCCCGAAUCGGACUCCCAAUCAGACUCUCAAUUGGACUACAUGUGAACACACCCUUAUUGCGAUAUCAAUCAACCAUAUUCAUACAACAUUAAACACCCACAUCUCAUCUAAUCUUCCAAUUUAUUUGAAUCAUUUCAGAUGCACCUUCCAUCCCUCUCUUCCAUCCCUUCCGUCCCAUUCAGUCAAUCGGUCCAUCUGUCUGUCAGUCUGUCAGUCGCUCUCCCCUUCCCCCCCCAACGGAGUGUAACCCCGGGGCAUCUGCUUCAAUCGUCAGUGGUUCAUCUUCUUCAUCCUCGAAGAAGGGCUGCUUACCACCGGGUCGUUGGCGGGGUCGCGCUCGCUCUCAACGAAGUAAUAAAAGAGGCGGCGACCUCGUUGCUCGUCCACCUGAACAUAACCAGCUGGGAGAGGGGUUGUGUGGGGAGGAGAGGGGAGGGGAGGGGGGAAAGACGAACCAAGAACGAGUGAAGCUGCUGCCAAGGAAAGCGAAGCAGAACUGACCAGUGGCGGAGUUGUGGGGAGGGGGGAGGGUAGAAUGUUUAAAUUAACAUAAUACGGGGGGAGGAGAGGGGUUAAGAGUGGCAGAUGGUGGGUUUUGCGUCGGGGGAGAUUGGAGGCGGGAAUUAGGGUUUGGGCAGAGGAAGGGGAGAGGAGUUUUUUUUGAAAGGGUGGAUUUGGGCAGCAGCAGGGAAUAUGUUUUGGGGGGAAACGUCCGGGGGGAAGGGGGAUGUAAAAGUAUUUGAGUGAGGUGGGUUUGAGAUAGAGGGGGAAUUGGAUGAAAGGGCGUGAGGCCGGGUGAGGAGUGGGAAGUCCGGGGGAAUGUGCACGGGCGACAAGACAAGAAAAGAGGCGCAACAUAUGUUGUUGGCGCGUCCGCGGAAGGAACCUGGGACAGAGCCCGGAUUUGCCUGCACAGGAAUUCCGGAUGUUUAUUUUACUAUAAUAUCUGAACAGGGCAGUCCGUCGUGGCAGCCACGCGCAUGUUGAGAUCAUAGAGGAGGGCAAUUGGAGAGCGGCAAUUUGAAGAGGUUGCUAGAAAAGAACGAAGGUAGCUGUGCUGGUCUGUCUGGAGGAAAGCGUGCCACGAGGCCAACGGUAGUUGCAGGCCGUCGGCCCUUGUCGUGCAGAUCAACGCGCAUUGUAAGACCUUUGUGAGGAAAGCGGGUUAUAAUGUAUUUGGUUGCGAAAAUGCGUGGCCAGCCGGCUGGUUAAGGGCCACAGAAAACAGAAUACUGCGCGCGCAGCGGAGCUCACCAAAAUGGUUUGAUGGGAGAGCGUUCUGAAAUCCAGGCAAAGACAGGAUUUUGUCUGCUGCGGCGUCUGGGGUCAAGUUGCUGCGUUUUGGUGUCUCGGCCUUCUCAACUGCGCGCGUAACGAACCUCGCUGCUCGGGUCCCGGAAAUGAGGAGAAAGAAGGCCAGCAUGGACUUUAAGAGCGGACUGGCCAUUCUUCCUGUGGAUGAGUAGGCCUGGGAAUCUAUUAGCUGGCACAAAUUGCAAAUUUUACUUACAUCCACCUUCCUUAACUGUCGGGCAUCGGAGCGGAAAACCCCCUCCGACGGACUUGUCACAUACACAGAACAGCAAGCUGACAAAUAGUGAGGAAGCAUACAUAUUGUUGAGCUUACAAAGGUCACAGUAAGGUUGCGGUAUGGAGUGAAAGCUUCCACGCUUCUUUGGUAUGUAGAACUCUUUUCGUCUCGACGUAAUGGAGACUCGGUGUCUGGAAACUAGCUUAAUUUUGAAGGAGAAGGAAGAUUUUUUAUAAUUGGUGCACCGCGCGAAGAUUGUCUGAACCCUCAUGCUAGGAGAGCCGUUUCUGAACGACGCUGUUAGCAGCGGCCGCCGGCGCUUUCGUCACCGGAAGUGUGCAAGUGAUACGUUUGCAUUCGCGGCAAGCGCGUUGCUUGAUGACCUUCCCUCGUCGAUGCCGCAACCCCUUGCGGUUGGCCCCUUGGCUGGCCAAAAUGCCAAUCAGCCAACCACAAUCGGCGAAACACCAAACCCUCCUGGUGGCAACAACCUAGGUCCGGAACUUGGCCCGGCAGACCUCCUGGAAAUGUUGAGGGAUUUGGACGAAGGUGGCCUAGACAUUGACGCGGGUUUGCUGGAGGACCUUGAUGUGGAAGGCGAGACGGACGAGGGACAUGGUGUUAUGCUACCCGCCACAAAUGAGGCGGUGGGAUGUCAAGGAGGCAUUACCGCUCCCGUCGCUGGCGCCUACACGCGCGAUGCUCUGGGCCCCACCCUCAACCUCGGCCUGCUAACAUCCCCAGCCCCGGCAGCACCCCCCCAUCCGACAAUACCACCACCAACAUCGUUGCGACCUGCAGUUACAACUGCACCAUUGCUGCAACAGCAGCAGCAGCAGCAACAGCAGACGUCGACUGCAUCGAGCAUGCUGCCGCAUGGACCUAACGGCAGCGGCGGCGGCGGCAGCGGCGGCGGGAGGGAACAGCGGGGGCUCAACACCAACAGCUUCUCAACAGGGACGGCGGCAGUAGCGCCGCCGCCGCCGCCGCCGCCGCCGCCGGGUGCUGCAGCUGCUGCUUCGGUCCCGGGCCCUCGCCACGUCCGCAGCCCCAGCGACCCCCUGAUGGUAAGGAUCUGAGCUCAAUCCCCCCUCCCCCAACCCCCCCUCCCCCUCCCCGUCCCCUUCCCUCCCUUGAUAUCCACGCACGCCCCAAACCACAACCUAGAGAGGGGGUGUCUCUGCCAGACUACUUGUUGGAAAUGACCAACACUCAUAUACCAGUGAAUGGUAGCCACACUAAUAGGACCCAACGGGGGUCCGGCGCUUUGUCUUUGCCAGGCUACUCUCUCUUUUCUCUCAUCAUCAUCAUCAUCAUCAUCAUCAUCAUCAUCCUCACCACUACCACAGGAACCACCAACACUCGGCCCACCCGCCGUCACACGCGUACACCCCCAACCCCCCCACACAAACAUACACACACAUACACACUCCGCUCCGCCGUCCCCUCCCCCAACCCCCCCUCCCUCUCCCCCCGGGUGUCGGCAGAUGCAAAAACAACCGUUUGCCCUCAUUCCUGCAUCACAUCAAUAUUGAAUUUCUCCUUUCCGCCCACCCCGCCCCGGCCCGGCCCGGCCCGGCCCGGCCGCCUGCAAAACACAGAUGUGCCUGCCCAGUGCCGUACAGUCCUCCGCGGAGAAGCCCUUUAUCGAAUUCGCGGGACAGACGCGUACCAAUGCACUCGACCCGGCUUUGCUGGAUCCAAAACGUGCCAAACGCAUCAUCGCCAAUCGUCAGUCGGCGCAUCGGUCGCGAAUGCGGAAGCUGGAGGCUAUCCGGGAACUGGAGCUGCAAGUCGCGGCGGAGAACGCCGCGGCGGAGGUGGUACGGCAGCAGGUAGCGGCGGCGGCGGCGGCACGGCGGGAGCUGCUGGCGGCGGCGCUGAGAGCGCAUCGCAUGGCUGCAGAUGUGAGGGGAAAGCUGGCGGCGGCGGCGGCGGAGCAGGCCGCGCUGCUUUUGAAUCUGCAGGGGUUAGGCGUGACCGCCGCCACCGCCGCCGCCGCCGCCGCCAUCACCAUGGUGGCCACCGGCCCUGGGCCGGAUGGCGGUGGCGGCGACGAUGACGUCAGUGGCGGGCCUGUUUCUGUGGGGGCACCAGCGGCAGGAGUUAAAGGUCGAAUGGCGGCGGCGGCGGCGGCCGCGGCGUUGCCGCCGCCGGCGAUUACGGCGCGCGCCUGUGGUCAGGGUUCAGCUGCCACCGCCACCGCCGUGACAGCACCCCGCAGCCGCGGCAGCGGUGGCGGUAGUACGACAUUGCAGUACGUAACAGCGCCCCCAGCCGUAUCGCCUCCGGGGCUGCUCUCUGCUGACGCUGCGUUAGGUUUAGAUUCGGAGCCAACUUUGUCGGUGGCGAGUGGAGAACCGGGUUGGCGACAGCCGCUGCCGCCGCCGCUGGCGUCACCACUGCUGCUGUUUGGCGAGCCGCCGAAGUUGCUGGACGCGCCGCCGCCGGUGCUGGAGACGCCGUUGGGACAUUCCGCUAGUAUGGUAUCAAUGGUCGAGGCUACUACUGCCGCCGCCGCCGCCGCCGUUACCGCCGCCGCUGGGGCCCCACCCUCCCCGGACGUGUUCUUCCAGAGGCUGCAACACUCCACCAUUAGGACCCCCUUCCCGUCGCAUUCAGGAGCAGGAGCGGAAGGGCCUGCGGUUGCCGCCGCCGCCGCCGCCGCCGCCCGCAUAGGCCCCGCUGCCGCCGCCGCCGCCACCGCCAUAGGGUCAAUGCCGCCCUCCUGCUCUCUGCUUCUCGCACCGUCGUCUUUUUCCUUUUUGAACUCUUCCCCCCAUUAUUCCCCCCCGCCUCCGCCUCCUCUUUCCCAGCACCAUCAUCAUGGGCGGCAGCAGCAGCAGGCGCUACUGCCCGGGGCUUCUCCCGCCCUGGCUCAGCUCCCACAUCAGCGGCGGCCAUCCCACCACCGCCGGCAUAUGUCGGCGGGAUGUGCGGGGGAGGCAGCGGGUACGGCGGGGCUGGCGGCGUACUACUACUCCCCGUCCGCUGGGUACGGCGGUGGCGGCGGCGCCAGCUGCCGCGGUUUUGAGGGCAGUACGGGGCAGUCGGUGCCGCCGGUGCUACUGCUGCCGGCCAGCAGCAGUAGGACGGAGGCGGCGGCGGCGGCUGCUACAGCCCCCUUGGGUGAUGAUACGGUCAUGGCUGCUGCCAUUCGGGAGGCGGCGGAAGCGACGGAUCAACCUCCGGCGGAAGGACGACCGGUCUGUUUGGUGAACACCACUUACAGCGACGGCAGCGGUGACGGCGGCAGCGGCGGCGGUGACGGCGGUGACGGUGACGGGGGCGGCGUUGACGGCGGGGGCGGUGACGGCGGCAGGGGGAUGGACUUAACGGCUGAAAACCCUUGGUCACCGAUGGCUUUGGGCGGGGAGAUGCUGGUGGUGGGGUUCGAAGGGGGGAGCGAGGAGGAGCUGCAUGAGAUGACGACGACGACGACUGUGAUGAUGGUGGCGACGGAGGAUGCGACGGAGGAAUUUACGGCAAAGGACGAGCCGGCGGUGGGGAUGGGAGUGGGGACGGGGACGGGGAUGGGGGUGGCUGAUUUGGGUUUGGGCUUAAGCUGCAGCGGAGGCGGCGAUGGAGGGGGCGGCGGUUUGGAUGUCCGGAUGGCGCACGGCGCGUGACGUGGCGACACGACACACCAAACCAUGUGCGCACAUACAUACAUACAUGCAUACAUACUAAUUGGGGGGGGAAAAGGGAUUUCGGACAAGGGGGGUAAUGAAUGAUGUUUUCGGAAAUGAGAGAACCGACAGUAAUAGUAGUACAAUCUAAACGAGAUGGUAAAUUGGAUAAUUGUAAUAAUAUGGGCUUCUGUUUUUUUCCAGGAUGCCGUACAUCACGGCAAAAACGAGUUGUACGGCUCAGGUAUUGAAAUUGGGACGGGGGAUUUUAAGGUUACGUGAGAGUUGAGAGAAGACUAAAUUGUUGUACGGAACUGGAAAUGGCGCGCGAAUAUGACUGGCGUGUGGGCGUGUGUGUUUUAGUGCGUGUGCGCGCUUAGUUGGGUUCGGUGUUGCAGCGAACGGGCGUUGUGGUGUGUCACACCACAUGUGUAUGUACGGGAAAGACCUGGGGUGUUGCCAGGUUGUUACUCCGCUUCCUUGGUAGGGUUGUGGGUAGUGUGCUUUCAGGGGGGAGGGGGGGGGGAGGAGAGGGGUGGGGAGGGGGGAAUCACCAUCACCCCAAUUCAAGGGGGGGAGCAACACGUGGUAAUGGGCCGCCGGCGUCCGGGGGAGUGAGAGGGGGAGGCAUGUCGAGCGUGUAGGGGAGGGCAGGGGGGGGGGGGAAGCAGCCCGGGGGGGAGAGGGUUUACACUAGGUAGGGGAAUACACCGAUAAACACAUCUACGUUUUUUGGCGGAUUUAAAUUUUGACGGAUCGGAUCUCACAUUUGGGUUUCGGUUUUUUUGCCGUACAUCGGCUUUGUUUUGUGUUUGUUUUCCCGCUGGCUGCCGUACAAUGCGGAAAAGGACAACGGUUGGCCGUUGGUCGUUGACGGGCUCCUGUUGCGCUUGCGUUAAAGAGACACAUGACUCGAGAAGCCCGGAUGGCAUGCGGUACGUUUGCAGGUUUCAGGGUUUCUAGUGAUGUUGUUGCCUGAUUAGAACCUCUUAAGGCCGUAAUUGUGCUUGUGGUUUUGCUGCGACAUAAAUGCAUGUGCAUGAUUUUUGCGUGUUUGCGCACGAACUGUUUGCUGUUAUUGUUGGUGGUGGUGGUGGUGGUGGUGGUGGUGGUGGGAGGUAGUGAGCUGCUUUGUUUUUGUUUUGUCUUUGUCCUGUUCUUGUUUUGUUUUGUUUUAUCGCCUCGUUGCAAUCCAUGACGUAAUAGUGAUGCAGUGUCGUCGCCGCCGCAGGUGCACGUGCUGAUGACGUGUGCAGUGUACGGCAGUUGAGGUAGUGCGUGAGGAGGUUGUGAUGGGUCCUCAAAGCCAGGCAAAAAUCCUAUGAAGAAGCAGAGUACAUACACACAUACAUACAUACAUACAUACAUAUAUACAUCUUGUAUCUGUGUGUGUGUGUGUGUGAGCGCUGAGUGGAUGCGCUGGGUAAGGUCUUUUACCGUCGUGAUGUACACAGCUGUGACGGCGUUUUGUAGAGGAGGGGGAGGGGGAGGGGGAGGACGAAGCGGCGGCGGCGGCGGCUUGAUUGUUAGCGAUUUGUUCAAUGAGGUGAGUGUUGGGGAUAAUGUUAGACCCGGGGGGGGGCUUCGUGUGUGUAUGUGUGUCUGUGCCUUUUUGGCUUUAAGAGCUUUACCAAGAAGAUUAUUCCAAAAGAAGGUUGAAACGAGAGGGGGUGGGGGGUUAGAGAUGUCAUAAUGCUGUCUGCCGCUGUUUGGUCGGCUCGGGCAUCGGAGGGGAUCGAUCGGAUGCCGCAUACAUCUAAAAUAACUUUUGCAAAAGAUGUUCCUGGGUGCAGUUGUUGUUGUUAAUGUUGUUUUGGUUGUCGCCGUCGUCAGCACCAACAAGAGUGAGUAAUGUGGUAAUAACUUGUAAUUUUCAUGAUGGACACGCAGACAGACAGACAGACAGACAGACAGACACACAAACACACCGGCGAACUAUCAUGUAAGGAACAGAGGGAGAUUACUGAUUCACCUUGGGAGCUAAACCCGACCUAAACACCGCCAGUCUCGCACGUCCUCCAUCUUCGCCUCCGCAGUCCCACACUCUUAAGUCGACGCCCGAGAGAAUCGUCGUGUGUACUUAAAUUAAACGCUCUACGGCUGCUUUUUUUGGCUCAAAAGGUGGACAGCAGCGAACCCUAAAACUCACACGGACACAUACACACACGUGCAGGCGUGGCUAGGCUCACUCAUGGCCCCUACCCAUCAGUCUAUCCUUUUCAUUAGCUUCAUUUGCUCGCGGUUCGUCCUCCCCCUCCCCCUCCCCCCUGUUUCCCCCUUCCCAACCCCCAAACACACACAAAGAUACCACAUUCCCACAUACCCUCCCCACCCAACCCCUCUUUCACGCACACACACACACACACAUACACACAUACACACACACACACACAUACACACACACACACGAAGCCGGGCCCACGACAUCAGCGGAAGGUUAUCAACUUCUACCAAAAAAUGUAUUAUAAAUCUGCGUUUCCCCUCGCACCACAUAAAGCUUCUGAACCUCUCUCACACAAAACACACACACACACACGGAUUUAAUCGUAUGGGGUAUGUGUGUAUAUGUAUGUGUAUAUCUGUGUGUAUGUGUGUGUCAUGGAAAGGUGAGCCGCGUGUAUGCGUGCGUGUUUUGCGUAUGUAUGUCUUACGUCACCAGCCCGGCGGCCGGCCCCGCACCGCCCCCUCCGGCCCCAAGCAACUCGAUCAUCGACAUCACACGACGUCGCAUCCGGGAGCGCAACAUGGCCUUCGGGAAGCGAGUGUGUGUGUAUGUGUAUGGGAGGGGAGAGAGGGGGGAGGGGAGAUGAGGGGGGGGAUGCUGUAGGUUCGGGUUCAAGGCUGUACAUGGUGUUUUUCUUAUAAAUAUGGAGUCUGCCCGGAGGAGUGUACCCCUCCCCCACAUACGACCCUAAGCCCCCCUCCCCCUUCCCUUCACCAUUACUCUCUCACCCCUUGGCUUCUCCCCCCUCCCCUCCCCUCCCACCCCCCUCUCCAUACCCAACCAUUUCCCCCCCUUGGCUUCCCCCCCUCCCCCCUCCCCAUCCCUCUCACCCCCGCACCCCUCUCCCACCUUGGUCGCCUUGACGUGCGACGACACGAAGUGGGGCAACGUGGCCAGGAUCCAAACCACCGCCUCCAUCUGGGGACCAGACACGUGGCGCCGCGUCAGCGUGAGGGUUAGGUAGCCGCCGUUGCAACCGCCGCCGCCGGGGCCCCCGACCCCCAUGCCAGACAGAUCCAAACCUGUGUGCGAAAAAACGUUUGCAUAUGUGUGAUUGUUUGUGUGGGUAUCUGUGCAUGUGUACGUGCAUGUGCAUGUGUGCGCGUGUAUGUGUAUGUGUCGGUAGGAACCGGGGGGAAAGAGAGGAGGCCGGAGAAGGAAAUACACACGCAUGGCCGAGGCGCGGCUCCGGGAACGGCGGGAAUGCGAUUGCCCGAAAGUAAAAUCCCACACGCAUACACACACUCGCACCCCCCUCACCCCCCCCUCGCUCACCUGCCAGCUCCCCCGGGGGCUCCUUCAGCUGAUAGCUGCAGGUGGGGGCUCGCCCCAGGGAGGGGCCUCGACGAGCCUCCACAAACUCCUGAAAAGUGCAUUAUGUACGUAUGUAUGUAUGACUUAAAUUACACUGUAUGUAUGUAUGUAUGUAUGUAUGUUGUUACAGGGUGGUUAACUUCGCCAGCGGCCCCUUUCCCGGGCAGUCCCUGCUCUCCCCUGCUAGAGGGGCACCCUAAUCCAUUCACCCCAUCCGACUUCGGAAUGUAUUCGUUGGGUUCGUAUGUAUGCAUGCAUGUAUCUAUGUAUGUAUGUAUGCAUGUAUGUAUCUAUGUAUGUAUGUAUGGGGGGAAAGGUUAUUAGAGAUGAUGGGAGGUGGUGAGGUGUACGGCAGGGGAGUGGGUUAGAUAAGGUAGAGGUGCACACUUCGCAGCUUGGGGGGAAAGGGGCGCGUGAUGUACGGACGCAGCCAAACACACGAGCUAUGCAUACAUGGUAAGUGGUACGGCUCUUAUCACACAUAAUAGACACACACAUACAUACAUACAGAACUACAUACAUACAUACAUGGCUUGGCGUUUCCUGGCUCUAUCCGACGAAUAAAGAUAUACAGUCGACUUCGCUGAUCUGGUCGAUCUCGGUAAUCAGUCAUUACAAUUACUUCUUCUUCUUCUUUGCUCUGCUGCUGCUGUUGCUGCAUCUUUGGCCCAUUUAAUUUUCUCCUCUCUCCCCUCCCCUCCUCUCCUCUCCCCUCCUUAUCUCUUCUCGCCUCUCUAGUUCAAUGAUCACCAAGACAAAAAGACGCCCACAUAUUUUACACACAGACAGACAGACAGACAGACAGACAGGUACACCUGCAGAAACGCCACCCCUAUGGCCGUGUCUUGUCGACCACUGAACCUCAACGGGAAGGUCAAGGCAACACUCUCCGAGGCCGGUUUGAUGACGAACACCUGCUUGGGGGGGGGAGUCGUGGGGAGACGGGAAGAGAGGAGCGGACAGACAGACAGACAGACAGACAGAUGGACGAACAGGUGGACGAACAGAUGGACACAGGCAGUAGAAGGCAGACAGACAGACAGGUGGACAGGCAGAUGGAUGAACCGGCGUGGGUAUGGAUAUGGAUAGACAGACAGACAGACAGACAAGUAGACAGACUGCACGACAACGCCAUCAUGGCGAUACGCCCUGCGGCGGUAAUCCCGGGCGUGGCGGAGGAGCCGUCGAAUACACAGAAUACAUUCCCCUCCACCUCCCCCCCUUCCCCCCCCUCUCCCCCACGCACCUGCCCAGGGGUAUUGCAGCACACCAAGGGGGGACCCGGCGCCAGUGAACCCGCCUCAAGGGCACGAAACACCUGCCUGCACGGGUGUACGGAUGUACGGCGUGUGUAUGUAUGUGUUUAAAUGAUCUGGAGUCACGAUGAAGGAAAUGCCAAUGUUGGUACGUAUGUAUGUAUGUAUGUACGGAGGCUGUACUACCUGACCUGAGCGGGUGGCCCACCAUCAGCAGCCGCAAUGACGCCAGGCUCCGAGACCAGCUGUCCUGCUGUGCUGCGCUCAGGCGAGCCAGCAGCGGCAAGUCGAUAUCCAGAGCCACGUGAUAACGGCCACCGGGGGGUGCGGGUUGGGGGUUGGCGGGGGCGGUUUGGGGGGCGUCGUGUUUUUCGUGUGUUUCUUGAGUACUUGGCUCUGACGCGGUGGCAAUCCCUCGAAACGCCGCCGCCACUUCCUCCACCACCUGCGGCCCUAACACCUGCGCUCGUUGAUGGUGGUGGUGGUGGUGAUAUGUGUGGGGGGUUGCGGUCGGGGUGGGGGGUUUGCAUGAUGAGGAGAGGGGGGAGAAGAGGCAUGCUGGAUGCUGACGACGAUAAUGAUGAUGAUAAGGAGUUACUCAGGAGUUACACAUGAUGAUGAUCCGCCUGCCCCUCUUUACAUUUUUCAAAUGUGAUUUCCCCCUUUCCACUCCUCAUCCGGGCCGUACACCCGACCUGCCUGUUGUUGGAAAGGACCUGCUAGCUGCGGCAUGGCAAACAGCAGCCGUAAAGAGCCUUCUGGCCCCGAAACCAGCAAAUACUCGCAUCCACCAAAUUCGUACACAUGCUCCUCAAAGACCUGGCGAGAGCAUGAUGUGGGGAGAUUUAUCGGGACGGGGUGAGGGGUGUGUAAAGUGGGUGAGGGCGUGUGGAGUGAGCUUGGCGUGGAAGGGAAUGGGGAGGGGUUGAAGGGAACGGGGAUCCCGCGCGACGUGAGGGUGAGGGUGGGGGAGGCUGAAGAGGAAAAGGCUGUAGUUGGAAGGUUGUAGUUUUCGUGGUGCCGUUGGGGUGCCAGAAAUCAGGAUUAUGAUGUUAGAUUUGUAUGAGAGAGGUGGCUUUCGACGCGAAUUGUGUCGUUAGGAGAGGGCGCAGCACGCGCAGCACGUGUCCCGUCAAGGUCUCGGCGACGACCAAUACGCGCUAAAAGGGUAUAGUUUACCUUUGGUUCAAUACCAGCUGCCUUCUGCUGGAUCAGCUGGAUGAUUCGGUUUUGGAUGAUCCGGUUCUGGCAGCUUAUCAUUGUGCCGCUGCCCUGUGACGCCAUGGUUGCUCUGUCUUGGCUACAGAAAGUGAUAAAAUUAUUACUUGGCAGGGUGCGACGUUGAAGUGUCGUAUUCUUCCUGUUCGUUUGUUUCCGUUUCCUGUUUCCCGCCUUGUAGGGUUGGUCUCGAAACUCAGGCACUCGGGCUUCCUUCUGGAAGUCUAUAGUCUCUCUAAGCUACAGCCCAAUAAUAAAAUCACACAGCUCCAUCGAGUCUGCUGUGUCGCUUUGCUAAAGCCAUGGACGAUGUCGACGACUGCACCGUACGUGAGCUUGACUUUGGCAACUUGGGCACGUUGCGGAUAAAAGAGUUCACAUUCUUAAAGGUAGAAUUGUUGCCGUGACCGGGAGCAACGAGGAUACGUUCUGCGCGCUGCGGAAAGGCGAAAAAAGGCUGCAAUGCUACUCGAAAGACAUAACCCAGAGGACCAGAAGGCCAGAGAAACGGGACCUGUGCCGGGCCCUUGAAGAUAUCAAAAUGAUUUUGGGAACGGACGUGCGGGGCCUUUGGAACGAAAGGCUUUUGCCGACCCUGGCUUGCCCUUGCCCUUUGCCAAGCGUGGCGCGUCGAUUUCCGUCCUUAAAGAGCUGUGAGAUGACAGGGGCGCCUUCUGGGUCGCGCAACUUCUUUGGUGCAGGAUGAUGCAGGGGCAGUGGUGUGGGACGCCGGUCUCGUGCUGUCGUACUAUCUAGCCCACCAGCAUCGCCAAGGUGUGAAUGAAUUAAUGAACGCAGCUUUGAAGGAAACAUCACUCACAUGAGCAUUUUUCACAUAGAUAUAUGAUGCAUCUGCAUUAUUAUUUGCACUGCACAAGCGGGCUUACGAAAGCGGCCUUCAUUCAACAGGUCCACCACCACAACCCAAUGUGGCACGGACGAGAGGCCGUCUCUCUCUCCGCCCCGCGCUCUCUCUCUCUUCCCCCCCAUCUCUCUCUCUCCCCCCCAUCUCUCUUUUUCCCCCGCUCUCUCUCUCGCUUCCCCCCUUCUCUCUCUACCCUGGAACGCACCGCCCUCCCUCCACAACGCACAAACUUAAGCUCCUCUUACCGGCCCCUGCUGCUGCUAGUACUACUGCUGCUGCUACUACUACUAUUACGGCUGCUGCUGCUGCUGCUAGUACUAGUAUUUUAGUAAGUACUGUAGCUGCUUCUAGUUCUACUGCUGCACAGCACCUCUUAGGUGUUCUGACCUGUCAUGUAAAAGUGCGAGUCGGUUGCCGGUUGUCGGUUUCCUACACCGCCCUACCUACCUACCUACCUACCUACCCACCUACCUGCCAUAGCGACUCCGCUACCUUUCCAUCCAUUCAUCCAUCUGUCUGUCUGUCUGUCUGUCCCGCGGUGCAGGCCGCCUCCUAGUCGCGGGCCGUACCUGCCUAGAGCUGGGCAGCGGAACGGGUGUGGUGGGCCUUACGGCCGCCCGCCUGGGCGCCGCUCUGGUAGUACUCACUGACCUGCCCCAUCUGGUGCCGUACAUACGACAAAACGUCCAGGCAAGACGACACCCUAUUUAAAAUUUAAAACUAAAAAUGAGAUCCGGGCCCCCGACGGCAUUGCAUUGUUAACCAAUUUCCAUAAGCCGUUUUCUCUUUCAUCGUUAGAGUGAAAAGUGCAUGUGGUGGCAACACGUGGCUGCUGACCGACCCAACAUACACACGUAUGUAUGUCUGUAAGGCACGUACACGCGCGCGCGCACACGUCGUCACACACACACAUAAUCUGCACACACAGGCACACACAGGCACACACAGGCACACACAGGCACACACACGUGCCUCCACAGCAGCGCGGCCCACUCUCCGCUCCUCCCCCCUUUUCGCAGCUUCAAUCGUGUGUGGUUCGUCUUUCCCCCCCUUUUCGGUCAUCCCACCCAACACCCCUCCAUUCCCCCAUGAAGCAGCCUCAUGUACCAGCCCUUGAGGGCCUGCAGCGGCGCACAUCAAAUAGAUAGCACCCCUGUUUCCCCCCUCAGCUCCCCCCGGCCCCUAUCCCCCCUUCCCGCGGCGCAAUAGCUCAACGGUCUUGAUGCUACCUGCAUUGCGCUGGCCUUUGAGUGGGGAACUAGCACCCAACAUUUGAAAGUGGAGGUGGCGGUGGCGGCGGCGGCGAGCGCCUCUACAGAGACGUCGUCGUCGCCGCCGCCGCCGCCUCCUGUCCCAUGGUCGCCCCAGGUAAUUCUGGCUGCAGAUGUAGUGUACGACGCAGCUGGCCGACACAGCCUGUUCCGUACACUGGCGCAGCUUCUGGCGCCGCCGGUUAGCACCUGUAGCGACAGCAACAGCAGUAGCGGUACUAGUACUGGUAGCGGCUGUAGCAGCAGUACGGGACCUGACGGUGAAGGCGCCUCCGCGGCCGGUCACCGGGGGCAGUACGACAACUGCUGCCUCAGCGGCGGCGGUUCCGGAGCUGCUGUCGGAACCAGCGACUGCGACAGCGGUGGAAGUGGCGGCAACGGCGGCGGCGGCGGCGGGGAGGGCCAUGACAGAGGUGGAUGCGGAGGCGGCGGAUGUGGCGACGGUGGCACUCCGGUGGUGUUUCUGAGCUAUGAGCUGCGCGCGGGUGCGGAUGAGCUUUCGAAGCUGUGUGCCCAAUUCGGGUUGGUGGCUGAGGAGGUGAGGUGGGGGGGCCGGCCCCGGGGCGGGCGUCUGUCUCUUUCUGUCUGUCUGUCUGUCUGUCUGUCUGUCUGUCUGUCUCUUUCUGUCUCUCUGUCUGUACAUCGUUAUUCGUGACUCGAUGCGCAGCGUGUGUUUCUGUUUGCAUGGCAGGCUGUGAUGGUCGUUGUAAUAAUCGCGGCCUUGGUGUCUACUAUUGUUUGUGAUGGUGAUUACUUCGCUGCUCUCCUCUCUGUGUGUGUAUUUCCCGCAAAUCCGAAAAGACGUGGUCCACGCCGGGGUCCCUGGGGCGACGUGAGUGGGACACCCGUCCGUACACCUGAAAACCGUACAUCUCCGUACACCUCUCCCACCCACACGAAGCGGAAACUGCUGCGUUGAAUGCUGCGGUCGCAAUCGCAGUCACAUCCCCUACCCCCUUUAGCAGUGCCCAUUACCAUAACCGAACCUGACCUUAUCUGAUCACAUCUAGGCCCCGUGGCACAGGUUUCGGAGCUGGAGCUGCACCCCUACUGGAGCUGCCCGGACAUCCGCAUACUCAGGCUGUGGAGGAAAGGGCCAAUGAGCAGCGGCGGGGCGGGGUGAUGGUGAUGGUUGUGGUGAUGGCAAUAGGGCCGGGGGCCGUGAUGUUGCAACGGUGAUGUUCCUGCGUCAACUGAGCAGUCUGCGCGCGGAUUGAGUAACUUGCGUCAACUAAGCAGCUGCUCGUGAAUGUCAAGGCAGCCCUAGUGCCAAAGUACUGUCAUCGACUGUGGUAAACUGUGUUAGGCUUGCUUUAUGGAUUUACGGGCUGUUUUUACACAUGGAAAUGUGUUUAAUCAUGUUAAGGCUAAAAGAGCUCUACUCAUGCAUGCUGCCUGGUUUGCAUUUCCAUCAGUUUCGGGGCUUAGCGGUACGGACGGAAAGACCGACGAUCGAUUUGAUCGUCAUUGAUCCUAUCGUCAUUGAUCCCCUGACGGAACUGUUGCUGGUUAACGGUAGGUACAACUUGUAACCUAUACGAUACGAUAUGCACCGAUCGAUUUUAUCUCAGCCGCUAGCAGAGAGCAGAGAGCACUGCUACACUCCUUCUGCAGGACGAUAAGGGUCUGGUCAAGUCCUGGCACAGCCGCUAGUACAAGCUGCCGUAGCUUGUGAGCUCUUGUGAGCUGUUGUGUCAGGUGACGCCUGACGACGGACUAAUGCCAGGCAGCCGCCUGACCGCAGCGGCAUGGAUCUUAUGCUGCCACCGAUUAACACGAAUUGCUAUAGGCCUUGAGGCCAGCGCCUUUAGAGGCCUUUCCUUAUUUAACUUUGAGAAAGUUGUUGUUUUGUGCUGCCGGGACUGCUGCCGACAGCAUCGGCUAGCUGUCGGAGAUCGGAGGUGGCAUUGACGCUGCUGCGGAUGGCCUAGUUUUUUUAUUAAUUAACCUGUCGCUAUGUUCCCUGCUACCGCUCUCAGCUUUCAAUGUGAAUAUCCGGAUCGUGUUGCUUAAAAGCGCAGUGUGAUUAGGCUGAGAACAUGGCAAAGGCCAAACGCCAUUUCACAGUUUCCGGAGGCUAACCUAAAGAUCCAAACUUGAAAUUGUGUAAUGCAAUGCAAUUGUAGAGCUGGGGAGCUGACUUUCCCCUCUAGUUACAGUAACCGUGAGAAGCGCCGAAAAACUCCAUAAUGAGAGGUGGCCUUCACUUCACGCUGGUCAUUGUUGUUAUACAUAAUUGAUCUAGACGUCAGCUUUCUUGACUGUGUAAUAGCAGCCUUGCAAGUCAACCGACGCUCGCAGUACUUACCGACACCAAGAUCGUUUUAAAGACCGGAAGUGCACGCGCUUCACUUCAGAUCAACUUCACGUAACUGGUUCCUAUGGAGCUUUUGGAAUGAAAACGCCUUCUCCCAAGCCCUACGACACAUGCUCACACGCUUUAAUUGAAAGGAGUGACUCCAGUUUCCAGCGCGUACUUCGAUGUUAUAGGAUAAGACAUUUUUAUAGAUCCCAUACGUAAUAAGGAAAAGCCACCUUGCGGCAAACCCUGAGAAGCCGUUUCGUUCGUUAUCCGCAAGACGGAAUCUGCACGGGAGUGCAUUUCACCGGGUAUGCUUCCCAGUUAUCGGCUACCACCUUUUUCUUGUAAUCUGACACGCUCCUAUAGAAUUAUGGGUGUUCCAAUGGCACCUCUCGACCCCUUAACCGGUACGAAGAUUCAUAAUGCAUAACGAUAUCGCAGGUCUCUUACGCGCAAAAUACAUUCCCUGAAUCACCUGUGGUAAUCAAAAUUCUCCCGAUGCGCUGUUAUACAGCUGCAUGCAUCGGUAUCAUCGCAAUGCCCUAAAGUUUCCCGGCCGGCAGUGGUACGACAGCUAUCCCGGGAGAAUACUUAAUUGGCCAAUGAGGCUGCAAUAAGUCAUAACCCGUAUGUUCAAGACGUCGUCUCACACGUGGUACGUAUUUUGGCCUAUUAACAACUGUCUCGGAAGGUGACCCUAGCCUUCUAUUCCUUCCGGUCUCCGUCGUGUCUCCUGCGAUACCUGAAUUCUCCCACGGAGGAAUCGUUAGCUACGUGAAAAGGCCGAAGGUAUGCUUAUGGGGUGUUUUGCUGUUCAGCUUUGAAGGCUGAUGUAACUAAUCGCAGACCGCCAAGAGCCCUAUUUGUGAGGUCUAGCGAAUUCAAUCUCAGGUUGCAGAGCAUUACAAAAAUAAUACAAUAUACUAAAGCGCUCAGGUCCUUGGCGGGCCGUGGGGGCCAUGGCCUUCCGACGCUUAAUCCCGUAUCGGUACCAUAUCGGCAGUCCUGGCGAUGAUUUGUGCAAUGUGUUCGUUCCUGCGCCGGCCUUACAGGUUGCCAGAAUGAUGUCCACAAGAUUUAACCCGUGCAAGAAGGGAAUUGCUUCCUCUUCCAAGCUUGGUUCGGCGGUGCCUCUACCGCCCCAUGUCAGCCGUAGGACUGCUCGCAUUCUAUGCGAGGCAACGGCGUCACCCGCGCCGGUUGCGCCAAAGUCUGGUGCUGCCGCUGUUCAGGUCAGUCCUAAUUUACAGCCUGCCGCUCCGUUUCUGGGAUGCAGCUGCCAUGCUUCAUAAGUUCGUUUCUCAAUCUUUGCACCCGAUAGGAAGGACAUUGAAGUUACUAUUUAAGCACCUAUUCCAAUUACUUAUAAUCGUCUUAUAAUCGUGCUUCCACUGCUUGGGUCAUGUUUGCGUGCUGUCGGUUUCGUCUUCACACGGCAGCCGCCUGCAACACCCGUCGCGCACGAUGCGGCCGUGAAGAAGGAGCGCGCGCCGGUCGCUGAUGAGCAACUUGCUGCGCUCAAGUCUCAGUUGAAGCGCGCGUCAGAGGCACAGCGCAAGUACUCCAUAUUUACCCAGGAACAGGUAAUUAUAAUAUACGUGGUCCUAGCAAUAGCAGCCCAUGCUGCCCAUGCUGCCCAUGCUGCCCAUGCUGCCCGUGCUGCCCAUGCUUGGAACGAAUGUUUCUGUUCUUGCGACUUGCUUACCAUCAUCAGCACAAAUCAUGAAGUGGGUCAGAAGAAUUUCAUUCGGGUAUCAGCCAUACUGCAACGUUUGUGUACAGUUUGCGUAUUCCUUGACGAGUCAAAUAUUUUGAGGUUUAGGAUUUAGGAAACCUCCCCGAACCCUCGAUGACGGGGUUCCACCCAAACCUGCCUUAACACACACGAAAGCAUUUACACACGAAAAAAUACGCGCACAUAUAUACAUUCAUAGACUUAUAUAGCAGGUCAGGCACUAUUGGUAGAGCACGCACCAUUGCCCCCGGGAGAUCCCGGGAUUGAGACCUGUCAGGGUCGAAAAUCCUUCCGUUGGUGGAAGGUAAUGUGCCCAUAGAUGUUGGAUAACCUGGGAUGAAGUUGACUUGCAAGCUGACCAGGUAUGCAGUUGAGCCGCCGUCGAUCCAGCAGAUUCCGUUGGAUGCUGGUGGUGGGUGCGGAACCUGAGCGAUCCACUGAGAAGUUGACUAGGGUGACUGGAUGAGGGUGCCCCGAAAUACCGGGGAAGGCAGGCUUUCGCCAGGUAGGGGCCGCAGGGUGAAGAUAUACCCCCCUGUCCCACACAUCAUACAUGCAGGUGGAUGACAUCUUCCGGCGGGCCGCGGAGGCUGCCAACGCCGCGCGCAUCCCCUUGGCCAAGAUGGCCGUGGAGGAGACGCGGAUGGGCGUUGUGGAGGACAAGGUAGGCGGGUUGGGGGGUUGGGGGGUUUGAGUUUAUAGGACAACUAGGACUUAACGUACGCGCCUACUAGGACUUAACGUACGCGCGAUUACUUGCUUGCUUGGGUCAAAUUUAGGGUGAAAACUUCGUUACCUUGAUAUACUUGACAUGCUUUGCUUUGUCGUCUUCGUGAACAUGAAGAGCUAAUAUCUAUCUAUCUAUAUUAUCAUAUCUUGUUAACAGGUUGUGAAGAACCACUUCGCGUCGGAGUUUAUUUACAACAAGUACAAGAGCACGAAGACGUGCGGCAUCAUUGAGGAAGACCCCGCUGGUGGCAUUCAGAAGGUGGCUGAGCCCGUCGGCGUCAUCGCCGGUGAGAUAGUGGAUCAGCGGAACUCGCACACACAUGAGCGUCUCUCAACUCUUGCAAUGCAGCAAUGGAAAAGCAUCAUCUUUAGACAUAUAUUUUUGUCCAUUUAAAUUUGAAUUUAUUAAAAAAAAUUGGUUUUAUAAAAAGUGGAGUGAAGUGGAGUGUAAAGUUAGGAAGCAUGCUUGCCUAGGUUACGAAAUAUAAAAGUUCCAAUACCAGGUCUUCACCUUGUUCGAUGACCUUGGAUGCAUCCGAGCAACAUACAGCAAUAUCACACAAGAAGCUGCCGCAUUUCACUUCUUGCUGCCACCUCCUCCUCUUGCUGCUGCAGGUAUCGUGCCAACCACCAACCCCACCUCGACCGCCAUCUUCAAGGCGUUGUUGUCGCUCAAGACACGCAACGCGCUCGUGCUGUGCCCGCACCCGCGCGCUGCCAAGUCGACCAUCGCCGCCGCCAGGAUUGUGCGCGAUGCCGCCAUUGCAGCCGGUGCGUGCGUGCCGGGUGGCUGGCCGGGUGGCUGCCUGGGUGAUUUAUGUCUUUGUCUUUUACUGCCUUUGCCCCCAAAGCCUCCAGCCGCCGCUUGCGCGACUUCCCGUCGCGUUCUAAACAGCACGCGGCAGCGGCCCUUGAAUUGCCCGCCCGGAUAUUUCUAUUGCUGCAGGUAACAUCGCAUAUCGUAAAACAACGAUUAAAAAUCAUUUAAUCACCACAAUGUGUAUAGCGAUAUGUUACUGCUAAUGUAACCUACAAUUAGUACGACUUCCCCUUCGUUUAACCUUCAUGUCCUUUCCCCCCCUCUUCCCCCCUUCUACAUUCAUGCUUCAAUCAUUUUUCCUUUCCCCCAUAACCCCCUCUCCUCCCACCCUGCCCAGUCUUUCCUGGCAUCAGCUUCACCCCCUCCUAACCCGCUUUCCUCCCCCCUUCUCUCCUAAUCCCCCAGGUGCCCCUUCGGACAUCAUCAGCUGGGUGGAGAGCCCCUCGCUGCCGGUGUCGCAGGCGCUGAUGCAGGCUCCGGAGAUCAGCCUCAUUCUCGCCACUGGCGGACCGGCCAUGGUGCGGGCCGCCUACUCCUCCGGACACCCCUCGCUGGGUGUGGGCGCGGGCAACACACCCGCGCUGAUCGACGAGACGGCCGACGUCAAGAUGGCCGUCAGCUCCAUCAUGCUGUCCAAGACAUUCGACAACGGUGUCAUUUGCGCUUCGGAGCAGUCAGUGGUGGUGGUGGGCAAGGUGUACGACGAGGUACGAGCGGAGUUCAUCCGGCGCGGCGCCUACUUCCUCAACGAGGAGGAGAAGGCCAAGGUACGGAUGUUUUCCUAAAAUUUUAUAAUUCCUGUCAUUGUUGUCCGGGAAACAAUUUUAAUUUGUGGUCUUAGGUAGGAAAAGAAAACGAUUCCAGAAAAAUCUCUUCGCUAUUCUGCGUUGCGAGUCUCGUUUGCUUGCUGUAAACAAAUAAGGCUGUCCCCUGUAUCCUGCAUGUGUACGUCUGUAUAUAUGUGUAUGUAUACAUGUAUGUAUGUAUUGGUCUUUCGUAGGUCCGUGCUGGCGUUUUGAUUGACGGCAAGCUCAAUCCCAACAUUGUGGGUCAGUCCAUUCCCAAGCUUGCUGAGCUGUUCGGCAUCAAGGUGCCGGAGGGCACCCGCGUGCUGAUCGGCGAGGUGGAGGUUUGGGGCGAUACCGAGCCGCUGUCGCAGGUACGCGCACCCGCCGGCGGAGGGGAAUUUUUGUGCAUUCCUGUUGGUUUUAUUUUUGUCAAACUUGUUGUGAAUAUCGGCCUCUUUUUAAUUAACUCGUGGAUUUUAGUUACCUAGUUGUCAGCUAUCCAUAAUUUUAAACUGGGCAAUUGCUGGAGCUGUCGUCAACCGCCGCGCUAAGUUUGAAUUUAUCAAAUAACGCGCCCUUUGUUUUCCUCUCGUGCCGUGCUGCGCGCAGGAGAAGCUGUGCCCCAUCCUUGCCAUGUACAAGGCGCCAUCCUUCGAGCAGGCCGUUCAGCUUUCGCACAGCCUGAUCAUGUACGGCGGCGCCGGUCACACCAGCGUGCUAUACACCAACCCGCUGAAUAAGGCUCACAUCGAGCUGUUCGAGUCCACGGUCAAGACCGUUCGUAUCCUGAUCAACACGCCGGCGUCUCAGGGCGCCAUCGGCGACCUGUACAACUUCCACCUGGAUCCCUCGCUGACCCUGGGUUGCGGCACCUGGGGCUCCACCUCGGUCUCCAACAACGUGGGGCCGCAGCACCUGAUCAACAUCAAGACCGUCACUUCGCGCCGCGAGAACAUGCUCUGGUUCCGAGUG
RNAcentral lists this long non-coding RNA (133134 nucleotides) under Volvox carteri. Its description in RNAcentral is "long non-coding RNA (VCAR_LNC003368)". Lineage: Eukaryota; Viridiplantae; Chlorophyta; Chlorophyceae; Chlamydomonadales; Volvocaceae. The record is from RNAcentral.